RNAcentral lists this long non-coding RNA (106025 nucleotides) under Setaria viridis. RNAcentral's name for it is "long non-coding RNA (SVIR_LNC007217)". The record is from RNAcentral. Lineage: Eukaryota; Viridiplantae; Streptophyta; Magnoliopsida; Poales; Poaceae.
CACACUCAGAUGUGUGUUCAUCUCCAGAUACUACUCCAUGCUACCUGCCCUUUGUGUUUUGUUCAAUAACUGGGUAUCAUAUCCCAGCCAGUAUGCCGUCUGUUUUGUGUUUGUUUCCUUCUAGUUCCAAAGGGGUCAUCAUGAUGUUACCUUCUUUCAAUAUGGUGCUUUGCAUGACUACUGUUGUAUGGUACCAUCUUGUGGCCAAUAAGUACAUCUUAUCCUAUGACCUUUGCUAUGACCCUUUGCAAAUAAGUAGAAGAUUGUUAUAAGCGUCAAUACUCCGUAUAAAUUGAUCGCUGCUGUGAGUUCCCUUUCAGCUUAUCGUAGGCAUACAUUAUUGCUAGCACGGUAAAGCCAACCAACACGAAUGAUGAAGUAAACGUAGCGGUACUUCUGUAUACCAACACCCUUACUUAAAUGUACCGGUGUCAUUCCCUACUGGCACAUAUAUUCUUAUAUGCUAGCCAGCUUGUAAAAUUAACCAAUUAAAAUAAUUAUUUCAAGAUAGAAAUAACUUAUCGGUUUCUGGAAGCAUGUGUAAUGUGAAUUCAAGGACUCGACGGAAGUUGAAUCACUUCAUCUAUAUUGCUUUCAGUAUUUUGGGUAACUAAAUUUAACAUUUGCACAUACAAAUGUUAAAGUACAAAUGUUAAAUCUAGUUACCCAAGCAGAAUAUGAAGAUAGUUUAUAGUAUAUAUAUACUAUAUAAAUCUAGUUAACAUUUAGUCUAAAUGUUAAAUCUAGUUACCUAAAAUCCUGAAAGCAAAAUGUAUAAAUAUAUAUCUUUUAAGGCAGUAUAAGCUUCGAUUCCUAUUGCUGCUCUGUUAAAUCUCAUCUUUCGUUGUGGCCCAACACUCUAGUAUGCAUGUUGCACCAAGCUUCUUUGAGCCGCUCUGCCCUCUGAUUUUGCUGCGUAGGGGAAUCUUUAUCAGGUUGGGCUACUUCCAGUUGUGCGAUGUAAAGAUUCGUAUUUUCUAGAAGGUAGACAAAAAACUCGCGUUCUCUUAAGGCAACAACCGGAAGAUUCUGCAGCGCACAGGGCAUACCAUUAUUGUAGAAACGACCUUUAGUACCGAUCUCCAACCCCCUUUAAAACUGGUUUUGCAACCGGUACCGUUAUGUCGGUCCUUUAGUACCAGAUCAAAUAAGUACCGGUUGGUAACCAGUAUCAACUUGUUUUGCGGCCAAAAAAAUAAAGAAAAAAACAGUCAGAAGGCUCGCGCACACGCGCAUCACAUGAAAUAUGCGUGUGCGGGGUCCAUGGGAUUCGAACCCAUGAAAUCAAGCUGCGCGCGACCCUUCGUUACCAUCUCACCUACAUAGCGCAUAUGCUUUCCUGAAGUAACCCGUGGAGGAGGCUUUAGUACCGGGUCAUAACACCACCCGGUACUAAAAAUGACUCUUCAGUACCGGGUCAUAACACCACCCGAUACUAGUAUCGGAUGGUGUAAUGACCCGAUACUAAAAGGCCUCUAGGGACCCUCAAAUUUGAACCCGGUACUAAUGCUAAUAUUAGUAGCGGGUCAAAGUGCAGCCAGAACUAAAGCAUGGGAUGAAAGGUCAUAUUUCUAGUAGUGUAUAGUUGUUGUGAAGGACUGACUUGGCUGUCCUCUCUCUUCUCCAUCCCCUUGGUCUUACGCCGCCGCUCGCACGCGAGCCGGUGCCCAACCAGAGGAGUGAGAGCUAGGGGCAGGUUGGGAGGUGGGGAUAGUGACUGGUGGCCAGGGUGAUGGUUGAUCCUGGUGGGGUUAGGGUUUUAGGGUUUUCGAGCUUCCUAUGGUCGGCGAACCUAGAGGAGGAGCUCAACAUCAGCUGCAACCCGCGAUGGUGGUGGUUUGGCCGGCGCCCGAGGCGAGGCAGCGCGGGAGUGCUGCCGGUGGGUUGGUGUUGGCACUCAUUAUUGACAACUAUUUUGUUCAUAAAAUAACACUCAAACUUGCUGCUGCUGCUGCUGCUGCCAUCGCCACCCUAGCCAUAAUAUAAAGGCAAAAUUUGCUAAAGGACAUGCAAAAUGAUGCUAGUUUGCUGGCGGGCAUCGUUGACCUUGUAAUAUGCUACAAGACACUCUAGUUGUGUAUCAAUUUGCUGAAAGACAUUGCUAUGACUAAAAUAAUGUUUCUGGACUGAGUUGGAGAGAGAGAUGGAGUGAAAUGUCUGUUUUGCCCAUGACCCCACUGGUCAGAUCCUUCUUCUUCCACCCUCCUUUGUUCUUUCUUCAACCAUUACCCAGCUCCAGCGUGUUGCAGAUCUACGAGGGUGGCGGCCUGGGGCGAGGGGCAUCGCUCGCCCUUGGAGGAGCGCUGCGAGCGACGGCGCGGGGGCGGCAACAGCGCGUCAGAACCUGACUGUUCGUUAGCUCCUCUCGCUGCUGGGGAAGGAGGGGGAUGGGCCAUGGACGGGGUUCCCUUGAAAACCUCAGCGUCGAGCUCGGGCGGCUACGCGCAGGCAGCACUAGGCUGCUUCACGGGGAGGGGGCGCGGCCAAUCAUUGGCACCCCACUGGUCCAAUGCUGAUGAAGAUGGUGCCAGCGUCGUGUGAGGACAUCUCAUCUCCUCGAGUUCCAUGGCCAGCACAGGUGAGCUGCCGCUACCACAAAACAGAGGUUUCGUGAGAGUCAAAAAACCUUAUGAAAAUAGCUAAAACCAUCAUGAAAAUAAUCCGUGACAUGACACUCUCACGAAAAUCCUCUCACAAAUAUGGUGCCAUGAAAAUACCAUUUUCAUGAGAGUGAACUGUCAUGAUUUUAUUUCGUGAGAGUAUUUCCUAUCAAUGACCUCCACGAAAUACUUUGUGCCACCAGGUCUUCAAGAUCAUUUUCAUGAGAGCUGAACAUCAGGAAAAGUCCGCCACAAAUGUUUUUCUUGGAGCCCCUAACUCUCAUGAAAAUCAUGCGGGCCGCCACGAAAAACAGCAUGACCAAAUGACAAAUUUCAUUUUCAUGUGUUCAUACCGCCAUGAAAAUGGUCAUUUUCAUGAGAGUUGAUGAAACAAAAAAUAGUGCCAUUUUCAUGAGAGUUCAAGCAACCAGGAAAAGACACUAAUAAACAUCCAGAUCCCAUCCAGCACACAUCCAUGCACAUAUAUAACCCACAUAUUGCUCCAGCACACAUCCAUGCAUAUACAAGAUCCAAAUGUUAAUAUAGUAGACAUCCAUGCCUGAACUAGUCUGCCACACAAGUCAUUGAUGCUACAAAUCCUACAAUCGCAGCAUGUGCAUACAAGUCACAGAAUGAGACAAUGUACCCAAAACUAAAAGGUUAGCAUCAACUGUGCUUCAACCAAAGUUGUCAUCCCAACUCUCCUCUUCAUCCAUGCCAUUCUUGUCGUGGCCGUCACUGUCAGUCCCCAUGGCAUUGCCAAUGCUGUGCAUGUCUUGGUAGGAACCUACAUGUGAUGAACUAGUAACCUGCAAAAAGAGCUCAAAGGAUCUUGUUCUCAUAUUGUAGCUGUGAAAUUCUUACAAGUAGUGUUGCAAUCAGUUCACUUUGAACCAAAAGAGCUCAAAGGAUCUUGUCCUAAAAGUUCCUCAUAAAGCUUAUGGGUUUGCUGGUGGAACUGGAAGGGCUUGAUGCAGCAGAUGCCAUUCUGCAAUAGAGAAAAAUUUAGAGAGCAGUACUAGUUAAAAUUGGAUGCAGAAGAUACACAUGAAACUAGUAUUUAUACAAGUCUAUACAAUUAAAAUCUAAGGAGACUUAUCAUCGUUUUCAUGUGUUGUGAAUUAAAAUAAUGAAGGAUACACUGUUAGGUGAAAAUUCAAGAAACAAAAUUUUGCAUAGAGAUAAAGGUCCAACAUUAUUACAAGUUAAGGUAGUUUUAAAUAUCCUUGUAAUCUUCCUUUGGUUUCCUCAACGAUUCGAAGACAAUAACCUUGCUUCUAUCAAUGAUAAUUAUAAGGAGAAUCCAGUGGAAACUGUGUAUUCGUAUUAGAACUACCUAAGGUUAAUUAGGUUAGGAAAGGAAAUUGAAAAUAGAUGGUACCCACACUUACUUAAAGUUGUCGGGCAAUAGUAUGUAAUGCUUGUAAUUCCGUUGCUCCAAGAAUUUGUAUAUGUGGUCCAAUGUAGACUUUGGUUGAUCCCGUAUCUGCUGUUGGUUAAAUAAGUGUUUCUAGCCAUUUCUAGCCAUUAGAACCGGGACUAAAGGGGGCUCUUUAGUACGGGUUGAUAUUACUAACCGGGAUUAAAGAGCCCCCAUUAGAGUUGGUUUUUGGAUGCGGAACUAACAACUCCUUUAGUCCUGAGUACGAAAACAACUGACAUAUUUGUUGCUGGAUGGAAGGUCCUUUCUCUACCGUGAAUAUUGCCAGAAAGAAUUGAAAGAGACUGCUUGCUAAAAAUAUGUCAUAGAUGUAGACCAAGCUACCAAGGAGGUAGACCAAACAUGAUACACACCAUGCGUACCUUGCUGUGCAGACUAUGCAUUGACAAGAUACCCGACCACAUGUUGGCCUCGGUCACAUCAAAAGAAUCAUGUAGGCCACCAAUAAACUACUUGAAGCGGCAUUCCGUAUCGUAUAUGCAUUGCCGGUUCAUCUGCAUUACAUUACAUAAAGCACUAUUAACUAUUUGAAUAAAAUGAACCAAUUUAAAAGUAAUGUGUUGUACUCUACUAUAGAAAGCCCUAUCACUGCCGGAUCCAAAAACAUCAUUGUUAAUGGUGGUUAAGUACCAAAUAUGACGGUCAAUAUUCUCAAGAAUAAUGGAGAAUUAGCAUUUCUUAGACACAUAUUUGGUUUUGAACAAUGUAGUUCCACAUGUCUUUGGAGAUUAUUUGGGUGUGGGUGAAAUAAUACAAAAAUAAGGAGAAAACACACUCCCAUGGCGAAGAAACACAACUCCAACCAAUGAGAGAUAGCCACAGGGGCAGCACACGGAUCCAUGGGCCCACUAACCGCAUCAAACCAUCUUACCAAGGCAGGUAGCACCCACAACCGUCAUUAGGACCCACCUGGAAGUCUACCAAGAAGAAGGUUGCGAGUGGGGCCAGGAGGGGUUCGGUUGAAUCAUCUCUAGCUAGCUCCCCUCAUCCCCAGCUGGUGGGUGGUGGUGGUUGAUGGUGUCCCUACAUCAGUUAGAGGAGAUUCCCCCAAAUAUUCCUCCUGUAAACCACCUCUAUGGACCUAUACAUAGAGGGGUGUGCUCUCCAUUCCAACACACACCACAAGUUGAAUCACUCUCUCCCUCUUUAGUUUCCAAGUUUAUGGAGUUAGGCUAGAGUAGCUCUGCUCAAGGUUCCAAGUCCACUUGGAGUUAAGCAUAUGUCUCUUGUAUCGUUAUUUCCUAAAUUGACUUUAUGCUUAGUUCUUAUAUGCAUGAGUUAGUCUAAUACCCUUGCUAUAUUGAUAUGCUCGGCUUAUAUGCUCGUAUGCUAGUCAUAUACCCUUGCUGUCGUAGUAUAGGCUUAUAUGCUCUCAUGUGUGCCUGUAGACCUUGCUAUAGUAUAUACUUGUUGUGCAUACAUACCAUGUAUAGGCUAGUCGAUCUAUACCAUGGCAUUGGUUCAAUAGCCAUGUUUUUGGUGGCUCCAACCCUAGUCACAAUAGCUCGGGACAGCUGGAGUGUUGUUAAAAAUGCAAGAGUGGUGCUUGGGUUGUUUAGCAUCGUUGGAUAUGGGUUUGCCCCACGGGUUUCUAACGGUAGGCGGCAGCUAGUGACAUCCCUGUCCGUCCUUCGUAAUCCCCCCACAUUCAGGUACGCCAUAAAUGUUCGUAAAUUAGCAGUAACUACGCCGGUACACCUGUAGGGUAUUGUCUCCCUGUAGUACCUUGGUGCAUAGAACUAAGUCCUAUACACUGUGUGUGUAUGUUUACGCUGAUAUGAUCUGUGCAGUAUAUAGGAUGUAUAUAUGAACCUAGAGCUAACUCCUAGUCCGUUCUCCAUAGCUUAGUUAUCUUGAGAUGAUUCUUCUGUAUGUGUAACACUACCCAUCUUAUCAUUAUCCUUGAUCCUGUCUUGUGUAAUAUAUCUACUCAUCCUAUGAUAUACUCAUAUGCAUAGUAAACUAUUUUGACCUACCCGCCUUCCUUUGGGAAAUAUGAUACCUUGGAAUAAUCCUAGGUGAAAUCCUACAACGGUAUAUCCAUGUAAAUGCGGAUUUAUUCAUGACCAUUAAAUAUACCAACAAUCAUCACUGUGAGUUUUGGGCGUCGUUAGUGAAGGGUUGGUAGUGAUGGGCAUCCCCUUCACCAAUGGACCUGGAACCGGCGGUGAUGGCUAUUAUAAAAAAGGGGACACCACCCAGCGUACCCCACGACCCGGCCGGCCGCACCUCCCAUCAUCCCCGCCAGCCGCCCUUCCUUUUCGCCGGCCGAGCAUGGUCCCGGCCUUUGUCCCUACCACCUCGCCUCCACCGCGACCCCCCGCCGAUGCCCUCGUGCCUGGCCCCCCUCAUCUUGCCGGCCACCCUCCCGAUGCGUCCACUGGGGCCCUCGCACCACCAACCGCCCUUGCUUAGAGAGGGAGAGAGAGGAGGGAGGUGAGGCCACGCACCUCGUCCUACACCGCCGCUGUUUCUCCUCGGCCCACCGCGCCUCACCCCACACCACAGCCGCGCCUUGCCAUCUUACCGGCUGUGACGCCUCAUCUCACCGGCCACCGUUCCUCACCCCCACUUCGGUCGUCGCCGCUCCUUGCCCUACCGCUGCUCUUUGCCGCUGCGAAUGAGCGCCGAGUGGAGGAGGAGGGAUGGGGCAGGAGGAGGGCAAGAUCCGGGAGGAAGGGAGAGAUCUCGGGAGGUGGAGAUGGAAGGAUAUGGCGGAAGGGAGAGAUCCAGAGGGAGAGAGCAGGGGAGAGAGGGGGGCGUGUGGGGAGAGAGCGCGUGUGGGGUGGGGCCGGGCUGGUGGGAUGGAAGGGAGAGGGGCUAGACGGGCGCAGUGCAUUCAACUGGAUGAAGUAAAUAUUUUGGAUUCGAGACCCCAGCUUUAUUAUCACCGCUGGUCCGUAGUACCAUCCGGUGCCUGCUCGUAAUUUAAUUUGAAUCUGCGGUGAUGUUUUAUUAUCACCAUCGGAUCAUAUAAAAAUCCGGCGGUUAAAAAUCCGCUGGUUUCGAUGAAAACCGACGGUGAUAGGAUGACUGUGAUAGUCUCUUCUCUAGUAGUGGUAUAUUAGUACCGGCUGCCGGAUGGUGUUGCCGACCAGUACUUCUCCGGGGGCGAUUCAGUACUGCUGUUAGCAAAGCUUGUUCUCUAUGAAUUUGGGGAUGGAAAGCUAGUUCUCUAGUUGUGAUUUGUUACAUAUAUAUCUAUGAUAGUCUAGAAAUUGCAUGUCCUUCGUUGACAUAGUUGAAGCUGCUUCAAGAAUUUACUUCGUGCAGUCGUGCAGCAUAUUGGAUUAUCACCUAGACAGGAUACAUAGGUGAAGCAUUGGAUGUGAUUGUGGCCGAUAAUUAUGCAGGACGCUGUUGCAAUCAACCACCAAGAAGUCUGGAGUGAUGGGGUUGCCUCAUCAAUAAUUUUUAUAUAUGGCUGCAGUAUUAUUAAGCCCACGUCAAUAAUUUUUUGUCCGCACCAUAUAUCGAUGGGGUUGCCUCAUCAAUAAUUCGCGCAACCAGACAAGCUGCAGACUCAAUAUGGUACGAAGCUAGUUGCUCAGCCCACAUGCUCUGAUAUAACAUUGACAUCUGCUGAUCUACAGUAUAUAUGACCAGAAAUAUUGUGCCCACCUCAAUAACUUUCUGAAGUAUCGUGGGGAAGAACCUACGCGUACUAUGCCUCGGAACUAACUGACAUAUCGGCCCAGGCGGUCUAGGCCGAUUGGACUGGCUCUUCCUUGUGGCUUCUCACAUCCCCUUCGUCCCCAAGUAAUUUCAGGUGUUCUGUAGUUUUCUUUUCACUUGCAUCUGAGCCUCCUAUAUCAAUAGCUUCGGGAUAAGAAUGCCUCUUGAUAACCUUCCAAAUCCUCGCUUGAUUCACAUUGAUUCCGAAAUCAUCUUGCCAUAUCUUCAGAGACUUAGGUCCUAAGGCAUCAUGGAGGAUUGCUCGCCAAGAAUGAGCACCAUUGGGCUCCUGAGGACCCUAGGCCGAUCAGCCCGGGCUCUAUAGGUCGAUUGGCCCAGGCCCUCUCUGGGCCUGUUGGCCUUCAUCUUUCUUUGAGUCGACGCUUAUUCAGGGCUUUGUCCAAUUAUAGUCCAUUAUAGUCUAAUUUCCUAAAAAACAGAAUGUCCUCCAAAAUACAAUGCAUAUGUGAAAACAACCCAAUUAUUAGGUAUGAUCAAUAGUUUAGGUAUUAAAUUAAUAUUAUUAUUUAAGAUAAACAGGGGUAAAGGGUGUCAUUAAUAACAAGCGCCAACAAGCGUCCUAGCUGUUCAAUAAAUUUUUUCUAGUACCGAUUGGUAACACUAACCGGUGCUAAUAUGUACCCUUUAUUACCGGUUAUUUUACCAGGUACUAAAGGAGACAAGAGCAUCCUAACAUAAGGUUAAUAUCAUCCAUUUCAUGAGUAAAAUACUAUGAUUCAAAAAUAAUUCAAAUCCCUUAAGACAAUACCUAUCAAAUGAGUAAAUUGUAAAUAGAGUAAUCUUGAUCAAACAAUGUCCUAAUGAAACGGAACACUUCUGGUUCGUGUAGAGCACAAUAUAGAAAACAGUAGGGUAGCUGUAUGAUUGACACGUGGUCCAUUAAUUAUUGAGCCAACACUAUGGACAUGUCUUCAUGAGUAGUGUACUAGUCAUAAUACAUGGUAUGCAGUAGGUGGAGGUAUUGACUUAGCCAUGCUAUGAGCACUUAGUUACAACAAACACUUUGCCAUUAUCGAGCAUCCCAAAUCACUACAAAAUCCAUAGUUUACCAUAUACUACAAAAUCUGAGUUAAAAUAAGAGCAUACACGGAAGAGUCCGAAUGCACGGCACAUUGAAUUACUAGACAAAAUUUAUGGGACAAGGUUUUGGGUAACCGCAUGAAAAAUAUUGGAUUUUACUGAACACUUAGUUACAAUUACCAUGCCCGUGAGCACUUAGUCACCACAAACAUUUAACCACUUUAGAUCAUCCUGAAUCCCUAUAAAUUCUAUACCUUACACCGUACCAUGAAAACGACAAGAACAGAGACAGAUGCGGUGAAAAUCUCCAGAGCAAGCCUGAAAUUAAAAUAAGAGGAGGCAGUCACUAUCGACAGGACACGGAGAUUGCUAGCCAUGACAGAGGAAGACAUGAUAUGAUAUUCACCUCUGAAAUGCAGCGUAGACUAAAUGAAGCACAAUUGCAAGUGAGUGUGGCAGAUAAUGGACCAUCGAGACCAUCGAAUGGUAUGAAGCAUGAUUAUCACCUAGACAUGAUAUCCUAGACAGGACGGUGAAUUGUAAAAAGAGUAAUCUUGAUCAAAGAAUGUCCUAAUGAAACGGAACAUUUUUGGUACGUGUAGAGCAAAAUAUAGAAAACAGUAGAGUAGUUGUACGAUUGAAACUGCAUCCAUCGACGUGGUGCAUGAAUUGUUGAGCCAACACUGUGGACAUGUCUUCAUGAACACCAUCUAGUGAGGACAGCAUGCAGAAAAAUAUAAAAACAUGUCAUAGGGAGGCAGACCAAUCUUGCGAGGUAGACGAAACGUGAUACACGAUCUGCCUACCUUGUCGUGUGGAUACCCCAAGUGAAGAUGUCAUAGAGGUGCAGACCAAGCUAGCAAGGAGGUAGAUGAAACGUGAUACACGGCCUGCCUACCUUGCCGUGGAUAUUAGUCCUGAUAUCAUUCUAUUGUUCAAGGAAUAACACUCAAUGCUGCUGCUGCUGCUGACCUGGCUCCAUAAAGUUAUAUUCCUCUAGCCGCUUGCACUAACUUUAUCUGAAGUAUUAUUCUCUCUGCACUGUAUAUAUGGUUACGGAGUUUGCUGGAGUAUCCGGGGGGAAGAACCUACAUAAUAUGUCUUGGAACUAACUGACAUUGAUUCACAGACAAGGUGCUGUUGUUGACAUGGUACAGUAAAUAAUAUAGUUUACCAUAUACCGUAUACCAUUAUAUGUUAGCUAAAAUAAGAGCAUAACAUGUCGCAGGAGUCCAAAAGCACCGGUUGAGGACCAGGUACAUUAAAUUACUAGAAAACAAAAGGGGACAAGGUUUAGGUAGCCACAUGAAAAACAUUUGAAUUUACUGUACCAUGAACACUUAGUUACCAUGCCGGGAGCACCUAGUUAACACUAACAUUUAGCCACUUUAGAUCAUCCCGAAACACCAAUGACCCUCAAUAGCGACAAAUUUUGGUUUAAAUGCCGUCACCAAUGAUCCUCAAUAGUGACGUGUUUAGGUUUAAAUCCCAUCACUAAUAACCCUUGGUAGUGACGUGUUUUGGUUUAAAUCUCAUCACCACUGAUCCUCACUAGUGACGUGUUUUUAGCAACACACGUUAUGAAUGACUUGUCAUUGGUGACAUGUUAAACGCGUUAUCUCAAUGGCAAAUCAAUGGUGACGUGUUUAAAAAAACAUGUCACUGUGAGAGUUAUUGGUGAAGGGUAAUUAAAAUGCAUCACUAAUUUUGUAGCAUUAGUUAUGAUAUAAUUUUGUAACGCAAAAAUCUACCAUAGUAAUGAGGUUUAGAGCCAUCACUAAUGUGGGUUUCUUAUCGUAGUGAUGCAAGCUCUACAAGGUGCUGUUGUUGCCAUUUUAAAGCAUCCCAAAUGACUACAAGAGUCCGGUUGAGGACUAAACAAAUUGAAUUACUAGAACCAAAUGUAUGUCCAGAACAAAGAAAGGGGUCAAGGUUUGGGUAACCGCAUUAAAAACAUUGAAUUUUACUGUACCAUGAACACUUAGUUACCAUUACCAUGCCUUGAGCACCUAGUUACCACAAACAUUAAUUUAGCCACUUUAGAGGUUCCACAAUCACUAUAAAUAAUAUACCAACACCGUACCAUGAAAACAUCAAGAAGAGAGACGGGUACAUGGACCACCAUCAAGUGAGUAGUGACAGCACGCACAAGAAUACCCGGAACCUUUUAGCUUGUCUGUAGUGAUCUGUUUUCUUCGCCACAAAUAAUGAAAGAGGCUGACCAAGCUAGCAACGAGGUAGAGCAAACGUGAUACACGUAGGUUUCAUUCAAGACAUCCAUGUAAGAUUCAUUCAAAACAUUCAUGGAAAUUUCUUGUAAGUUUUCAUGUAAAUUUCAUUCAAGACAUUUGUUAGAGGUGUUGUAUAUACACUUAACGUACAUAUAUCUAUGAUUUCAUGGUUGUUAGUGAUGGCAGAUGAGGAGCAUGCAAGGUGUUUAAUGGAGCAGAUUAUUGCUAGUGGUAGUGGCUCCAACCUGCCCGUAACGUACACCGACGAAGAGGGCAGCCAGGCGGACAUGUUCCUCAACAUGUCCGGUGAUGGCAAUGAAGAGCCCGAGCAAAACCUUGCCGUGACGGAAGGUUCCAUCGAGGUAUAUAUCAUUUCCAUUAUUUUACCCCAUCUAUAAUUUCAUAUUCAUUAUUACUAUGUGCUAAUUAAUGAAUCUUGAACCGUUAGUCCUCUAGAUCAACGAACCGAAAUAAGCCCCGAGGUCUUACAAAGAUAAUGCAGGGAAGGCUUCACAUCAUGGAAGUCACAGAAGAGGGCACAUCGGUUGCUCCCGAACAUGUGGCAAGAAAGUACGUGAGUCAAACCGGGGCAAUCGUAAGGGACAACAUGCCCAUCAGCAUCAGGGAAUGAAAGAGCAAUAGAAAUGAUCUAUACGCACCCCCGGAUACACAAAAGGAUAUGUUGUGGGCAAAUAUCAAGAAACACUUCACAUUUCCCAAAGGAUAUGUUGAAAAAUAUGUGAAAGCGUGGAUGUUGAAGAAGAUGGCCACCCAAUUCCAGACAUUCAAGAAGAUGUUGGAUGCCAACUUCAUCAAGAAGGGUCGAACUCCGGGUUUCAAUGAGUGGCCAAAGUUAAGGGACCACUGGGAGUCGUUUGUCGAAUACAAGACGAGCGAAGGUGGUGCGAGUAAGGUUCACAUCAAUGUUGCCAAUGCUAGCAAGGAGUACCAUCAUCAUCUAGGGCGACGUGGUUACAGCUCUGCAAUUCCCAGAUGGCGCAAGAUGGAACAAGACCUGAUCGAUCGGGGUAUCGUACCAGCAACUCUUGACUGGAUCGAUUGAAAAAUUGGUAUUAUGCUCAUGAAGGCAAUCUGAGCCAAGAGGAUCCGACAUUGGUCUUCAAUAAAACAAUACGUCAGAAGGUCGGAAGGCUUAUUAGGAACAUUGAAGAUGCUAAAGCUGGGAGGUUCAAGGUGGAUAGAGAGAAUGAUGAACUCACAUUGGCCCUCGGGACUGUCAUCUCUAGCACUUCCAGCUCCAGGACUAUCGUCACCACCGGGACCGUCGCUUCCUGCUCGAUCACAGUCUCCAUCUCCAGCACAUCCUGGUGGUGCGAGCGACGACGACAACAACACCCCUCCCUGCCCACCAUUGCCGGGACUAAGACCCGCAUUGAGUAAGGAACCUGCAACACCACUGAAGAAGUCGCGACCACCACCUUCAAGGCAAGUCAGCAAAAGAAGAAAGCAGAGAAGCCUAAACCCACUGAGAAGCCAGCGACUGAUAUGACCGAUGCGGAAAGAUGGAAGGCACUCAAAGAAGAAUGCAGGGAGUGGUUCAGCGAAGGCGAAGGUGAGAAAGUCGUAUGAAUCGAAUUCAAGGAUAUAUAUGAAGUGAACCAUCAGGAUGCCCUUGAUGUCUCUCUCAUCAGCGCCUAGGUUCUGUAAGUGUAUGUUUAUCUAUAAGUAAAUUUUGGCUCAUAUCAUUAUUUUUUUUGCGUGCGUCACCCUACUAACUUCGUCUUCCAUUUUAUGUAGGAUGCUAAUUCAGACGUGCCGCAUAGAAGCGUACUUCCAUGUUGGAUUCAUGGAUCCAUCCCUAGUUAACCAAAAGCCGAUACGGAAGUAGCUAGAGAAAACGUUGGAGGUGGUGUACAACCUCCUGGACAAACUAAACUACAGAAUAGGGGCAAUAUGUGAGGGUCUUGUAGGAUUCCUAGUGGACGAGGUGAUAAAUCCAUAAGGAGAAUAUCAUUCCAACGGACGAGCAUUAGACACACUGAGCAACACCUAGAUGGGAGGAUCCUAGGAAUGACCUCGACAGAUUUUGGUAUAAAUAGUAAUUGUGUAAAUACUAGUUUGAUUUGUAUAGGAAUAUACUAAGAAUUGUAUAUAUAGUAAUUGUACAAAUACUAGUUUGAUUUGUAUGAAUACUAGAUUGAUUUUAUUAUAAAAAAGUUUUAAGUCGUACGUGCAUGCGCCUACAAAGGCGCGGAUGCCUUUUAAUCCCAGUCGGAAAAACAAACUGGUACUAAAGGGGCUCGUGCCGCACCUGGCAUGACCACCCCUUUAGUCCCGGUUGAACGACCCAGGACUAAAGAUCUCCGCGUCUCAAAAAUUUUAUCUCGGAUGCUUUUUAGAGAGAUUUGAGGCCUAUCAACCAAGACUAAUAUCGAGUUUUCUACCAGUGAAACUAACUAACGUUCACAUGGUUUUGACAUUCACCUGCCAUUUGGUGUAGACAAGGGCACCCUAACAUAUGGUUAAUAUUAUUCUUGAAAGAAAAUCCUUUGAUUCAAAAUACUUCAAACCUAAUAAUACAAUACUUCUCACAUCUGAAAAAUAUGAGACGGCCCGACAGUAUUCUAAUCGACGCAAUAAUAUUUUGAGGGCAGCACUACUACAGCGACCCUCAUUCGUGCCGGUGCUGGGACUCCUAUCACGACCCUGAUACAAAUGAGGGUACAUUAUUGGUGCCAGUGCUAGAACAGCCACGAAUAACUUGCUAAACGUGCUGUUACACUCACUACAGGGACCAAGAAGGUAGAUAAAUUACACGACAUAGCCUUGGUUGCCGUGGAAGCGCCAAGAAGGGAGACAAAUUACAGGGACCACACCAUCAAGUAGAUAGUGACAAUAUGCAAAAGAAUACCCGCGCCUGUUAGCAUGUGAACUGACCACACCACGAAACGUGAUACACGGCAAGCGUACCAAGGCCUUGCUGUGCAGACUAUGCAUGGACAACACAUGGUACCUGACCGCUUUUGGCCUCAGACACAUCGAAAAACUGCAUCGUUCCACGUUGUACAUCCAUUGCUAGUUUAUCUAUAUUACAUAAUAUAUUAUUAGCUAUUUGAAUAGAAUGAACCAAUUAAAAAAUUGCGUUGUAUUUUUAGUACCGGCUGCAGGAUGGUGUUACCAACCAGUACUAAUUGGCCUGUAGGAGUGAUGGUUAUUAGACUUGGUACUGUUGUUAGCAUCAUUAACCUAAUUGUGCGCCGUAUGAAUUUGGGGAUGCAAAGCUAGCUCUCUAUGAAUGUGAGGGAUGGAAAGCUAGUUCUCUAGUAGUAAUUAUAUAUAUGACAGUCAAGAAAUCGAACACUAUGCUGCUACGAGUCACCAUCAUUUCCUUCAUUGACAAUCUGACAUAGGUGAAGCUGCUUCAAUAAUUUCCUUCGCGCAGUCGUGGAGCUUAUUGGAUUAUCACCAGGACGGGACACGGAAAUGGCCAGCAAUGAAGCUGAUUGCCGUCUGAGGAAGACUACAUACUUACCUAUGAAAUGAAGCGAUUGCAUAGACUAAUGAAGCAUUGCAUAUUUGCAUGUGAGUGUGGCAGAUAAUUCUGCAGGACAUGAUUGCAAUCCACGCACCAUCGAGAAGACUGGGGCGAUGGGGUUGCCUCAUCAAUAAUCACGUGGAUGCAUGCAUGCAUGUUCCCGCAACCGGACAAGGGUCUGAUAUAUGGCUAUAGUAUUACUGAGCCCACAUCAAUAAUUUCCACUGGUGUAUCGUGUGGGAAGAAUCAACAUACUACACCUCGAGUUCUUGGAACUAACUGACGUUCACAUGCAACCUCCACAAGGUGCUGUAUGCUUUUGACAUUCACCUGCCAGUUCGUGUAGAGAAGGACACCCUAACGUAUAGUUAAUAUUAUCCAUUUCAUGAGUAAAAUACUGUGAUUCAAAAAUACUUCAAAUCCCUUGAGACAAUACUUCUCACUUGACUAACCACUAACCAACCCCGAAACCCUAACUCAACUCCGAACCCUAACCCCUAACGGCAUAACCACUCCGUUUUGCCGGCGAGAUGGAGGAACUGGCUGGAAGGUAGAGAGGGCAGCGGUCCAGGGUUGAAAACGACGGGCGAGCGCAGUAACAUGUGGAGGAGGAAGUGCCACGUAUUCGUUCACCGCUAUUGGGCAGCGACACACGACACGCCCAAUAAGAUCUUCGCACGGUAGAAGGACGUCAUGUAUUCAAUAAUGUUAUUGGUCCCCCAUGUGCAGAAGGGCGCGCGCGUAUGGAAUAACAAGUAGGGACACUGCAACUAAUCUACUCUGCUCGUCCAGUCCCUAGCCUAUAAAUAGAUGCCAUGCUAGCUCUUGUUGUGCUCACAAUUAAUCCGAUUACACACGAGCUUCUCUCCCUGGCCAAGACACAACCAUAGUAUGAUGAAGAACAUGGCACUAGCCGGCAAUGGUAUGAAGAAGUUAAUCCUCGCUGUUCUCUUACUGUGUCUAGUUAUAGGGCAGAUACAAGUGGAAGCUAAGAGCUGCUGCCCAUCCACCACUGCAAGAAAUGUCUACAAUACCUGCCGUUUCACGGGUACAUCCCGUCCAACGUGUGCAAAACUGUCAGGCUGCAAAAUUAUCAGCGGGAACAAAUGCAAGCCCCCUAACGACCACCUCACCCUUGACCCGGACACUGGUAAAUAAUAAAUUUAUCUCACUUGAUUUCUUCGUGAUUUGAGUCGUUAAUGUAUUUUCCAUCUGAUGAAACGUAUUGGUUUUGCAUUGAAGAGGAAGUUAAUGUGCUUAACUUCUGCAAGUUGGGGUGUGCGUCGUCUGUGUGCAACAACAUCAACGCUGGUAAGCAACUUUUGCUCAGACAGAGAAAACAAUAAUCAUUAAUUAGCGGCAGCUAGAAUCCUAUAAUCUAAUAUAUAUAUAUAUAUAUAAUUUUAUCAGCUCUGGGAAAUGAAGAGGCGAACGAUGCCGUUGAGAGUUGCGACCAAGCCUGCUCUAGCUUCUGCAGCGUGCAUGUUGGCAGCGCCACCGUGGUUGCUUAAGCAAAUGCAUCCAACUAGAUCGUCCUUGUGCUGAAUAAUUGGAUAUCGUAUCCACUUAAAGCUGCCUUGUGUAGUACGUCUUUGUGUCUCUCUUUAUAUUCCAAUAAGGUCGGUGAUCUUGAUGCCACACACUCAGAUGUGUGUUCAUCUCCAGAUACUACUCCAUGCUACCUGCCCUUUGUGUUUUGUUCAAUAACUGGGUAUCAUAUCCCAGCCAGUAUGCCGUCUGUUUUGUGUUUGUUUCCUUCUAGUUCCAAAGGGGUCAUCAUGAUGUUACCUUCUUUCAAUAUGGUGCUUUGCAUGACUACUGUUGUAUGGUACCAUCUUGUGGCCAAUAAGUACAUCUUAUCCUAUGACCUUUGCUAUGACCCUUUGCAAAUAAGUAGAAGAUUGUUAUAAGCGUCAAUACUCCGUAUAAAUUGAUCGCUGCUGUGAGUUCCCUUUCAGCUUAUCGUAGGCAUACAUUAUUGCUAGCACGGUAAAGCCAACCAACACGAAUGAUGAAGUAAACGUAGCGGUACUUCUGUAUACCAACACCCUUACUUAAAUGUACCGGUGUCAUUCCCUACUGGCACAUAUAUUCUUAUAUGCUAGCCAGCUUGUAAAAUUAACCAAUUAAAAUAAUUAUUUCAAGAUAGAAAUAACUUAUCGGUUUCUGGAAGCAUGUGUAAUGUGAAUUCAAGGACUCGACGGAAGUUGAAUCACUUCAUCUAUAUUGCUUUCAGUAUUUUGGGUAACUAAAUUUAACAUUUGCACAUACAAAUGUUAAAGUACAAAUGUUAAAUCUAGUUACCCAAGCAGAAUAUGAAGAUAGUUUAUAGUAUAUAUAUACUAUAUAAAUCUAGUUAACAUUUAGUCUAAAUGUUAAAUCUAGUUACCUAAAAUCCUGAAAGCAAAAUGUAUAAAUAUAUAUCUUUUAAGGCAGUAUAAGCUUCGAUUCCUAUUGCUGCUCUGUUAAAUCUCAUCUUUCGUUGUGGCCCAACACUCUAGUAUGCAUGUUGCACCAAGCUUCUUUGAGCCGCUCUGCCCUCUGAUUUUGCUGCGUAGGGGAAUCUUUAUCAGGUUGGGCUACUUCCAGUUGUGCGAUGUAAAGAUUCGUAUUUUCUAGAAGGUAGACAAAAAACUCGCGUUCUCUUAAGGCAACAACCGGAAGAUUCUGCAGCGCACAGGGCAUACCAUUAUUGUAGAAACGACCUUUAGUACCGAUCUCCAACCCCCUUUAAAACUGGUUUUGCAACCGGUACCGUUAUGUCGGUCCUUUAGUACCAGAUCAAAUAAGUACCGGUUGGUAACCAGUAUCAACUUGUUUUGCGGCCAAAAAAAUAAAGAAAAAAACAGUCAGAAGGCUCGCACACACGCGCAUCACAUGAAAUAUGCGUGUGCGGGGUCCAUGGGAUUCGAACCCAUGAAAUCAAGCUGCACGCGACCCUUCGUUACCAUCUCACCUACAUAGCGCAUAUGCUUUCCUGAAGUAACCCGUGGAGGAGGCUUUAGUACCGGGUCAUAACACCACCCGGUACUAAAAAUGACUCUUCAGUACCGGGUCAUAACACCACCUGAUACUAGUAUCGGAUGGUGUAAUGACCCGAUACUAAAAGGCCUCUAGGGACCCUCAAAUUUGAACCCGGUACUAAUGCUAAUAUUAGUAGCGGGUCAAAGUGCAGCCAGAACUAAAGCAUGGGAUGAAAGGUCAUAUUUCUAGUAGUGUAUAGUUGUUGUGAAGGACUGACUUGGCUGUCCUCUCUCUUCUCCAUCCCCUUGGUCUUACGCCGCCGCUCGCACGCGAGCCGGUGCCCAACCAGAGGAGUGAGAGCUAGGGGCAGGUUGGGAGGUGGGGAUAGUGACUGGUGGCCAGGGUGAUGGUUGAUCCUGGUGGGGUUAGGGUUUCAGGGUUUUCGAGCUUCCUAUGGUCGGCGAACCUAGAGGAGAAGCUCAACAUCAGCUGCAACCCGCGAUGGUGGUGGUUUGGCCGGCGCCCGAGGCGAGGCAGCGCGGGAGUGCUGCCGGUGGGUUGGUGUUGGCACUCAUUAUUGACAACUAUUUUGUUCAUAAAAUAACACUCAAACUUGCUGCUGCUGCUGCUGCCAUCGCCACCCUAGCCAUAAUAUAAAGGCAAAAUUUGCUAAAGGACAUGCAAAAUGAUGCUAGUUUGCUGGCGGGCAUCGUUGACCUUGUAAUAUGCUACAAGACACUCUAGUUGUGUAUCAAUUUGCUGAAAGACAUUGCUAUGACUAAAAUAAUGUUUCUGGACUGAGUUGGAGAGAGAGAUGGAGUGAAAUGUCUGUUUUGCCCAUGACCCCACUGGUCAGAUCCUUCUUCUUCCACCCUCCUUUGUUCUUUCUUCAACCAUUACCCAGCUCCAGCGUGUUGCAGAUCUACGAGGGUGGCGGCCUGGGGCGAGGGGCAUCGCUCGCCCUUGGAGGAGCGCUGCGAGCGACGGCGCGGGGGCGGCAACAGCGCGUCAGAACCUGACUGUUCGUUAGCUCCUCUCGCUGCUGGGGAAGAAGGAGGGGGAUGGGCCAUGGACGGGGUUCCCUUGAAAACCUCAGCGUCGAGCUCGGGCGGCUACGCGCAGGCAGCACUAGGCUGCUUCACGGGGAGGGGGCGCGGCCAAUCAUUGGCACCCCACUGGUCCAAUGCUGAUGAAGAUGGUGCCAGCGUCGUGUGAGGACAUCUCAUCUCCUCGAGUUCCAUGGCCAGCACAGGUGAGCUGCCGCUACCACAAAACAGAGGUUUCGUGAGAGUCAAAAAACCUUAUGAAAAUAGCUAAAACCAUCAUGAAAAUAAUCCGUGACAUGACACUCUCACGAAAAUCCUCUCACAAAUAUGGUGCCAUGAAAAUACCAUUUUCAUGAGAGUGAACUGUCAUGAUUUUAUAAGCGUCAAUACUCGGUAUAAAUUGACUACUGCUGUGAGUUCCCUUUCAGCUUAUCGUAGGCAUACAUUAUUGCUAGCACGGUAAAGAGAACCAACACGAAUGAUGAAGUAAACGUAGCGGAACUUUUGUAUACCAACACCCUUACGUACCGGUGUCAUUCCCCACUGCCACAUAUAUUCUUAUAUGCUAACCAGCUUUGAAAAUUAAGCGAUUAAAAUAAUUAUUUCAAGAUAGAAAUAACUUAUCGGCUUCUCGAAGCUUGUGUAAUGUGAAUUCAAGGACUCGAUGGAAGUUGAAUCGCUUCAUCUAGAUUGCUUUCAGGAUUUUGGGUAACUAAAUUUAACAUUUGCACACACAAAUGUUAAUGUACAAAUGUUAAAUCUAGUUACCCAAGCAGAAUAUGAAGAUACUCUAUAGUAUAUAUGUACUAUAUAAAUCUAGUAAACAUUUAGUCUAAAUGUUAAAUCUAGUUACCUAAAAUCCUAAAAGCAAAAUGUAUAAAUAUAUAUCUUUUAAGGCAGUAUAAGCUUCAAUUCUCUGUUAAAUCUCAUCUUUCGUUGUGGCCCAACACUCUAGUAUGCAUGUUGCACCAAGCUUCUUUGAGCCGCUCUGCCCUCUGAUUUUGCUGCGUAGGGGAAUCUUUAUCAGGUUGGGCUACUUCCAGUUGUGCGAUGUAAAGCUUCGUAUCUUUUAGAAGGUAGACAAAAUACCCGCGUUCUGGAAGAUUCUGCAACGUGCACGUUGGCGCUGCCACCGUGGUUGCUUAAGCAAAUGCAUCCAACUGAAUCGUCCUUAAGCUGAAUAAUUGGAUAUGGUAUCCACUGCUUAAAGCUGCCAUGUUUAGUACGUCUUUGUUUUUCUCUCUUUAUAUUCCAAUAAGGUCGGUGAUCUUGAUGCCACACACUCAGAUGUGUGUUUAUCUCCAGAUACUACUCCAUGCUACCUACCCUUUGUGUUUUGUUCAAUAACUGGGUAUCAUAUCCUAGCCAGUGUGCCAUCUGUUUUGUGUUUGUUUCCUUCUAGUUCCAAAGGGGUCAUCAUGAUGUUACCUUCUUUUGAGGUGUCUAUGAUGACUUCGUUAAUAUCAAUAUUAACCAAUUCAAUCUGUCUUAACUAUUUGUAAGGGGUAUGAUGUAUGCAUGAUUAUAACAAUGAUUGCGCAUACAAUCGCCGCCAAAGAAACGGUCAAUACCAUUAAGACAUAUUACAGACAAUUCUCAUAAUCUAUAAUGAAUAUACAUAUUCACUACUGCAGAAGACUGUCAUUUGUAUCGGCUCAUACGUGCCAGGGCAAAGGUCACCCUUGCAUUAAGUACAUUUGCACGGUAAAGACAACCAACACGAAUAAUGAAGUAAACAUGCCGGUGCUUUUGUACACCAACACGCUUACUUAAAUGUACUGGUGUCAUUCCUCACCGGUAGCCGGCUUGAAAAUUAACCAAUUAGAACAAUUAUUUAUUGUAUCGGUGUGAUUUUUGACCUAUUGGAAUAUGAAUUUGACCGUUACUGCAUUCGUCAAGACUCAAGAGAGAAAUAACUGAUCGGCUUCUUAGAGCGUGUGCAAUGUGAAAUCAAGGACUGGAUGGAAGUUGAAGCGCUAGCACUAGUAGAGAAACGACUUUCCAUCCACCCCCUUUUGUCCCGGUUUAAAGUUGGCUCGGGAUAAAAGGUUCACCAACCGGGACUAAAACUCAGUCACUGGUGGGAGGCUCACCAACCGGAACCUUUUAUCCCGGUUGCAAAGGCUAAUGGGAAAAAAAGACUCUGAGAGGCCUUUUAUCCCGGUUUGAAACACCAACCGGGAUAAAAGACCCCCCUUUUAUCCCGGUUGGUAACACCAACCGAGAUAAAAGGGUCAAGAGCCUUUUAUCCCGGUUGGAAACACCAACCGGGAUAAAAGACCCCCUUUUAUCCCGGUUGGUGUUUCAAACCGGGAUAAAAGGGCCCCCACGAGGUGACUGGAAGGUGACUGGAAGGGGAUUAAAUCGUGGGGGACCCUUUUAUCCCGGUUGGAAACACCAACCGGGAUAAAAGGGGGUCUUUUAUCCCGGUUGGUGUUUCCAACCGGGAUAAAAGGGUCCCCCACGAGUUAAUACAAAAGGAUAGUAUCCCCUACAUAGUCAGAUGUGGUGUGUAGGUGGGAUGGUAAGGAAGCUACGCGCGAGCUCCGGAAUUUUUUUUUUUUUUUUUUGCAGCGUCGGCGCUCUCUACCCUUUUAUCCCGGUUGGUAUUACCAACCGGGAUAAAAGGGGGUCUUUUGUCCCGGUUGAGUGACCCGGGAUAAAAGACCCCCCCUUUUUUCCCCGGUUAGUUUAUCCCGGAUGCAUUUUCGGGAUAAAAGCACCCUACCAACCGGGAUUAAAGCUCACUUCUCUACCAGUGUAGCUUCAUCUUCCGCUGCAAGUUAAUUGCUUGGAUAAGAAGUUGUAGCCGCUGCAAGUUAUAAAUAGUCCCGCUGAUGCUGUGCUCCGAAGUCUAUACUAUAUAUGCGGAAACUAGAUUGCUUUCAGGAUUUUGGGUAACUAAAUUUAACAUUUGUACAUAAAAAUGUUAGUUUACGAAUGUUAAAUCUAGUUACCCAAGCAGAACAAGAAGAUAGUAUAUAGUAUAUACUAUAUAAAUCAAGUUAACAAUUAGUCUAAAUGUUAUAUCUACUUACCCAAAAUAUUGAAAGCAAAGAAAGAAUAAGUAUAUAUCUUUUGUUGGAAAAUUGGUCCACGGAGAGGCCCAUUUAGGCCUCGUUCGUUUCACCGGGAUGGGAUUCCAGUCAGGAUUACUUCCAAGUUCGGUUUGAGUGAUUCCACCCGUGUCACUCAAUCCGGCUAGGAUUCAUUCUAUGGGUGAGGAGGUAUGGUUUCAAUCCAGGCCAUCUAAUGUAGAAGGAUUCCAAUCCAGGCCGGUUUUCGUUCCAGGCCAGACUAAAACGAACAACACUUUCAAUGCAAGUCUGGUUUCAAACCGGGCCAUUUCAAACCACCCGGAAUGGACCUCGUUCCAGGCCAAUCCGGUGAAAACAAAUGAGGCCUUAAUGGAAUCCCAAAGCAAGAGUUCAGUGGCAUUCUAUAGUCCCAUGCUGCUAGUUUGAGUUGGUCGAAGCCAACUUAAAUAGGAGAGCUCUCUCACUUCUCUAAAUACGUAACUGAAGGAGAGAAGGGGGCUUGGGUUACACAACGCACGCACGCACGCAUAUUUGCGUUCUUUUCGCGUAACCAACCGCGUGACUUGAAACUUGCGACGUAGCGUGCUGCUAAGUCAAGUUGAUAUAACCUUUUUGCCGUUUGCAUGUAAUCUUUUGACAACGGUCAUUGGAGGUGAUAAGCACGCAGUCAAUACCUUAAUCUUGAGUUAAUAGGGUGGUUACUACUGCCAAUUAGUGGGGCAAUUUUGUAGGGGAAACGGUUAGCAGAGGGCUACCGUCUUCUCUAUAAGAAGUUCUGGAGACGUCCAGGAACACACAUGUACAUGUGAGAGACCCACAAAUUCCUUCCCUUCUCCCUUUUCCAUGUGGUGAAGUGUGCUGUGGUACUGAGCUGCUUGAUCUCGCCGCUCUUCUCCUUGGCAUGCACCGAGGAGGAGGGUGAGCGGUAUCUCCGAGCUAUUGCCGUCAGGAAGCCUGCACGAGGGACAACAAAAAGUUUUUGGGUAGCGCAACUGCCAGCACAACUCUCCCUCCGCCUCUUCUUCACGGUUGAUGGCCACCACAAGCAUAAACCUCGCCUUCGCAUCCACGCAAAAGGGUCGCUGGGGUGCCUUCUUGCAUCGCUUCUCAGCCUCCUUGACUUGCGGCCAGCCAAGAACUGCGCCACCACCUCGGGUGCACGCCACCACUCCAGGGCUGCUACCCCAUGCCUGCGGCCGCCGCCGGCCACCACGCGUGUGCAACCGCGUCGCACCGCUUCCUUGCUUUGUGCCACCACUGCUGCUGUACCACCAGCUCCACCACCUUGGGCUGGUCGCCAGAGUGACUGAUAACUUAUUAUCUGUAACUACUAUUAACUCAGGGAUACAUGCGUCUUUUGCUUCUCCUACUAAUAUGUCCUAAAAUAUCUAGGAUGCCUUAUAUUUCUGGACAGAGGAAGUAUUUGAAUAAAAUGAACCAAUUUAAAAAAAUGUGUUGUACACUACUACAGAAAGACCUAUCAGUGUCAAACCCAAAAAUGUUGUCACCGCCAGUUUUGGGCAUCAUUGGUGAAAGGUUGGCGGUGAUGGGCUUUCCCUUCAACAACGGCACUGGAGCCGACGGUGAUUGACAUUAGAAAACAAAAAAGGGGACCCUACCUAGCCACCCCUGCAACCCGGCCGGCCGUGCCUCCCCUCAUCCCCACCACCUCGCCUCCCCAUGACCCCCCGCCGGCGCCCUUGCGCCUAGCCCCCUCAACUGCCCAGCCGGCCACCCUCAUCACGAGAGAGAGGUGCAUGUUGUAUAAUUGCGUGAAUUUUUUAAUGUUUAAUUUCAUGUAAGUUCCGUGUAAUAAAUUGUACAAGUUUUAUUGUAUAUAUGAAUUCCAUAUAUAUAUAUAUAUAUUUAUAAUUUAAUGUAUGGUUUCAUGUGUAUAUUUCAAUCAUGUGUAUAUUUAGUAGAUUGCCGAUUUUCUUUUUCUACUAGACAAGGGUUGAUGUAUAAUUACGUGUAUAUGUUUAUUGUACGGGCAAUUAGGACAAGUUUUGUAUAAAUUUCUUUUAUUUGAUGGUUGUUGUAUGGUUUCAUGUAUAUACAUUUAUUGUACUACUUUAGACAAUUUUUAAUUUAAUGUUUCUAUGAUUAGAUGUGUGUAUAACUAAUUGUAUUAUUAGUUAAGAUGGGAGCUAAAGAGGAUGAAAGGUAUAUAAUGGAGCAGAUUAUUGCUAGCUCAAACGUUGCAAGAACCUACACCGAGGGUGAGGGUAGCUAGGUGGACAUGUACCUCAACAUGUCCAGUGAUGGCAAUGACGAUGAGGAGCACGAGCAUGACAUCUAUGAUAAUGCGGAACAAGACAUUGCAGAAUUGGAAGGUUCUAAUGAGGUGUGCUUCAUGUUGACAAUCUAGUUGGCUUUUUUUCGUUGGUCACACCUUAGUUACCAUAGAACUUCGUCUCGGGAGAAGAUUGGUGGUGGUAUGGUGAUUGGAAUUUUAUUUCCACGAAAUCUGAUUUCCAUCGAAUCAUAUCCCUUGUAUUUAUCUUCUUUUUAUUUGUGAGAGCAUCUUCUUUAUGCUUGCAAAACAAUUCAAGUGCACAUACUACCCCUAGGGUGACGAUUGGGAGUAGAAAUAAUUGCCAACAAAACAACACCACAUCCUAAGAUUCUUAACUUGUGGCAUAAUUAGUCUAGUAAAAAGAAAGAUAAAAACCUAAUGGGUGUAUGUGAGUGCAAUGUGUAUAUGCAUAUGAGUGGAAGGCAUAUAAGCAAAGACAAUAUUUACACAUAGUUCUAAACACCAUGUUUACAGCUAGGUUGCUGAAUUUCUCCAUAGCCAUAGAGAUUAAUUAACCAAGGUCAAAACACGAUGUCUAUCCCAAGAUCAGUAAUUAUUUAUAGCACAAGAAAAAGAAAGCGCAUUGCAAAGUUUAUAAACCAACCAAUACAGCAUGAAAACAAGAUGAAUAGCUAGCAAGGUUUAUUAAACUGAAUGAUGACGGUCUGUAAGCAAGUUUAAACACCAUCUUUACACAAGAUUGCAAAUGGAAAAUGCCCAUAUGAAGCACUAACAUGGAUAUGAAAUCAUUCAUCAUAAAGCGUAAAGAACAACCAAGCCAACCAUAUGCAAAGCAUGAAUGGAAUGCAAUGAAGGUGCAAGAGAACAUUUUUGGAUGAACACAUUAUGAUGAUGGCAAAAUGCAAUGCAUGCAGAAAAAAUAAAUAUGAACAUGAAUAUGAUGAUCAGGGGCGGACCCACUAUUGUGGCCUGGGUAUUCCUCGGCAUACCCAAUAUUUUUGGGAAAAUGUUUAGUAGUUUUUAAUGGCAUAUACAUGUAUAAUAUAGUUUAGGUGUUAAAAUUGAUAUUCACAGCUAUUUUGGGCUCCAAUUCGCGUCCAAACCAACCUGGCCCACAGACCGCACCCGGCCGCCCGGCCCAUCGGCCCAUCUUGUCACUGAUCCUCCCACCACCACACUCAGCCCGUCAGUUAGUCAGGUCCCGAGCUCCUGCCUGACCUAGUCCGCUACCACCGCCAGGCGCCAGGCACAGCUGUACACGCCGCCCCCGUCCACCCACGUCCGCCGCACGGCCGCGUCGCGCCCCCCCCCGGCGCCCGCUGCUGCCAGAACCCAUUAGGCCUCCACCGGCAAGUCCACCCACAGUCCCGCGCGACGCGGCAGCCUCUUGGCUCUCGGCGCUCGCGGCGCGCCAAUGCCUGCGCAGCCCCAGCAGGCGACUGCCCCCCCCCCCCCCGCAUCGGGCCUCGGCCCCUCCCCAGCUCCCCCUCCCCCCUCCACCAGGACUGCCUGCUGGCCCCCACCGCGAGGUAAUCGAAAUGGACUGCUCAAUCUCUCAAUCUGUUGACAUGAUGCACACGGUUGCAAAAAUAGAUGUGUCAAAAUAGAUGUAUUGCCAAUUGCUAUAGAUGCAUAUGGUUGACAUGAAGAAGUCAAAAAUGACAUUUGGUUCCUUGUAGGCAGUCAAAAAUGAAGAAGUCAAACAAUAUUGAUCUGAAAUCAAUGCGGGAAAGGGCUACGAAGACACACGGGUAGAUUCCCUUGUGAACUUUUUAUGUCGUUCGUCUAAAUAUAUUUUUGCAAUGGGCAUACCCUACUCUGAAAUCCUGGGUCCGCCACUGAUGAUGAUGGUCUAAACAUAAAACAAGCCUAGAUUAAUUAGCUACAACUGAAAUUAAGCAAAGGUUAAUGUCAUUGACCCUAGCUCUAUCCUAGCUUUUACUAAAGUCCCGGCACAUAUAGUGGUUGGGCCCACUCUCUCUACUUCCCUCUCUGCUGCAUGCACACACACGAGCAACUGGAGGCCCAACAAAGCCCAGAAGGGUUCGGCCGAACCCGUCCGAUCCAGUCUGAGCGCCGCUCCCUCCCAGCCUUCGCGCAGAUGCUCCUCCAACGUUCCUUGACCCCUCCCUCAGUGUCCCAUUGGGUUUAACAUUGUAGGAGAGGAGUCCCUUUUUUAAAAUCUCAACCACCUCCUCUCCUCAUUCACUCCACUCUCAUCUCCAUCAAACUCACCAAGAUCCACAUCGGAAAUACCUGCUUACCACCAUGGCUGGCAAAGCCCUCGUCCCUUUCACCAACUUGGGCUUGACCAUUGAUCUCGAUGGGAAAAUCACUCCAGCAAAUGUCAUUGUCCCUGUCGGCGAUCUGGCGAUGGAGGAGGUCCAGGCACUAGAGGUCGAGCCCCUAGCCAUCAUACCGCCCAAGGGGUAAAGCAGGAGCAUGACAGGCGCUGCUAGGGGUUCAGCCGAACUCCCAGUUCAGCCAAACGAGGACGGCGUCGCCUCGGCCUCCCGCUCGACUGCAUGCUUCCCCUUGCCAAGGAGGACUCCAGAACAGCGGGCGCGUGCGUCAAGUCCCUACAAAAGGCUGAAAUACAAUGAAUAUCCAGGGUCACCCUUGAAGAUGGGUGAACGCUACGCCGGGUCCUUGUUUGACUAGUACGGCGAUGCAUUCUGCCACCGCUAUGUCGUUGUCGAGAUUAGCGGAUCAAGACUUAGACUAGUAAAUUUCUUUUAUGCGCGUAAGGCUUCAGAUGGUGGCGUGGGAGACAUGGGUUUUAUACUAGUUCGGGCAAUGGAAUACCCUACGUCCAGUGUCUGGAGCUGCUUGUGUUGCCCACGCGGGGUUCUGUAGUAGGGGUUACAGGUGUGCGAGAGAGGGAGCUAAUCCCAGGUCUCUUAGGCGUGUUCCGGUCCUCUAGAUGGGAGAAGUGUGUUCUGUUUGCUUGGGAGUAUCGGUUGUGUCUGAGUUGUCUCCGGAGCCUCCUCCCGUCUCAGGUCCCCGAUUCUCCUUUCAUAGCACAAGGAGACCAUCGGGGUUACAGACGAGACCGAGCGUGGGGAGGAGUAAAGAGAUAAACAUAGCUAGGUAAAAAUACAACAAGAAAGGGGGGAACCAAGUUUCUAGGUCACCGGCGUCCUCGCCGGCCUUCGACUUCCGCCGGCGCAUUUGUCGGAGGAGGGUGGCCGCCAUCGCGUUCUGUCGAUGGCUUCCUCGGUGACUGUAGCCACCGGGCGUGAUGAUGGCAUUUCGUCGUGACCCUUUGUCUGUUGGGGGAGGCGGCGGAUCCUGCCAUUCUGCUGACGGCUCGCGGAGUGCGAACGUCGCAUCCCUGCCGCUGGGCACGCGGGGCGCGAGAACGUGCGAGGCUUCCCCCUACCCCAGGCGGCGCAGGCCAUGAGUGCCCUGUGGCAAAUCGGAGGAGGCCGCAGCUACUGUAGCUUGUACUGUGCAGCCACGUAUGGGUACUUGUGGCAGGUUGCGUGGUGGAUGCGGAUAUCCUUCUCCCUGACAGAUCUGCGGCGCAUUUAUGGCGAGAUCGACAUGGGGACCCACAAGACCCGCGCCCAAGGCGGAUACUUGUCUGGAGGGCCCGGGUUAGCCUGACCCCCUACGCUUGGGGUCGGGCGAGGCGGAGACUUGCGGCGGGGCGUCGGACGCUCCCGACACUAGACCUGCGGUCGCGCAAGGCGGAGCUUGGUCUUCCGGGGGUCGGGGGUGCCGGACCCCAGGAUGCGGGGUCGGGCGAGGUGGAGCGUAAUUCUUGCCUCCCAUGUUGGGCCGAUGGCAGUCUUUGUUACCUCUAGUGGGCUUGGGCCUUUAUGUUUUGUUGUUUCCAUGGGCUUCGAGAGGUCGUUAAUAUUUCCCCCCAACAGUAGCCCCCGAGCCUGUGGUGGAGUGGGGGCGCUCCUCCGGAGGCUACUAUCAUCGCCCCUAGGGAAUCCUCGCAGUUGAUCCGGGAUAGGAGGUGUUGUUUGCACGGCUUGACCGAGGGGGUCGAUUAGGCGACGCAUCCUGUGAGCGACUCGGUGCGGGAGGGUUUCUUGUUGUUCCCUUCUGUCUGAGAGCCUUAAGUCGAGACCACCUGCGUGGCCUUUGGUUGCAAGGCCAGCCCCCGAGCCCCCGCACGUUGCAGGGGACCGGUCGGAGGCUAGGUCGACUUUUGUUCAUUACCCUCAAGCGUCUGUUCGCUAGGACGGAGGGGGCGAGCCGUGCCAUGCUAUCCUCAUCGGACGAACCAUGGUGCUCAUUGAGUUACUAACGGGUUGAUUCGAGUGGGAUCCCGGUCCCCGUUCGGGGGGGGUCCGGCUUGGGCCAAGCUGGUGGCGUACCCCAGGCUCCGGUCGGCCAGUUCAUAUAGUUCCUGAGUCCGUUCGGUCGGACCGGGGGCUCAUUGCCUUUCUUCGGGGAAAAACCAUGAACUUUGAUGCCGGUCCAGACUCGAAUGUGAGAUUGAGACGCCCGGGGCUGUCGCGUGCCCGGGUGAUGGCCGCUAGCGGACCCGUCUCCUCUCACCCCUCACUCGGGGGUAUCCUGAGGCGGCUGUCGAACCCGUGGCGGGCCAGCCUUCGAACCUCUGGAUCGUAAUGGGCCGUAGGGGCGUUUUCAGCCCCGUAUCCCUUUUUACCUUUUGGUGGGCCUUGGGCCGAAUCAUGGAGGAGGUCGGGCCUUGGGCCGGAUGCGGAGGAUGUCGUGCCUUGGGCCGGAUGUGGGGGACGUCGUGCGUGUCUUCCGGGAGACGAAGUGGUGGAGGGUGCCAACCCGCGAAUCGAGGGAGGAGGGGAUGUUUCUACUGCAGGUCAUGCGCACGGUUUCCGAAAAGGCAGCGGGCGUGACGGGACGUACCUCGCGCCGCAUUUAUUGCGAUGGGGGCGUCUGUUCUGCUUCCCUCGUGCCUUCCCUAUAAAACGAGGACUUCGCCUCGCCGGUUCCGCCCGCCAUCUACCUUCAAGCCUUUUCGCCUCCUCGCGCGCCCUUAGCUUUCCUGUGCCCGCUUCGUCUUCCUCCGCCCAGUGCCGCGCCCUUUCUCCCCAUCCGCCGUCGAGUUCUUCUCCCUCCGGCGAUGGGAUCCUGGGCGCGUUCCCACUUCGGCCCCUCACGCGCCGAAGGCCUAGUGAGGAAAGGCCUCCUUUGCGAGAGGACGGAGACGGAUGAGUGGGGGUUCCCUGAGAUGGAAGAGGUGCCGACUCCGCCCACCGGCUACGUCGUUUCCUUUGCCCACUUCCACGAGAGGGGGUUUGCGACUCCGCCGAGCCUCUUCUUCCGCGGGCUUUUGUAUUACUACGGGCUUGAGCUGCAGCACCUCAACCCCAACGGGAUUCAGCACGUCGCGGCGUUCGUUGCGGUGUGCGAGGGGUUCCUGGGCAUUGAGCCCAACUUCUCGCUGUGGAAGUACUUCUUCACGGUCAGCCUAUACCAGAAGGCCGAGAAGAGGGGAAGCCAGCAGCGGUCGACCCCGGUGCCGAUAGGGUGCGUCGGAAUCCACCUCUGCCAUACUCGCGCCAAGGAGUAUAUCGCGAUGAAGACCGCGGCAUCCCACAAGGGGUGGCACCAGCAAUGGUUCUACGUGAAGAACUACUCCAACCCCCCCUGCCGGAGUUCACCGGCCGCAUUAUUGAAGCGGCGCCGGAGGUGUGGGUGUACGGCCCGGUGGAGAAGGAGAAGAAGCGGAUCACCGGCCUGCUGCAGGCCAUCGAGCACCUGAAGGAGAGGGGACUGACCGGAGCCGGAGUCAUCGGGGCGUACCACGCCCGGCGGGUGGCGCCGCUGAUGCUCCGGGUCCGCUCGCUCGCCGACAUGACCCCCGGUGCUCUCACCGAUGGCACUGUCCUCGCGACGGGUGCUCUCGCUGCCUCCGAGAUCCGGCAGCGGAUCCGGGAGGCGCUGGAGGACAAGGACGCCGAUUACCCGGUGCCCGGCCACCCUCCGAUGCGCCCGGACGAGAAUUUCAUUGAUCUGGUAAGGAUUUUGCGCGCCAGUUUCCCUCUCUUGCGUUUCUUGGUAUGCCGUUCUGACGCGAGGCCCUCUGUGUUUGCAGGGUAGCAUGACCCGGGUCGUCGACUUGCGUCCGCCAGUGUCGGAGGACGCCGAGUGGCGGUAGCAGAACCGUCUCCUUGCCGAGAAGCAAAAGUGACGCAAGGACAAGAGACAGCGAAGAAGAAGAAGAGGGCCGCCAAGGAGUUCCAGCGGCGGCGGUGGGGAUAGGUCGUGUCGGAUGACGAUGACGAUGAGAAGGAGGAGGAGGAUGACGAGGAGGAGGAGGAGUUUAUCCUGUCCCCCCGGUCAGGGGCGCUUGUUAUCCGGGAGCCGCGCUCCCAAGCGGCCAUGGGGGACAAGGCGGGCGAGCUGCCUGCCCGGACCCGAUCCUGCGAAGCUUUGGGGGCGCGCCCCAGGGGUCGGCGCAGAGCGCCCCCCGGGGGUCGACGGAGCCGACCCCCAUCCCUACACCUGCAGCCCAGGAGCAGAGGAGCAGCGACAAGCGGCCGUUGCCAGAUGCCCCGGGGUCGGCGUCCAGCUCAGAGGCGAAGCGCGCGCGCCGCCCUUGCGCUGGGGGAACGUGAGUUGAAUUUCCUUGCGAAUCUCGUUCCUUUCCAUGCAUUGUGUUUGUUUCCGCUGAUGCUGUUUGUUGUCUCACAGCACCGCCCCUCAAGGCCUUGUCCCGCCGUUGGCGCCAAAGAAGGCGUUGCGGUGUUGUCGCCUCUGCGGGGCGGACCGCGGCUCCGCCGGCGGCGAGUGGCGGGGUCACUGGUGAGACCGCGGGUCCUACCGCGGAGGUGGCCCCUGCGGCGGCAACCGGUGGAGUGGUGCCACCGCCGGGCAUGGGACAGGGUCUGGACCCCGCUCCGUCCUCCGCCUCUUCGGCCGACCCCGCGGUGCAGAGUAUCGCUCCUGGGGGCCCUCAGGCCGGGGAGGUGAUUGACCUCGACGCCGACGAGGUGGAGGAGACGGCGGCGGUGGAGACGGGGGCGGUUGCCCCAGCGGCCAUGACGGGGACGACGACGGCGACGGGGGAAGGAGAGUCUACCCCCGCGGCCACGGCGGGGACAGUGGCGACAGAGGAGGCGGGGACGCCCGCCCCGGCGGCUGCGACGGAGGAGGCGGCGGUGACGGAGACGGGGGCUUCCGCCCGGGAAGCCACAGCCGAGGUGGCAGCGGCGACGGAGGUGAAAGUGCCUGUUCUGGAGGCCACGGUGGGGGUGGGGACGCCUGCCUCGUGGCCACGACGGAGGGCGAGGCGGCCCCAGGGACACUUGCUCCGGCACCCGCGUUGGAGGCGGUGGCGCCGACGGGUUGGCCCGUGGCGGCCUCGACGGGGGCGGGGGUGCGUGCGCCGGGACCGUCGGUGAGGCCGGCGACUUCCGGGAUGGUGGUGCCCGUCUUGACGGCGGCGGCGGCGCGGUCGGCCCCCGCCCUUGCCUCUACCACUCCCAUUCCCAAGGCGUGGAGCGGAUCCGUCCUGCGUUGGUCGUCUCGUGACGACCCGCAGAGGCCCCUCUUCACGUUGGAUGAUGCCACAGAAUGGGGCAAGUGGCAGGCGCUGCAGGGCGGACUCGCUAACGUCCGCGCCGCUCUAUCUUCGGCGUUGGGGGAGCUGGACGGCGUCAUCUUCCCCGGUGGCCGGGUAUGGUGCUUUCUCCGUUGGUUAUUUUCUUCCCGUUACUUCGUCCCUGAUGGCACAUUGUUCUGCAGGCCCUCCAAGAAUGUAGCCGGGGAAAAUCUGAUUUCCUUUGGCUCGAGCAGGGGCUCUGGGAGCGCUUCAACUUGGAGUUGCAGCGGACCGGGGAGCUGACCAUGCAAGUCGCCACCGUCUAGCAUGUCAUCGACGAUCUGCGAAGGCACGAGCAGGCGGCACAGGAGGACGCGCGGCGGGCGGAGGCCAAGUUCCAGGUCGUUGCCGAAAGGGCUCGCUGCGACCGCGAGGAGUUCCAGGCCGUUGCCGAAAAGGCCCGCCACGACGCUGAGGAGCUCGCACGGCUGAAGGUGCAGCAUGAAGCUCUUCAGAAGAGCGGCAGAGGGCCUGGCAGGACCGGGACGCCGAGAAGGUCCGGAAGGAGGAGGCUGAGAAGGUGGCGGCCAACCUUGGGGCUGAGGUCAGCCAGCUCCAAGUGCAAGCGCGAGAGCUUCAGGCCUCCGUGGCCCAGGGGCUCGACCAGGAGCGCCAGCUGAAGGCCUAAUCCGAGGGUAUGACUCUGUUUAUUUCUUUGUCUUUGUGAUGUUGCGGUGAUAUUUUAUUUGGCGGGUUCUUCUGGAUGAUCCUUGCAGAUGAGCUCAACUGGCUGAGGGAGGUGCUUGACGCGGAGCGCGCUGAGCACGGCGACCUGCGGGACGCGGUCCGCGUCAUCUGUGACUUCCUUAGUGUGGUCCAGGGGGAGGGGACGAGCUCGCUGGCGGCUCGUGUCCUCGGGACGUACCGCCGGACCAGCGAGAUCGCCCUGGAAGCGCUUCGCACCGGCUUGAGGCAAGCCUUUGGGGUCUUCGGCUCCCACUAUUCCGGCAUCAACUUCGCCGGGAUGAGCGGGGGAUACGCCACCGGCUACUACGAGGCCGAGCUGGAUGAGAUCGACGUGUCGGUGCUCAGCCCGGCGGAGGCCUUGGUGAAGCUCCUCGAGGAUGAGGCCGUCCCGCCCGAAGAUCCCCGGACGAGUUAACUAUAUCGGGCUGGCGCCCCAGAUGUAAAUACGUUAGGGAAAGACUUGUUUUUUGUGAGGGCCGUAGAGGCCUUUUCUAUGAAUUGUCGUAAAAAAGUUUUUGAUUCCCUUUCUUGCUUUUUGGACUUGGAAAGUUUAGAGCACGUUGUCGGGCGUGUCAGUAAGCUUUGAUGAGCGAAGGCACCGUAGCCGCUGGGGCGUCGUUUUUUUUGCAGUCCGAUCAAUCUUGCCUGAACACCGUUCGUGCACUUUCUCCUUUUUAUGCCCAAAAGUUCAGAAAGAGGGUCGGCUCGGAAAGAGAAAGCGUUUUGAGAGGGUGUCAAGUGGCUUAGGUACUUGCGGCAGGUUGCGUGGUGGACGCGGAUAUCCUUCUCCCUGACAGAUCUGCGGCGCAUUUAUGGUGAGAUCAACAUGGGGACCCACAAGACCCGCGCCCAAGGCGGAUACUUGUCUGGAGGGCCCGGGUUAGCCCGACCCCCUACGCUUGGGGUCAGGCGAGGCGGAGACUUGCGGCGGGGGGUUGGACGCUCCUGACCCUAGACCUGCGGUCGGGCGAGGCGGAGCUUGGUCUUCCAGGGGUCGGGGGCGCCUUACCCCGGGAUGCGGGGUCGGGCGAGGCGGAGCGUAAUUCUUGCCUCCCAUGUUGGGCCGACGGCAAUCUUUGUUACCUUGGGUGGGCCUGGGCCUUUAUGUUUUGUUGUUUCCAUGGGCUUCGAGAGGUCGUUAAUAUUUCCCCCCAACACUAUGAGGAGGACUUGUGGGCAGAAAGUCAGCUACCACAAACUUGCCUCUGAAUAUUUGGAGUGCAAACAUUGGAUGGUGGUUGUGGAGAGCCCCAGCCAUACCUCGCACCCGUGGAGAGGUAAUUGUCGGAUUGCUUGGUUCGUCUCUAGAAUGCGACAAGGUCAGGCGCCACCUCUCACUGCUGCCAGUCAGAAGGCCGAGGGGCCAGUUUCAACAUAGUAAUGAGAAUCUCCGAAGGCCAAUAUGGUUAAGCAGCUAACCUCCAUGAUCAUAGACUUACGUUUAGAAAAUAGGAGGCUUAGCGAUGCGUUAACAGAGCAGAAGUUAGAAACAGAAGAACUUAAGGACGACUUCCGUGUCCUCCGCCUUGGUCUUUGUGCUAAGAUAAAGCGCUUGUACAAUGCCACGGGGAAUGACGGUCUCUACGAUGCAGCUCAAUAGACGUGCCCCUUGUAUCCUUUCCUUUAGGCACUUUAGAAUAUGUUUAUUUGUUUUCCUUCAUUUUAAUUUCCAAUAGAUUGUUAGCGCCUCCAAUUUAAUUUCAAUAAAGUGUAGACUCACCGGUCAUCCAACUUGAUGGAGUCCUUUUGUCACCUAGUUGUCUUUGGAAGAAGUAGCUGGGUACAAAAUAAGUGUGGGGGAGAGCCACAGACUCUCUAGAGCUGAAACAAUGCACAACACCCACAAAUAGAGAAAACCACGCUGCACCAGCACGUACGUGAAAGUGGAGCCAGAGCUGGACCCAUAGGGGUUUGGCCAACCCAAGGGGUGGCCCACUCGGGCCAUCUUCAUCCACCGCGUCGGUUUGUGUCUCUUUACCCCUGAUCUCCCUGAUUCAUGAGUUUGAAUGAAUUUUAAAUCUGAUCAACUAAUUCAAACUCAACUAAAAUGAAUCAACUGCUCCACCUGCUCUACAUGUUUUCUAUGGUUGGCUUGCAUAUGUUUUAUUUCAUGCUUAUCAUCUUGAUGCUUGUGAACAAAUAUCUUUAGGACAGCAUGCUCAUCUAAGUAGUUGAUGUGUAUGAUAUGGUUCGAUGAUAUGAUCUUCACUCUUAAUGCUUAAGUGCUUGGGAAAAUCUAUUUGAAAAUUUAAAAGCCUUUUUGAAAUCUCCUCUUUGAUGUGCCAAAGUCCUACCAAAGCCAUAUGAUAAGUUAUCUUGAAAAACCAUUUGCAUAUGUUGCUUGUCUUUGCAUUGAGCUUUGUCAAAUUGGUGUGACCCUUGUCACAAUUCUUUUCAUACUUUCAUGAUCAAGACUCAUGUGCACGCCAUAUACCCCUUGCUAUGCUUCUAUGAGAUGUUAGCAUUGUACCAUCCAUUCAUUCCACAAAAUAAAUGCUCCACCAUAUGUGUUGGUCUCCUUCUAAGAUUAUUGUUACAAAAGAGAUAUGGGCUAUCAAAAAAAAAUAUGAAUGUCCAAGAAAGUUGGACACAUGAAUGUCCAAUAAAAAGAAAAAGAAAGAUAGCCAUGUCCUCAGAAAUAUUUACAAAGGGAGAGAGAUCAUACAAAAAGGAGUUUCCAUUCCAUCCACCACAUCCAUACAUGUGCACAUCUUGAUCUGAUUGUAUGACUUAUUUUUCUCUUUGGAUCUGGUCUUUGACUUUGCAAUAUAUGUGAUGCAAGCAUGCCUUAUCCUUCAUAGCCUACCUUGAGCUCCACAUAUAGCCAUCAUUAGAAGUAGGAUGAAGAAAGGCAAGUCUAAUGCCUUGGUGAGGACAUAUACACAUUGAGUGAUCUGAGAGAAUCAAAUGAGGAGCUAAGCAAGGUUUUGUUUUGAAAACUAAUUGAAAAAUCCCAAGCUACUUGGCAUAAGGAGUUGAGGUGACUUGAUUCAAGACCAUUACAUUCCUCAACUACCCAAGAUGGCAUGAUAGACACUCCAAAGUUCACAAGUGCAGGUAUGGUUUGGAAUAUCUUUUAGGCUCGCUUCAUACCUUUGAAAGUUAUGUUUCACCUUAGUCCUUUCUCGUUCACUCAAGGAUAAGCAAAGGCUAAGUGUGGGGGUGUUGUUGAUGGCUCUUAAGUACAAAAUCUGCGCCAUCAACUCUUGCAUAAACACAUAAAAUAUGAGCAUCAACAAUAGUGGUAGGAGUUAUUACAAACGAAUUCCACAAGUCUUGGUGAAUAUUUGUAUGCAAGCCCAAUAGGAGAGAAAAGACACCUCAAAAGCAAGGAAACACACUCUCAACCAAUCAAGAGCAAGCACAUGGAACCAUGGGCCCACAACCAAAAGGAAAUCGACUACAUUCCAAACACCCUAUACCCACAUGAGAACCCAUAGGGCAGUGACCCAGAGCAAAGGUGAUGCCAGAGUGUAGAUGGUAGUUAGCAUGCCAAAUUUUGAACCGCAAGCGCUCGGAUUAGUUGUUUCUUUUCCCUUAGAGAUUCCCCCAAGGUUUAUCAAUCCAUGGAACAAGGGAUUUGCACGUUUCACUAAGCACUAAUCAAUGUAAUUGAAAGCUUUUCGAAUAAGAUAUGAUUAUGCUAACAAAGGAACUAAGCAAUCUAGAUUAAGAUGGAUAGAGAGUACAGGUUGUGAACAAGAUAGAUUAAACGCUUGUAGAUGCAAUCACCAUGCAUGAAUGAAUUAGAUCUAGGUGUUAUUGUGAGUGGUUGUGAACCAUGCCCAACACUUUCCCACCCGCAACAUUGUCACUACAUGUGGGUACUCAACUAUCGGAACAUAAGAACACAUCAAGAUGAUCAUUCUAGGUAAGCAAAUAAGCAACCCAAAGUAGCGCUGGCCAGCCUUUUCAUGAAAGAGCAUCAUCAAGAUAAGAUUGAUAACAAAAUAGAUCUCAACCAAAGGUUCAGCGAUUACAAAUCAAGAUCUUCGUAUAACCCCGAUGACAAAUAGAGGUAUUACCCCCAUGAUCUUACACAUGUUGAUGAAUUUUAGGGUAAAGGACACCCUGUAGAUCAACUGGACCAAAGAUGAUGAUGAACGGGGGCAGGGAAGGCCCAGGUUGAUCAGCCUGCGCACUUUUGAGCCGAUCAGCUCAGGGGGUUUCCUCCUCCCCUGGUGCUCCUCUUCGCGUGGCCUCCUCUGGAUCCAAUCUUCUCUUCAUUUCUCCUACUUGUGGCGGCAAUGGAUGGUGUUUGCAUGGUGAUUUCCUCUUCUCCCCAACUCUCCCUCCUUGAAGUCCAUGAGGGGGUAUUAAUAGUCUCCAAUAGGCGGCAGCUCUGGGUCAAUGUCAGUGAAAAAAUCCUAGAGAUCAUCGUACACUUCAUGCUGAGGAAACAAGAGGUUGACCGAGCCCUGGGAUAGACCAAGAGGAUCAUCCUAGAGGGUCCCAGGCUAAUCGGUCUAGGCCCUUCCUAGCCCUUCUAGUCCUCUCCUUCCUCGUGCUGGCUUUUCUCGAUGACCCUUGUCCAAAUAUCCAUGAAGCUCUAUAUACAUACCCCCUUGAUUAUGUUGUAUUUCCUGUCAAAAUACAAUGCUCCAAAAUACAACACAUAUGCAAUAAUAGGGUUAUUUCAGGUGCCAAUUGGUGGGUUAGUAUACGAAUAAGCAUGAAAAUACUGUUUAAAUGACACUAAAAGUGUGUCAAUAACGAGCACCAACAAUCCCCCCACGCUUAGAUCUUGCUCGUCCUCGAGCAAGUCUAGCGACUAAAAGAUCUUGAAUUAAACCUGAGCAAGCGAGUCAAGUACCUAGCCUUGAAACAAAAGAUUAGAGGAGCAGCAAAGAUAAUCAAAGUCUGGGUGUUCAAAGAUUUAUCUAAGCAAAGAUUCCCCUACAACUAUUAUUCAGAACCAAGUAACUUCAAAAAUCAACUACACUUAUUUUCUGGCUUUUUUCAGAGGGUUUUUCUUUCAUCAUAAAACAAUCUCCCUGCAACAAAAUUGAAAAAAGAAUUAUUUUCAAGGUGCUUACAUGUCGCUUAAAUGAAUGUUGGCUAUCCUACUUAUUUGCAAGCUCUCAUCUCUCAAAAUUCAUUCAAUUAUAUGGUGGAGUUUGGGUAAGGUUAGCUAGAAUCAACACGUAUAUUAUUGAAUUAAGAAAACCCUCUAACGGUGGCCUACCUUCCGAGCCAUUGAUCAUAAGAAUAUCCACAUAAUGUGAAGUUUUCAAGGAUGAGAAGAUAUAGAAUGGUGGACAUGUGCAAAGGCAAAGAAAUAUAGUGACUCUGAGGCACAAGCAAUGUCCUCGUCGUUGGAUUGCAUAUGGUUGUAAUGAAAAUAUGUUCCUUAAACAAGUCUAUCUUUUCUUUGCACCACUCUUGAUCUUCAUGACAGUAAAAACUCCUCCUUUAUUUCUUUCUCUCUUUUCCUAUUAUUUCUUUUUAUUUGUCUCAAUACUUUUAUUUCUUUAUUUCUUUAUUUUAAUCUCUUCUCUGAACCUCUUCUGAACACCACAUAAUAAAAAUAAGUUUUAGAUCCUUCCAGAGACCUUCCAGGAAUUUGCUACAUGAAAACCGAGGCAAGGAGACCCCAGGCCGAUUGGCCUAGCCACUCCUUUGCUCUCCUCUAGCUCUUCUUUCUGGUGAAGCUUCCUUAUCUUGUAUCUUUCCAAAAAUUUCAUAAAGCUCGACUAGAAACGGAACAGAUCUUCAUAUAAUGAGUUGUGUUCAAGGAAUUGGUAAUAAAAUUGAGAAAUUUGUGGUUCGGGUUUACGAAUUCAGUACAAAAAUAUGAUUGUUCCAAUGAAGAACUCUCAUUACUGAAUAUUGACGAGGCAAGCAUUCAAAGAUGGUAAAAAGGAUAUGAUCAAUUCUCAAAAUUAAAGCAAACCAAGAGAGAGCGAUCCUAAUUCAAUUCAAAGUGUCAAAUGUUGCUUAUGGUGGUAUGAAUAAAUAUUUUUAGGCAUUGGGUAGGAUAAAUAAAAACUCUCAACCUGGUUAAAAGAUAUUGAUCAAUCUUGUUUUUGCAGAGGUUUUAAAUAAAAAAUAAAAUUUUAAAUCACCUCCAAUUCAAAGCCUUACUCAUAAAUCAUAAUCAAAACUGAAGCACUUGAUCAUCAUAAAGCAUGGGUAUUGCAUAAACAAAUCGAUUACUAAAACUCCACAACUACGAUUUAGAAUUCAAGACAAUGCUCAUAAUCUAAAGUUGCAAAGAUAAAAUAAAAGACAACCAAGCCAAGGUAGACACUAAAAACACUUGCACGAUCCUUGAAUUUUAUUCAUGCUUCUUCUCACAAAGACGCUAAAGUAGCCAUGUAGGCCUAAGUCUUCCCAAAAGCUUAAGAAAACUACUACUUUAUCUACUUUUGGUUGAAAUAAAAAGACUAAUCUAGACUCUCACAUGAUUCGACUCGACCAAAUUAGAUCCAAAAACUCAUACGAGCGACGAUCUCCCCCCCCUCACGCUUAAAAUCUACGACCUCCUCGUCGUAGCCAUAUGGAGUACAAGGAAAAGAAGCUUGUAAACGCUCUAAUGACGCUACCCGCACUACUUGCACACGGGAUGGUUGCUGCUUCCUUCGCUUUGUUCUUCCUCAUGUUGCUGCACAUCCCGAAGAGCUUCCUCACGUUCCUCUGCAAGAACUUGAACUCGUCCUCCUGACGGCGAUCAUUAUCUUCUGCCUUUUGAUCCAGAGCUUGUAAGGCUUGCAUGAUGUCAUCGAACGCAUCGAAGAGGUAGUGGAUGUUCUUCCUGCAAGCUGUGGAACAUGUACGAUCAUGCUCCUCCGAUUCUGGCCCGUCGUCUUCUAGAUCCUUCUCUUUGCCCUUGUCUUGACGGUGGCUAUCUUGCUCCUUGCUCGCCUUCUUGCCUUCAGCCCAAUCCCAGUACGUGUUGUCAUCUUCUUCAUCGUCACGGCCUGCAGCACCCUAUGAUCCAUUGUCUAUCUUGUAUGAAAGAAUCAGAAGCUUGUUCUCCUCAGGGUGUCUUGCGCGGUGCAGCGUUUGCAAGUGCAAGACUUGCUAGUUCCUUUUACACAUUGUAAUGUUCAUUGCAUGCUCUAAUUGUUCUACAUUUGUAAUUUCUUGGUGAAGUUUGGUUACUGAUCCACUGUUUGAUUAACUCUUGGGCCCAAACACUGUACUACUUCUGAUUAGAUAUCUGUAUCUUGACUUUGACCAAAAAAAAUAUCCGGCAGUUUUUGCCAUUAAAGUUUCAUAAAUCAUCUUGCAAAAAUCGUACUAUACAACAAGGGACGGUUUAUUAUAAAAUAUACGUUCCCCUUAUCACAUGCCACUUCCACUCAAAAGGCAACGAAUCAGUUUUCAAUCCUGAGUGAGCAAUUUGCUUUUAUUACCGAUGCCUCCUAUUCCCUUGUGCACCAAGUUUAUUUUGGAUAGGGCUGCAAAAAACGACUAACCAGCUCGGAUUCUCCACCUGCAAAACCGCAUCUGCAGCAACCAACCCCACGCGGUGGAAAAAAAAACAAAACCUAGAAACCGGACGGGGGUGGAUGUGGGGCUCGGAGCCCAAGCAAAAAACGGAUCGGGAGCGCCGGAGCAGGCCAUCACCGGAUGUUAGAGAUAGAAAAUGGUUGAAGUUUGGAGUGGAAAUCAAACAAGCCUUGGAGCAAAGGAAAAAAAAAGAUCAAACCACUCAAGCAUUCAUUUGAUUUAGAAAAGAGAACAUUUGUUAAGGUGGGGAGUUGAAAUCAUCUUUUAAUUAGUUCCACGUAUCUGGUAUCAUUACAGUUGGUUUACUUGUGUAAGUAUAAGUAGCUCUGCCGAAGCCUUUGCUCCUAUAAUUUAGUAACUAGUACAAAUGGAUCAAUAGGAAAAUCAAGUUGCAAUCAUUUCUCAGCCAACCAAACCUAUGUAAAUCAAAUUAUUGUCCAUGCCCGGCAUGCACAGGUGCCUGCCAUGCAUGCAUUGUUGCUCCAUUGUAAUAACCAUUAUUGUCCAUCGAUGUUGCAGCGCAUGUGUGCACUGUGCAGACACCAAGCAUCGAGAUUAUGUACUAGUAAGGUGUUGAAAUAAUGGGCCUAGCCCAUAAGUAAUUUCAGAAUUUCAAAUAAAUCUCAAAGGCCCAUGUGGGCAAGAGGUGGAGUGGUGCAAGUCUUUAGUCCCACAUUGCUAGUCGAGGGGAGGGAUGACCAACUUAAAUAUGGAAGUUGUCUCCACUCCUCCAAGCUAUGUGUGAAGGGCGCGGGCGCGAGGCACUUGCGUGAAUGGUCCGCCGAAAUCUGGCCCCCCUUGCGGGGGCGCGGCUUCCUUUUGCCGUUUUAUUUUUUGGUUACUUGGUCGUUAAGUCAUGGAAUCCUAACCGGUUUAGAUCACGAUCGUGAAGGUUUUUGGGAAGCGCUCUGCGCGACUGCUCGAUCGCUUCUUCCGCUUCGUCAAGUUCUUCGUCGACUCCUUCACCACGGCUCGUCUACCUCUUCGUCGCUCGGGCCUCACUCGUCGUCGCGAACAACGUCAGGCUGCUGAUCGUCGUCGCCUGCUGUAUCCGGUAGUCGUCCAGGAGCCGGUUUUCAUCAAGAAAGAAACGUACGGUCUCUUAACUCACAUUAUGUCUUCCAUACUAGCUAUUAUGAUUGUUGCAGUCUGAUAGCUCUGGAUAGUAUGGUAGAAUGUCUGAUUCUAUUUGCAAUGAUAGACUUGUCUAGAUCUUGCGUAGACAUGUCUAGUUUAAUCUGCUGCUUGUUCAUCAUAUUCAUGAUUUAUUUCUGGAUUAAGUUAAAACUAAAAGUGCUUAUAUAUCCAACAUAAGGUACCAAGAACACGUGAAGCACCCGGGGGAGGCUGCUCCACUCCGCAUGCACAGGUGGGCACGGCACCACUACUCGUCUCCUUCAGGCUGAGGAUAAGUGAUGUACGCUGAUCAACAGACCACGACGGAACCAGCAAUAAUAGUUUCAGCCUGCCUCACAGUAAUUAAUAUAUCCUGUAUCCUCCGAGGACCCCUCCCCUUAAUCUUGGCCUAUUGCAUCCAAUAAUGAUAUGUGUGUUUAUCCAAAUUUACGGCACCUUUGGCGGGGGUUCCACCCAGCUCCGCCCUCUCCACCUUCGGUACUCCAUGGGAAACCAUUCCUUUGGAAUCAAGGAAGCUUGAACAGUAUAACGAAUAAAGUUUCAUAUAUCCAUUUGAUUUCACAUGAAAUAAAAUAUUCUGUCAGAACCAAUGGUUUCACUGAAGCUCCAGGCAGCGAGCGAAGGGGUGAGAGAGGAUAACGCUUACUGUGUGUUACCAUCGCGUGCACCAUGGAUGACCAACGCGCAGCCGAGAUGAAACGGCGGACCUAAACAGGUCCUCGCUAUUUUUGCAGGUUCUCGACCAGGCCAGUUCUUUAGGCCAACCUAUCAUUCACGAGUUAAACAUACGGUGGCUGGAGAAAUGUUCUAUUCUUUUAAACAAUACCAGCUGGUUCCUCCGUUUUUAUUCCACCAAUACAAGCACCACCUUGUAACAUUUCCUAUGUUUUUUUUCCUUUCGUCUGUUUUCUCACUACAUGCGUUGCUCUUUCAUGCAUUUUUUUCCAUUCCUGUAUUCCAAAUAGGUCUACAUGAACACAAAAUGAACUAGGGGACAGAAAAAGCCAGUGAAGUUAGUUUUGAGCUUCACCAGCUACUUGCUACAUAAAGUGUGCUAUAGUCGCAGAAAAGCUAAGCUGGAUCAGACGUGGCCGAAACAAUGCCAAAGAGCUAGGUCCCUAGCUGAUGGCAACACAUCAGAUGACUAGCCUGCUUUUCUGUAAUAAUGAUAUUGAGCAAUACACUGCAUGGCUAACCUGCUUUACAAUAAUUGUCAUUUUAUAAUAUUGGUCAUCACGAGAGAUGCACAUUGCAUACACCGGCCCAUCCCUAUAAAUAGCCAAGCCUUUCAGCCAUCUUGGGCACCUCCUCUCAGGGCCUCGUCUCACCAUCAGACAUCUCGUUCCCAGUUAUAAUUUGCGAGGUUAGAUCAGGCUGCGCCAUGGCGUCCGCAACUGCUGUCAAGAUCGUCGCCACCUUCAUGCUGGUGCUGACCAUGGGCCACCUGAUGGCCGAAGCAUCACCGCAGCCUCGGCGUGUGCUUGCAGAAACGGAGCAUGCUGCGGUGUCCGGGAAUCCUGGCCUCCCAGGUGAUGCUAGCGUCAUGCAGGUCCUCGAACCCGCCCUAGUUUCUCGGCUUGCCUGCAAACCAGAGUGCACAGUCCCUUGGCCUCCUUUUGUAUGUAUCUGCUAGAUCCUCUUCCUGGCUCAACGGAACUUCAGGGAAAUGGCUGUGACGUCGGCCAAAGAAUAAAUUGGAUGAACAUAAUAUACCCCGGGUAGUGUAGCUUGGGCUUUUGUUGAGCGUCUGGUGCUAGUUGUAUUUUGUUUGCUCAUGUGGCUUUGCUUCUGGUUGCAUAUUGGCUUUCCUAUCGCUCUCUGUUGCAGCUAUGGUUUCUGCCAGGUGUGUGUUAAUGCGGUUUGUAAGCGGUGCUUGUUCCUACCUUCUGUUUUCAAUAAAAGAAGUCGGAGUCUCCCUCCGACUCUUGUUAUCAGUCAACAAAAAUGAGUUGUAUCAUAUAUAUCUGCGUCUUUUUUCUACGUAUCUUUGGGCUGCUUCAGCUGGAAGUUUAUCGUAAGUACGUGUAUCAGGAUGAUCGUUUGAAUUAAAACGAAAUGAUAAUGUGUGGCUGCUAGAAAUGGAAUGAGCAUCUUACUAUAUUACUAAUUGGAAGCCUCCACGUGAAGCCACCUAGAAAUUCUAGGUGGACGUUUUAAAAAAAACAAAACUCAUAGAAGCCUCCACCACCUAGGAAUCCUAGGUGGACACUCUAAAAAGAGACAAAUCCUAGAAAUUCUAAAAAAAGAAAAAAAUAAUAACAAUAAGAUUUUUUUGCAGUCAAUUACAUAUAUUUUUUUGAGACACCGUGCUGCUAGCUCUUGCCAUUGCGACCAGUAAAGCAAGCAGAUAGUAAGAUGACAUGCGUGUGGAUUGAUUAAAACAAAUUCAGUUAGUUGAUUCUAAAUCGUAUGUAUCCUAAAAGGAAGAUAUGUGCGUGCAUGGUCCCUAGCGAUGACAUGUAGACAUGUAUUGCAAUUUCUUUUUUAAAAAACAUGUCUAUCUCUAAACCAACAAACAGAAAAAAUAUCAAUCUAAAUCUAAAUCUCUUCCGUUCUCACACGCCUAUUAAAGAGAAGACAACCAAUCCCAUCCAUGUUCCAUAGAAUCCAUCUAAAAGCUUGCUCACUGCGGACGGCAUUUGACGGCAAAUCAAUGAAAGAUCAUCCUCUCCAAAUAGCUGGACGGCAUCACCAUCUUUAUCUCACCAACCUACAGAGCUACAACGAUGUUGUAGAGAUCAACUAGGUAACCUACCAAUCACCCUCCCCUUUUCUAUAUGCUCUAAAGAACACGUGGAGUAAUUAUAGGCCUAUAGGAGCCGACUAACCUAGAUUAAUAUGAAAAAUAUUCCAAUAUUAAAAGCAAGCAGAUAGUAAUACUUGCCUUUGACCAUUUUUCUAGAACUGUUAUUCCUAUUGAAUGUUCAAGUGCUACGGCCAGGCAUCGAAUGCCUGCACGGAACCUUCCUAUUGAAUGGUUACUCUAGAGAUCAACGCACCGCGAGACAUUUUUAUGGAAUUUGUUUGAUUCCCCUUCUACAAUUAGAUUAAUUUUUCAUGGCAUAUAUUACUACUAUUAAAUUAUUUGUUUAUUGUCGGGCCUGCUGCAUGUGUGGUAUAUAUGACUUGCUUCUCACCAUUGUUCUCAAACUAUUAUUCCUAUCGAAUCUUUCUAUCGAAAUAUAUUUUAAUUACUUGAUUGUUGUUUGUGUACCAUAACUUCUGUAUAGAAAAAUUCCAUGUUUGUAGAUAAUGUCUUUUGUAUAGAAAAAUAGCCCAAUUAGAUCCAUCACCAUCUUUUGCUUAUGUAGUUGAACAAGUUGCAAUGUUGAACAAAACUUUAAGUGAAAUUAGACCAGGAAAAGGAAUUGUGGAACAUUAAGGCAAGGGUAACCAGAUUGUGGAAUGCAACCUUACUCAGUAGUGGCGAACAAUUAAGUCUUGACAUGAUCCUUAUUGAUCAAAAGGUAUGAUAGAUGUUCACUUUGAUUGCAUUAUUGGUAUAAUUUUUGGUUUACAAAUUAUUAAUGAUGAUGCAAAAUUAGGGAACCAUGAUCCACGGUGUUAUCAAUAAGCCCUAUAUGAAAAAGUUCAAACCAUUGAUUGAAGAAGGCAAUGUGUACAUAAUUGCAAAUGUCAGAAUCACACCAGAACCACAGAAGUAUCGGCCAGUGGAAAAUGACAGGAUAGUCAACUUCUUACCCACAACUGCACUAAAAACGAUCAAAGAUACUGAAGACAUUCCAAAGUAUAGUUUUAACUUCAUGAGCACGGAUAUGCUUUCAGCAAGAAUAAAUGUGGACAUGUACCUAUUAGGUAAAACAUUACUGGCUUUUCAAUUUUUACACUUCCACUCAUUAAAUGACCAUCUAAUAAUAAUACAUAUUUAUGUUUCAUAGAUGUUAUAGGUAUCUCAGCUCACAUUGGACCGAUAGAAGAAACAAGGACAAACUUCGGAUUUACUAAAAUCCGUGAUAUUGUGCUCCUGAUCGAGUAAUUCUCUUUUCUUUUGUAGAAAACAACUACAAAACUUUCAACAUUUACAUGUAUGUUAUAGAACUUCUGUUGAACUAAAAAAUAUCUUCUACAGUGCCCCUACAAAUAAUUAAUUUCGUAGUUGGAUAUUUAAAAUAUUUAUUAUUCACUUUUAAAUUUGUGGCCAUGAAGUUAAAGUUAGAUUUUGGGGAGACAAAGUUGAGGAAGUUGAUGAUAAGACAAAAUCCCAUGUCAUUGCAAUAACAUCUACAACUGUGAGUAAAUUUGGCAGUAAGUCUUCAUUCAAUAUGAGUUAUUCAAUAUUAGUCAUUCAACAAACUAACCUCGUAAGAAAAAUAAAUAAUUGAUGUUUUAUCAGGGUAUUCUCUAUCGUCAACCAAUGCAACAAAACUUUAUGUAGAUCUACCUAUUCCUGAAACUAAGGAUGCACAUGAUAGGUGAGAAAAAUUAGAUAUUGUUUUUCUAUUUUAAUCUAUGUAGCAUGCACUCUAACAUGAUACAUUCUUUCAUAUGAUAAAAAAAUGUUAGUUCAAUUGAAAAUAUUGUCAAAGAGAUUCAUAUUGAGGACCAUCUAAAAGGGACAUUGGAAGACCAAAUGCAGUACAAUAGAAGAACUUUAGAAGAAUUAAAUUUCAUAUUAUUUGAAACAUCAAAUCAGGUAUGGAUUAGUAUGUUCAUUGUACACUAUACUAUUUAAAGACUUACAUACAUAAUGAUGGUAUUGUUCCUACUUUCAGGAUGAGGUAUUUACUAUUGAAGCAACAAUAAAUGAAAUUAAUGCAACAUAUGGUUGGUUGUCACACCCGAUUUUAAGGACAAAAUUGAGUGCAUUAAAUACAUGUGCACCAGGAUCAAGUUACACACAUCCUAUGAGUACCGUCCUUCUUUGGCACAAAGAUAACCGGUGCUCCCCAUGGUGAUGAACUAGGCCGAAUAAACUAUUUUGCUGAUAAUUCCUCUAGUUGUUGUUUCAAUUCUUUUAAUUGUUCAACCAACAUUCUAUAAGGACGUUUGGAGAUAGGUGCAGUACCAGGUAAAAGAUCAAUAGCAAAUUCAAUGUCGCGGUCAGGUGGCAUACCUGGUAAAUCGUCGGGGAACACAUCCGGAUAGUCACACACCACUUUGAUAUCUUCCAAGGAUUUUCCAGCCAACUGAUUAACUGCACAAUCUGCUGCUGAGGGUAGAGUAGCUACAAACUCCACUUUCUCUCCAUCAGGACCUGUUAGCAGAACUGUCCUCUUGGCACACUGAAUCGUUGCAUCAAAAGCGGCUAACCACCUCAUCCCCAGAAUUACAUCGAUUCCACUGGACUCAAGGACGAUAAGAUCAGCCGGAAACUCUAUACCCAUUAUUCUCAGUUUAACUUGUGGACAGAUGUAUUGAGCCUUCAUUGACCCCCCAGGUGAACUCACUAGCAUAUGACGCCUCAUGGUAUGCAUGGGUAAAUUAUGCUUUGCUACAUAAUGACUAGUGACAAAAGAAUGCGAUGCUCCAGAGUCAAAUAAAACUGAUGCGGGGGCAGAGUUGACAAAGAACAUACCAAGCACUACAUCUGGAGCCUCCUUAGCAGUCUCGGCUUCCAUGUGGUUCACCUUGCCACAAACAAAGCUUUGCUGCCCCUGAUUGCCUUGUGGGGUCUGGUUCCCAUUCCUCGGUUGCUGCAUCUGAUUCUGCCGAGGAGCACUGCUGUUCUGCACGGGGGUAGCUGGCCCACCUCUCUUAGGACAAGAGCUGGCAUAGUGACCAACCUCGCCACACUUGAAGCAGGUAGGACCCACUGGAGCAUUGGGCCUUGUUGGAGUGCCAGUAGGGGUCAUCUGGCGGUUCUGCGUAAAGCUUGGGCGCGGAGUCUGCAUAGUCUGCAUCCCUGGAUGCUGGAACUGAGGGCUAGGGCGCUGGAAUGACUGCUGAGCAGGGCGCGGAAAUGAGUGCUGCCAAAAAUUCCCACUCGGGCCCCCUGCGCGGAACGGCGUCCCUUGCUGUGGAGCAAAGCGAGGGCGGGUGUUGCUUCCUGAAGACUACUGGGAAUUGAAUUUCCUCUUCAUCUCCCCGAGCUCGUUCCUCUUGUGUUCCAGGCCAAUUGCCUUGUCUAGCAUCUUCUGGAAACUGGGGAAGGUGUGCGACAUAAGCUGAUAUUGGAGUGGUCCAAUCAACCCAUCCAAGAAUAGCUCCUGCUUCUGCUCAUCAUCAGCAACAUCUUCGGGAGCAUAUCGGGACAACUGGACAAACUUGUCCCUGUACUCUGCCACUGUCAUGUUCCCCUGCUUGAGAGCAAGGAACUCCUUCUUCUUAAGCUUCAUCAAUCCGGAAGGAAUAUGAUGACUUCUGAAGCUAGUCCUGAAUUCAUCCCAGGUGAUGCCAUUAGCAUUGGCAUGGGUGGUGGUGUAAGCAUCCCACCAAUCAGCAGCUGGCCCUUCCAGGCGUCCUGAAGCAUACAGGACCUUCUCCCUGUCAGUACAUUGGGCGAUAUCCAGCAUCUUCUCCACUGUUUUCAGCCAAUCAUCAGCAUCUAAUGGAUCCGGAGAAUGUGAAAACGUCGGGGGCUUGUGGCUCAUGAACUCCCUAUGCCUGUCCCUUGGCGGCGGCUGCUGCUGGUUGUUGUUGUUGUUAUUGUUCAGCUGAGCUUGUAAAGCUGCCACGGUGUUGGUCAGUCCGGCGAGAAGCUGAGUCUGAGCUGCUAGAAACUGCUCCAUCCCUGCAGGUGCUUGUUGGUUCUGUUGCGGAGCGGUGUUGGGAUUGCUGCUGUUGUCCCUGUGGCGUGGCACUGUGGGACGGUCAACUCCUGAUCCGGACCUGGUGUUUACCAUCUGAGCGUUAGAGACAAUGGAUUUAGAUAGAUGUGUGAAAGAAUAACUGAGAAAGAUAAAGCGACCAGAUGUAAAAGUAACACAGAUUCUGUUAGCUCCAUUUAAUUAGGUGUGGUCGUCAGAAGAAGUGUCCAUAAAUUCUGAACAAUUACCAAGUCGUAACUUAUUAAAUUUGUAAACCAACCCAACUGGAAUCAUCUCAAUCGGACUUCUGGAUCUCGAGUUACAAAAUUAACAAGCUGACAGUGUCGGUCGAUAGGUUCAGAUUCUGAGUGCUUUACUAAUUCGCAUACACCUCCCAGACAGAUACACCAAAAAUUCUGAAAAAUUUACAGAUAGUACUCCACGAAAUUCUGAAACUAACCCCACUGGUUUCAUGUCAUUUGGACUUCUGUAGCUAGAGAUAUAAAUAAAAAAGUACUGGCGUGUCAGUUAAUGUCGAGAACAGAAUUGAAUGUCGCUUAGCUUGCGUGAUGGAUAGAUUUAGACAGAUGGUAGAUCAUGAUUAAGGAAGAUUAAAUACUGAUUUAGAACAGAAAUAAAACCCAACUAAGCACUUUAUUUAUUAAGACCAGUAUCGUGUGGCAAUUGCCCCACAUACCGCACUCAUUACAAAAUCCAACUCAAACAUGUAGCACAAAACCAAUCAUCUAAGCACACUUUAACUAACACACUCGAACGACGUCUAACGAUUACAAGAAUUUAAACUAAAACACUCCUAAUUUCCUAGAGGUCUUCUGCGGCGGUGCCGGGCGAGUCGUAGCGGGGACGCUUAGGCGACGGCGACGAAGCGGGAUGAACAGCAAACUCCUGCGGCGGCGGUGCUCCCGUCGCGGCAGCCAUAUUCGCAUCCCUCUCCCACCGGAGUUCCUGAACCUCCUGUUGAAGCUCCUGGAUGUGGUUGUUUGCUUCAUUCAAUGCGGUGAGAGCUGCCGACGUGUACUUGCGGAGGAAGUCUGUAGCCAUGUCAACCCCAUCGUUAGUAGCGAUGAAGGUUCUUGCUUCCCCACUAGCUCGGUAAGGAAGGAACCGAUGGUAAGUGUGCUGCAAUCGCGGCCGUUCCUUGUGGGAGACGACCUCAAGUGCCCUCCUGGCGGCCUCGGCAAUGCCGGAUUCCAUGGUCCUCCUUAUGGUCACAUCAUGGUGAAAAGCCUUCACCUCCCAUCCUCCCUCGUGCUCCUCACGAAGGACAACCUUCACCUCCCAAAAAGUGGGAUAGCGAGGGUGGGUGAACCGGGAGCACUUGUAGAGUGGCCUCAUGCCGUACCCCAAGCGGUGACAAGUCCACCUGAGUAUGUCGGCCAUGUGCACUCCUUGGCCAUAAUCUUCCUUCACCCAUUUGAUCCAUGUCUCGGGCUCGGGAUCUGCUUCGGGCUCAUCAUCCGUCAAGUCGACGACCGGUACGGGCGUCGGGGCUGGUGCAGGAGCGGGCGCCGGUGCUGGCGACGGUGCUGGUGACGGCGUGGUCUCCUGCUCCACGGUCACGGCGUCCCCGUCAGAGUCAUCCCCCGGAUGCUGGAAGAUCUCUUCCUCUUCUUCCUCGUCCCAAGGCUCCAUGGGGGCGUACGACGGCGCGAUGCCAUGACGCGGCGGACGGGUGCUCUUGCGUGCGGUCAACCGGGUGCGAGCCAUCUAACAGAAAGAAAGAAGAAAAUUUUAGAAUAAAAUUUUGAACAAAGCUAGAUAAUAAAAUAGCAAUAAGGAUGAGACAAAUCAAGUUUAAGAAUAAUUAAGUAGAUUUAAAUUAAGAAAGGUAGGAAUGGCUACUAGAUUAUUAUAAUCCUUAAAUACGACCAUUUUCUAACUAGGCUAACGUCCUACAGUCAACACGGCUCUGGUACCACUUUUGUCACACCCGAUUUUAAGGACAAAAUCGAGUGCAUUAAAUACAUGUGCGCCAGGAUCAAGUUACACACAUGUACGACAAUAGUGAAUAGUAAAGCCAGUGCUAAAUCGAAUAAAGAGAGUAUUAACCAUUAUUACAUGACCGAAUGUCUCAAAUAAACCACAAAGUCUAAUUAUUACGCAGCGGAACUCCAAAGAUGACGACGACUCCAUAGGCAGCUGACUGAAGAAACGUACGCCUAGAACUCCUCGAAGUCGUGGAAGUACUCCUCUUCCCAAUUAACUUGGUCUGAACAGCGGUUUUGCAAGGGUGAGUACACUUAUGGUUGGUACUCAACAAGUCGUGGGAAGUAGUGUAGUGUAAGGCUAAUUCAAGGUAUGGCUAAGGCGUAAAUAGCAUUCGCUUUUAAUUAAGUUGGUCAAAUUUUAUUAGCAUUUACUAAGUAUAAGUUCAUACCACCCGAAAUUAAACAUGAACAUAAAGUAAACCACAUGUGCAUGAAAUGAUAACAAAUUAAAUCCAUCUUCCGAUAAUAUUAUCAUGUGAGGGUCCAGGCCGCUCUUAACCGUGAGCACGGCUGAUUGAUCAGUUUAACACUCUGCAGAGGUGGCACAUCUUUACCCACAAGUCGCGUAAAAGUUCAAAAGAACUUUGGACCCAACCAUGCGGUGUUUGCAAGGCACCAUACCACACUUCCGAGGUGUGAUUGCAUAGGGACGCUACGAGGCCUUUACAAAGAUUCAUUAAUCAGUGGUAACCCGCUAAGGUUUCGGUGUCUGGCGUGCACCACCCAUCCCAGGUAAAAUGCAACGACUCAGUCCCCCCCCUUGAAUCAUCACGAGUAAGGUCACCCCAGACUAAGGUUUCUAAUUAAUCAGCCAAGACCAGAGCUAUUUAGUCUUGUGGUAGCACUGUUUUCCUGGGUGGUCGCUCCAUGUUCUGAUUAACAAAUAAUGAUCUUGUCUUAAUGAAAGGUAUAACAGAAAUAAGGCAAGAUUAAGCAUUGUUUUUAGUUAAACCACCAUGUACCAAGUAAGCACUAAGCAUGAGCUACCCAACAUAAAGUAAACCGGUUGGUCAAGGCAAAGGUAAAACAAUCUAGGCCAACCUUAAUUGGGACCCAUCAAUUUAAUCUUAAUAUGUGCACAGCAUAAAUGUUGAGUACGAGAAAGUAAAGGUGUAUAGGACAAAAAGGUAGUGAUCAAGGACACGACUUGCCUUCUUGGCCUUGCUCCUGCUGUUCGUACUCCUCGAAGGCUUGAUCGGCAACUCCCUCGAACUGCGGGGCGUCUACACGCAUCACACGAGCACAUACAAGCAAACAUGGGCAAAAGUAAGAAAACAGUAUACCAAACAUAGUCAAACAGAGAAAACAAGCUUGAAAAGAUGAUCUACGCUUUAAAACGAACACGCGGAUAUAAAGAACGCGAAAAACGGAGUUAAGAUGCAAAAGAUAUGAUUAAAACAAAAUCCAGGGACUUUUCUGUAAGAAAAACAAAACUUUUAGGGCCUAUCCGCGAAAACCGAGGGCUUAUACGUAAUUAUGCGUAUAAACCGAGGGUCUGAUGCGUAAAAACAUCAAACCCGGACGGCGGGUUGAUUUCUGGAAAGGUCAAGGGUUAAACCGAAAAAUGCGAGGGCAGAUCUGUAAAUACUUUCAACGCGAUCUGGACCGCGGGUUGAUUUGCGAAAAAGGCGGGGGCUAAAGUGCAAAAACUGCACGGCGCGGCUCGGUUGACCGGUACGCGAUCUUGAUUGACUCGCGUCCGGCCGUCGGAUUAAGAUCCGACGGUCGCGGUGAUCCGCGACAUCGCGGCGGCGGCGGCGAGCGGCGGCGAGCGGCGGCAAGCGGCGGCGGGUCGCCGGAGUUAGGCAAAAUAGCGCCACGAGGCACGGUUUAACGCGCGGGUUGCACCAAAAAAGAGAGGGGAACACGUCGAUCCCGUUUUGGGGGUUCUUGUCGACGGGGGCUCACCGGCGACGGCGAACGGCGGCGAGGAAGAGGCGGCGGCGCUAGGAGCUCGGGCGGCUAGGGUUUCGGGGAGCUGCGGCGCUGGUUUUGGGCGGAGGAGACUGGGAGGAGGCGGCGGCUUUUAUAGGGCUUGGAGAUAGAGCCGGCGCGGGUUCAAAUCCCCCGGAGGAGUCGGAGCGGAUGGAGUCCGGGGCGGAGACGGCGCGCGGCGGUUGCGGAGUUCUGACCGGAUUCGGCCGGAGGUGGGAGACGAUGGGUGGGGUCCACCCGUCAGUGGCGGAGGGGAGCGGUAGACGGGCCGGCGCGACCGUGGGCUGGCGCGCGCUCGUGGGCUGCGGGGAGCGGGAGAGAAGCGGCGAGCGGGCGCUGGCGGAGCAGGCCGAGCGGAGGUAGAGCUGGGCCGCGGAGAAAAAGGAGGAGGCCGGCGGGCUGCUUCGCAGGCCGGUAAGGAUGAGGCGGCCGGGCCGAAGAAGAAAAAGAAAAGGAGGGACAAGGAGCUUUCGGCCGAGGGAAAAGAAGAAGAAAAAGAAAAGGAAGAAGAAAAGGGAAAAGGUUUUGGAAUUUGAAUUUAAAUCUGAAAUUCAAAAUUUGAUUCAAACUCAAGCAACCAAAAAUUAUGCUCCAGCAUGAAUGCACAAAUAAUUCCUAUGAUGAAUUAAUUGAAUUAAAGAAAAUGAAUUUAAAUGCCUAGAAAUUAAAUAACACCCUAAUUUGAGCAAAUUUUAAUGAAUUUGAAUUAUUGAAAUUUUGGGUGUUACAUUGGUACUACAUCUCAUGUAGUAGAGGCGAUUGUAAGAAGCAACUUGAAAAGAAGUUUGAUCACUACUAUUGCAAUAAAUGUGACAAGAGAGCCGAACCUAAAGCCCAGUAAAUUAUUUAGUAGUUUACAAUCUUAUUAUAAUACUUCUAUUUCUAAUAGGAGAAUAAUAUUUUCAGAUUCAAAUUAAGCUUCAAAUAAGUGAUCCAACAACAAGUGCAACUUGUGUACUUUUGACAAGGAAGCAGAAAUGAUAAUUAAUGAAUGAGCAGAUUCGAUGAUCACCUCAGUUGAUCAUGAUAAUAAGUAGCUACCAAAAUCAAUUCAGGAAAUAUGUGAAGAAACAUUGAUUUCUCAAUUCAGAUUGACCGAGUACAACUUGACAAGUUUUAGACCUGAUUAUACUGUUUCAAAGAUAUUUUUUCCAAAAGAAAAGGGCAGUUCAAGAAUUGGUAUGGAAAGUGUAAAAAAGGUAACACUUUAUUAUUAAUUUUUUAUUGCACUUUUUUCUUUUGAAUCCGUAAUACUUAAUAAUUUUACUAUAUCAAUGAAACAAAUUCUAACCUAAAUUUAUUUUCUUUUUUAUUAUUUGUAGGAAGUAGAAGACAACUCAGACAAAUGCUACACGAUAACUACCGAGAAUGAAGAGGUAGACACUGAUGACUCUUUUACCGAGAAAGUAACAUUCGUAGAAGAAGCCAUAAGGACUGGGGAAAGAUUGGCUAGAAAAGUAUACUCACUUCCAUGUCAGUGUUCAUUCUAUUUACAAUACAUGCAAAAAAAAUAUUAUUCAUGCAAAAUUGCAGGUCUACUAAGCAUUAAAGGAAUAGCGGAUAGUGCAAUAUGUAAUCUGAGCAGCAUGCAUUACAAAGUGCUCUACUGCAAUUAAAUUAAAAAACAUGAUAUAUGUUGAAUUCUUAGACUUUAUUAUUAUACUUUUCUACGUGACAAUUCACAAUUUUUUAGAAAAAAGAAGAUCCCAGAAGAAGUGACCAUGAAAAAAGGUCUAUGACCAGCAAUAAGAAAAAAUGCAAGCAUAGAAACAAAUCCGUAGAAAACAUAGAAAAUAAGGUACUCCAUAAACAAAAGUAUUCUCUUAUAUUUUUAUUAAAUAUUUUUUUAACACUUGACAAGUUCUUUUUUAGGAUCAAUAUAUCAGCAAUUCAGAUGUCAUUGGAGAUGAAACCUUAGUUCAUCCAAAAGGUCAAAAAAAAACAUCUGAAGAAAGGUGUUUGGCUGAAAAGGAAAAGCAAAAAAGUGGUAAUGCAGACAAACACAUGCAGAAAAAUAUAAAAACAUGUCAUAGGGAGGCAGACCAAUCUUGCAAGGAGGUAUAGACGAAACGUGAUACACGACCUGCCUACCUUGUCGUGGAUACCCCAAGAAGAUGUCAUAGAGGUGCAGACCAAGCUAGCAAGGAGGUCGAAACGUGAUACACGGCCUGCCUACCUUGCCGUGGAUAUUAGCCCUGAGAUCAUUCUACUGUUCAAGGAAUAACACUCAAUGCUGCUGCUGCUGCUGACCUGGCUCCAUAAAGUUAUACUCCUCUAGGUGCUUGCACUAACUUUAUCUGAAGUAUUAUUCUCUCUGCACUGUAUAUAUGGUUAUGGAGUUUGCUGGAGUAUCCGGGGCGAAGAACCUACAUAAUACGUCUUGGAACUAAUUGACAUUGAUUCACAGACAAACUCUACAAGGUGCUGUUCUUGCCAUUUUAGAGCAUCCAAAGGACUAUAAAUAACAUAGUUUACCAUAUACCAUAUACCAUAUACCAUAAUAUGUUAGCUAAAAUAAGAGCAUACACAUGUUGCAGGAGUCCAAAAGCACCGGUUGAGGACCAGGUACAUUGAAUUACUAGAAAAAGACAGGGGACAAGGUUUAGGUAACCACAUGAAACAUUUGAAUUUAUUGUACUAUGAACACUUAGUUACCAUGCCAGGAGCACAUAGUUAACACUAACAUUUAGCCACUUUAGAUCAUCCCGAAUCACCAAUGACCCUCAAUAGUGACAAAUUUUGGUUUAAAUGCCAUCACCAAUGAUCCUCAAUAGUGACGUAUUUAGGUUUAAAUCCCGUCACUAAUAACCCUCAAUAGUGACCUGUUUUGGUUUAAAUCUCAUUACCACUGAUCCUCAAUAGUGAUGUGUUUUAGCAAAACAUGUUAUCAAUGACUUGUCAUUGGUGACGUGUUAAAACGCGUUAUCUCAAUGGCAAAUCAUUGGUGACGUGUUAUCUCAAUGUUAUCAAUGUUCUAUUCUUUUCAACAAUACCAGCUCGUUCCUCCGUUUUUAUUCCACCAAUACAAGCACCACCUUGUAACAUUUCCUAUGUUUUUUUUCCUUUUGUCUGUUUUCUCACUACAUGCGUUGCUCUUUCAUGCAUUUUUUUCCAUUCCUGUAUUCCAAAUAGGUCUACAUGAACACAAAAUGAACUAGGGGACAGAAAAAGCCAGUGAAGCCAAUUUUGAGCUUCACCAGCUACUUGCUACAUAAAGUGUGCUAUAGUGACGUGUUUUAGCAAAACAUGUUAUCAAUGACUUGUCAUUGGUGACGUGUUAAAACGCGUUAUCUCACUGGCAAAUCAUUGGUGACGUGUUUUAAAAAAACAUGUCACCGUGAGAGUCAUUGGUGAAGGGUAAUUAAAAUGCGUCACUAAUGUUGUAGCAUUAGUUAUGAUAAUUUAGUAACGCAAAAAUCUACCAUCAGUAUUGAGCUUUAGAGCCAUCGCUAAUGUGGGUUUCUUACAUAGUGAUGCAAGCUCUACAAGGUGCUGUUGCUGCCAUUUUAAAGCAUCCCAUGACUACAUGUUAAUAACAUAGUUUACCAUAUAUCAUAAAAAUAUUAGUUACAAUAAGCACAUACGCAUGUGGAAGAGUCCGAAUGCACCGGUUGAGGACUAAACACAUUGAAUUACUAGAACCAAAUGUAUGUUUAGAACAAAGACAGGGGUCAAGGUUUGGGUAACCGCAUUAAAAACAUUGGAUUUUACUGUACAUGAACACUUAGUUACCAUUACCAUGCCUUGAGCACCUAGUUACAACAAACAUUAAUUUAGCCACUUUAGAGCUUCCAGAAUCGCUAUAAAUAAUAUACCUACGCCGUACCAUGAAAACAUCAAGAAGAGAGACGGAUACAUGGACCACCAUCAAGCGAGUAGUGACAGCACGCACAAGAAUACCCGGAACCUGUUAGCUUGUCUGUAGUGAUCUGUUUUCUUCCCCAUAAAAUCCAUGAGUAUUGCCACAAAUAAUGAAAGAGGCUGACCAAGCUAGCAAGGAGGUAGAGCAAACGUGAUACACGGCCUGCCAAGAUUGCCCUGGAUACGCCAAUAAGAGCGACAGAUACAUGGAUCACACCAAUAUGGUGAAACGUAUAUUCAUCACACAAGCAAAGCUGGUCAGUUUAUCCAUGGUCAAAUUGUGGUCUUUGUUUUCACUUGAGAGCUAAUUGAGGCACUAUAAUAUGGGCAGGCCUAUCUUCAACAGACAUGACAGCUACAGGGAACUUGACAUAAUUUGCUGGGCCGCCUGUGCACAAUUAUUUGUUUUAUUGUCCUUGCAUAGAAUGCUAAAAUACUCUUUACAAAAUGUUGGAUCUAAUAUUUGAAAUAUAGAGUAGUAAUCAUAUAUUGAUCAACAACUUGAAAUUAUCUGUACAUUCUCGGUGAAGCUGUUGAACUAAUUUUUGCAAAUUAUUAAUUCAUCUCAUUACGUAAAGAAAAAAGUAAGUGGAUAAGAUAUUUCGUGGACCACAUCACUGCAAACAUGUCAUGGAGAGACAGACCAAGGAGGCAGGACGUGAUACACGACUUACCCUAGGUUGCCGUGGAACCGCCAAGAAGAGAUACAGAUACAUGGACCACACCAUCUUGGGAGUAGUGACAGCAUAUAUGCAGAAGAAUACCCCGUGCCUAUUUGCAUGCAUGUCUCAAGUGAUCUGUUUUCUUCAGAAAAUACAUGAGCAUUGCCAGAAAGAAUGGCAAGAGACAAACAUGUCAUAGAGACUUGCAUGUCUUGCCUUGGAUACGCCAAGAAGAGGGACACAUACAUGGAUAACACAAAUCUAGUGACACGUAUAUUCAUCACAAAGGCAAAUCUGAUAAUUUUAUCCAUGGAGCAGACCAAGGAGAAAUUGAUGACGGACAUGUGAUCUCUGUAUUCAGUUGAAAGCUAAUUGAGCUACACUAAUAUGAGCAGGACUAUAUUCAAGAGACUUGUUGAGAGCUACAGGGAACUUGUAAUAAUUUGCUGGGCGGCCUGCGCACAAUGAUUUGUUAUACAUAGUUGAAAUAUUUCAAGAAUUUAUCAACCUCAUACUCUGAAACCCUUGGUGCAAUGUACUCUGCUUUCCGAGGUAGACUGUUCACGUAAAAUGAGGUCAUGCGUAAGACGGAAUCGGAUUGGAUUCACAGGGAAUCAGAUUUGGAUAGCACCUUUUAGCAGGUUUUUAGUCAAAUGCAAAUUCGGAUCCACAUGUGGUUGAAUGCGAGUUCAAAAUUCUACUUGGAUAUCCAUUUAAUUUAGGUGAUAGCAAUUAGCACAAAAUGUUGGAUGAACAAAAUCAUAGUUAGACAUACAAUUACAUGUAUGGUUAAAGUAUAAUACAAUACACCAAGAUUAUUCCUUGAAAAUAUUUCUUAAAAAUAUUAUAAUAAAUGAAUAAAUAUAAUUGUGGCCACCAACAAAUAGUCGGUGGUCGCUAAGUUGGAGCCAUUUCUGGUUACUAAUGCGGCCUUCUCCUCGACCAGCGACGACAGCUGAGCUUGUUCCUUCUGACACUAAAUCAUCAGAGUCUUCCCUCCACUACUAUAGAAUGCACCUUUAGCACCAAUUGGGAAAUCCCCUUCAGUAUUGGAUGCUGCAACCAGUGCUAUAUAUCAAAAUGGAGACUAAAAGCCUCGGUCUUGGGUACCGGUUGCAUAACGCAUUACUAAAGGAGGCAAAAGAGAAAUGUAACAAAAAAAAUAUUUUGAAUUCCAAGAAUGUUUCACUAUUCAAGAUGACUAGCUGAGAGUCAACAGACAAGAUACUAGGAAUGUGGGUGCUUGAAUGCAUUUGUACAGAGGUCAUACUAUUUACAAACUCUUCUAUGUUUCCAUAUGACUACCUACUUCAAUGUCACGCGAGCCAUUCAGCUGGACACAUGGCACACUAGCUUGCAUGUCGAAUCCAUGAUUAAUUAUUUGCACUUGUGAUCUCUUACCAGUAUUUGUCCAGACUAGAAACGUGCAACACAUUUUUAGGAUAUGGACACGCAUAUAUUUGGACUAGUAUACAGGUCACCUUUGGAUGCGUACAAGGAUGACCGGGAGGGACUAAUGGAUACAAGGAAGGGACCAUCAGGAUUAAUAUUGACAUAUGCCACAUGACAAUCUUCAUUGUCAUGCAAUCCCUAUCAACAAUCAUGGAAUCCCUAGUGUACUAAUCCCUGGAGGGUUGUGUGGAAAUUUAUUUUACCUUGCGGUGAAAAUCUCAUGAGCAGUCAUUAGUUAAGCUGACUAGCUGAGAUAUAAUAGACAAGCUAGUAAGAUUGGGAGCAUCAAUGCAUCCAUACAGGGUCACAAUAUCCUUUCCAUUCACUUUUAUAUAUAACCCUACGAAUACAAGUCCAACGAAAUGCGGGCCUUUCGAUCAAGAUAAAUUAAAUGGCCCACUUGUAUUUCUAAUCCAGGAUUAACUAUGCCCUCUGUUCAUCUCUUGCAAGCACGUGCAACACAUUUUCACGAUAUGGACAUGCAUGGAGGUUAUUAUACUGUUUGGACAAACUCUGAUGUGCCAUGACCUAAAUGCUUAGGGCCUGUUUGGUUUGAGUUGCUUAUUAUAAGCAACUUAAAGUUGCUUAAAGUUGCUUAUUUGAAGUUGCUUAUUUUUAGUCUAAACUGUUUGGAUACCCUUGCUUAUGAGCAUUGAAUGAGUUGGACAUUGUCAAAUUUGCCCCAUGUGUUGCUACCCCUCCAAUUUGCCUCCCCACCCUUCUUCUUCCUGCACACGUCCGAUCCCGGGGGCCGACGGCGGGCAGGGAGCAGCAGCAGCUGGCCAGGGCGGCGGUGGGGCGGGAGCGGCGGCGCACACCAGCACGCGCUCGCACGCCAGGUGCUAGGGCGCGGCGAGGCAGUCGUCGUAGCCCACCGGGAGCGGGUGCUCGGGCGCGAGGCGGUACUCGACGGAGAUGCCGAGCGUCGGGCGCGCGGCGGCGAGCGCGUUGAGGAAGCGAUGGUAGUGCGGCGACGUCGCGGACUCCGCCACGAAGCCGCCGCCGUGGACGUACACCACCACGGGCAGCUUCGUCUUGCCGUCGGCGGCCGCGGCCGCGGCCUGGGGUGGCAGGUAGAGGCGGACGGAGCAGGAGCCGAGGUCGACGUCCCUGGAGUCGACGCCCGUGGCGGCGUCCAGGCUGGGCCCGACCGGCGGCGGCACGAGCGGGCGCUCGAUGCGGCCGCUCUUGUAAAUCCGACGGGUCUGUGCGGAGGCGGGCGGCGGGCGGGAGCGGCGGGUGGGAGCGGCGGCAGGUGGUGCGGAGGCCGGCGGCGGCGGGUGGCGCGGAGGAAGGGGAGCUGGUGAGUGGUGACAGGGGAGGGGGGGAGAGAGAGGGGGGGUAGGGUGCAUUGAAUGAGGGCAGGAGGUGUAAAGUGCACCUUUUAGUCCCCAUGAGCAACCAUAAGCAGCCCAAGAGUUGCUUAUUUGCUUAUAAUAAGCAACCUCAUAAGCAAGAGUGAUUGGUUUCAUAAGCAACUUAUUUGCUUAUUUUAAGUUGCUUAUGCAUAAGCAUGUGAAACCAAGCAGGUCCUUAACCUAUGGUUGUGGCACCACACAGUACAUAGUAUUUAAUAAUGCUAUUCGUUUGGUAUGUGCACAAGGGCACGCAUGAAAUGUCUGGCCCACGGUAAACAAGUACGGACGCUGCAAAUAAUCUACUCUGCUCGUCCAGUCCCUAGCCUAUAAAUAGAUGCCAUGCUAGCUCUUGUUGUGCUCACAAUUAAUCCUGACUACACACGAGCUUCUCUCCCUGGCCAAGACACAAUCAUAGUAUGAUGAAGAACAUGGCACUAGCCGGCAAUGGUAUGAAGAACUUAAUCCUCGCUGUUCUCUUACUGUGUCUAGUUAUAGGGCAGAUACAAGUGGAAGCUAAGAGCUGCUGCCCAUCCAUUACUGCAAGAAAUAUCUACAAUGCCUGCCGUAUCACGGGUACAUCCCGUCCAACGUGUGCAAAACUGUCAGGCUGCAAAAUUAUCAGCGGGGACAAAUGCAAGCCCCCUAACGACCACCUCACCCUUGACCCGGACACUGGUAAAUAAUAAAUUUAUCUCACUUGAUUUCUUCGUGUUUUGAGUCGUUAAUGUAUUUUCCAUCUGAUGAAACGUAUUGGUUUUGCAUUGAAGAGGAAGUUAAUGUGCUUAACUUCUGCAAGUUGGGGUGUGCGUCGUCUGUGUGCAACAACAUCAACGCUGGUAAGCACCUUUUGCUCAGACGGAGAAAACAAUAAUCAUUAAUUAGCGGCAGCUAGAAUCCUAUAAUCUAAUAUAUUUAUAUAUAUAUAUAAUUUUAUCAGCUCUGGGAAAUGAAGAGGCGAACGAUGCCGUUGAGAGUUGCGACCAAGCCUGCUCUAGCUUCUGCAACGUGCACGUUGGCGCUGCCACCGUGGUUGCUUAAGCAAAUGCAUCCAACUGGAUCGUCCUUGUGCUAAAUAAUUGGAUAUCGUAUCCACUUAAAGCUGCCUUGUGUAGUACGUUUUUGUUUGUGUCUCUCUUUAUAUUCCAAUAAGGUCGGUGAUCUUGAUGCCACACACUCAGACGUGUGUUCAUCUCCAGAUACUACUCCAUGCUACCUGCCCUUUGUGUUUUGUUCAAUAACUGGGUAUCAUAUCCCAGCCAGUGUGCCAUCUGUUUUGUGUUUAUUUCCUUCUAGUUUCAAAGGGGUUAUCAUGAUGUUACCUUCUUUCGAUAUGGUGCUUUGCAUGACUACUGUUGUAUGGUACCAUCUUGUUGGCCAAUAAAUACAUCUUAUCCUAUGACCCUUUGCUAUGACCCUUUGCAAAUAAGUACAAGAUUGUUAAAUACUCGGUAUAAAUUGACUACUGCUGUGAGUUCCCUUUCAGCUUAUCGUAGGCAUACAUUAUUGCUAGCACGGUGAAGACAACCAACACGAAUGGUCAAGUAAACGUACCGGUACUUUUGUAUACCAACACCCUUGCUUAAAUGUACCGGUGUUACUCCCCACUAGCACAUAUAUUCUUAUAUGCUAGCCGGCUUGAAAAUUAACCGAUUAAAAUAAUUAUUUCAAGACAGAAAUAACUUAUCGGCUUCUCGAAGCAUGUGUAAUGUGAAUUCAAGGACUUGAUGGAAGUUGAAUCGCUUAAUCUAGAUUGCUUUCAGGAUUUUGGGUAACUAAAUUUAACAUUUGCACAUACAAAUGUUAAUGUACAAAUAUUAAAUAUAGUUACCCAAGCAGAAUAUGAAGAUACUCUAUAGUAUAUAUAUACUAUAUAAAUCUAGUUAACAUUUAGUCUAAAUGUUAAAUCUAGUUACCUAAAAUCCUGAAAGCAAAAUGUAUAAAUAUAUAUCUUUUAAGGAAUCCCAAAGCAAGAGUUCAGUGGCAUUCUAUAGUCCCAUGCUGCUAGUUUGAGUUGGUCGAAGCCAACUUAAAUAGGAGAGCUCUCUCACUUCUCUAAAUACGUAACUGAAGGAGAGAAGGGGGCUUGGUUACACAACGCACGCACGCACGCAUAUUUGCGUUCUUUUCGCGUAACCAACCGCGUGACUUGAAACUUGCGACGUAGCGUGCUGCCAAGUCAAGUUGAUAUAACCUUUUUGCCGUAGGCGUGUAAUCUUUUGACAACGGUCAUUGGAGGUGAUAAGCACGCAGUCAAUACCUUAAUCCUGAGUUAAUAGGGCGGUUACUACUGCCAAUUAGUGGGGCAAUUUUGUAGGGGAAACGGUUAGCAGAGGGCUACCAUCUUCUCUAUAAGAAGUUCUGGAGACGUCCAGGAACACACAUGUACAUGUGAGAGACCCACGAAUUCCUUCCCAUCUCCCUUUUCCAUCUGGUGAAGUGUGCUAUGGUACUGAGCUGCUGGAUCUCGCCGGCUCUUCUCCUUGGCGUGCACCGAGGAGGAGGGUGAGCGGUAUCUCCGAGCUAUUGCCGUCAGGAAGCCUGCACGAGGGACAACAAUAAAGUUUUUGGGUAGCGCAACUACGCAACCGCUCGAUUCGAUCGACUAUGUUCUGCGCUGCCUCAUCUUCGAUCUGCACUGCAACACGUAACCCUGCAGCAAGUCUACACAAGGACGGAGCACUAAUCUGUAAGUCCUAGAUUGGUUUCUUACAGAGUUGUAGGUUACACAAGAUCUAGAAUUGUUACAUACUUAUUAUUAUGGGUUACAUGAUGUUUUGUACGGUUACGUCUAUUUUGCAUAUGCUAUUUUUACAUACCGUUUACAUGCAUAUGUAAUGGUUACGCCUAGCUAUUUGAAUCUAGAAUUGGGUUACAUAGCAGUAGCAAUGACUUACGUAAUAUGCCUCAUGUUUAUAUCUGGUAGAAUUUAACACGUAUCUCCAACAUAUUUUGAGGCAGUAUAAAUUUCAAUUCCUUUUGCUGCUCUGUUAAAUCCCGUCUUUCGUGUGGCCCAACACUCUAGUAUGCAUGUAGCACCAAGCUUGUUUGAGCCGCUUUGUGCUCUGAUUUUGCUGUCUGUAUCAGGUUGGACUGUUUCUUUGUCUUGCGAUGUAUAGCUUCAUAUCUUCUAGAGGUUAGACAGCAAAACCCGCGUUCUCUUAAGGCAACAACUCGAAGAAUCUGCAGCGCUCCUGAUAUAUCACUGCUGCAGAAACAAUCUUUAGUACUGAUUUCCAACCCCCUUUAGUAUCGGUUUGGCAAUCAGUACCACUACGUCGGUACUAAAGGGAGUUCUCUAGAAUCGGGUCAAAUAACUGGUACUAAAAGUGCUCCUCUACUACCAGUUGGUAACACCAAUAGGUAGUAACUUUUUUUGCACCCAAAAAAUUAAAGAAAAACAGCCGGGAGGCUCGCGCACACACGCAUCAUGAGUAAUAUGCGCGUGCAUGGUUUGUGGGAUUCCAACCCACGACCAAGCUAUAAGCACGUAGUUACAAAAAAAUUAAACACUUAGACAUUUUAGAGCAUCCCAAAUAACUACAAAUUCUUUAGUUUACCAUAUACCAUAAAAUAUUAGUUAAAAUAAGAGCAUACGCACGUCGGAAGAGUCCCAAUGCACCGGUUGAGGAUCAGACCAGGCACUUUGAAUGCACAUGCCAUAAGAUAAUUCUGCAGGACGAUGAUUGCAAUAAUGGACCAUCGAGAAGAUAGGGGCGAUGGGGUUGCCUCAUCAAUUAUGACUUGGCGCAACAAGACCAGCAAAGUCUUUAUCGACAGGGGUGGAUCAAGGGGUGGGGCGGGUAGAGCUCCAAUCUUCCUACCGCCGCUCGAACAAUGGAGCCCCCCUUAGCCCCUCCAUAAAUUUUUAGGUAGAAGAAAAAAGAAGAGAAGGGAAGGAAGGGGAAGAAUAGGGAGCCCCUCCUAAGUAGGUCGCCAUCGUGCUUCCCAACGCAUGAUCGCCGCACCGCAUCCAUUCCUCUACAAGCCUCCAGCGUCUCUCCUGCCGCUACCUCUGAACCAUGUGCAGCUGCAGACCCAACUAGUGUCUUGUCACCCAUCUCAAUCCCAACAGAGCGGCGGCUCCUGCCAGCACAAAUCUCCCUCCGCCUGUUCUUCACGAUCGAUGGCCACCACAAGCAUAAACCUCGCCUUCGCAUCCACGCAAAAGGGUCGCCGGUGUGCCUUCUCGCAUCGCUUCUCAGCCUCCUUCACUUGCGGCUGGCCAAGAACCGUGCCACCACCUCGGGUGCGCGCCACCGCUCCAGGGCCGCUACCCCAUGCGUGCGGCCGCCGCCGGCCACCACGCGUGUGCAACCGUGUCGCACCGCUUCCCUGCUCUGUGCCACCACUGCUACUGCACCACCAGCUCCACCACCUUGGGCUGGUCGCCAGGGUGACUGAUUGGUGGAUUAUUACUACAAAUAAGUUCCUUAUUAUCUGCAACUACUAUUAACUCAGGGAUACAUGCGUCUUUUGCUUCUCCUGUUAAUAUGUCCUAAAAUAUCUAGAAUGCCUUAUAUUUCUGGACGGAGGAAGUAUUUGAAUAAAAUGAACCAAUUUUAAAAAAUGUGUUGUACACUACUACAGAAAGAACUAUCAGUGUCAAACCCAAAAAUGUCGUCACUGCCAGUUUUGGGCAUCGUUGGUGAAAGGUUGGCGGUGAUGGGUAUCCCCUUCAACAACGGCACUAGAGCUAACAGUGAUUGACAUUAGAAAACGAAAAAGGGGACCCACCUAGCCACCCCUGCAACCCGGCUGGCCGUGCCUCCCGUCAUCCCCACCACCUCGCCUCCCCCGUGACCCCCCGCCGGCGCCCUUGCGCCUAGCCCCCUCGCCUGCCUGGCCGGCCACCCUCGUCACGAGAGAGAGGGGUGCAUGUUGUAUAAUUGCGUGAAUUUUUAAUGUUUAAUUUCAUGUAAGUUUCAUAUAAUAAAUUGUACAAGUUUUAUUGUAUAUAUGAAUUCCAUAUAUAUAUAUUUAUAAUUUAAUGUAUGGUUUCAUGUGUAUAUUUCAAUAAUGUGUAUAUUUAGUAGAUAGCCGAUUUUCUUUUUCUACAAGACAAGGGUUGAUGUAUAAUUACGUGUAUAUGUUUAUUGUACGGGCAAUUAGGACAAGUUUUGUAUAAAUUUCUUUUAUUUCAUGGUUGUUGUAUGGUUUCAUGUAUAUACAUUUAUUGUACUACUUGAGACAAUUUUUAAUUUAAUGUUUCUAUGGUUACAUGUGUGUAUAACUAAUUGUAUUAUUAGUUAAGAUGGGAGCCAAAGAGGAUGAAAGGUAUAUAAUGGAGCAGAUUAUUGCUGGCGGUAGUGGCUCAAACGUUGCAAGAACCUACAUCAAGGGUGAGGGUAGCUAGGUGGACAUGUACCUCAACAUGUCCAGUGAUGGCAAUGACGAUGAGGAGCACGAGCAUGACGUUUAUGAUAGUGCGGAACAAGACAUUGCAGAAUUGGAAGGUUCUAAUGAGGUGUGCUUCAUGUUGAUGAUCUGGUUGGCUUUUUUUCUUUGGUCACACCUUAGUUACCAUAGAACUUCGUCUCGGGAGAAGAUUGGAGGUGCUAUGGUGAUUGGAAUUUUAUUGCCUCCAAAUAUGAUUUCCAUCGAAUCAUAUCCCUUGUAUUUAUCUUCUUUUUAUUUGUGAGAGCAUCUUCUUUAUGCUUGCAAAACAAUUCAAGUGCACAUACUACACCUAGGGUGAUGAUUAGGAGUAGAAACAAUUGCCAACAAACGAACACCACAUCCUAAGAUUCUUAACUUGUGGUAUAAUUAGUCUAGUAAAAAGAAAGAUAAAAACCUAAUGGGUGUACGUGAGUGCAAUGCGUAUAUGCAUAUGAGUGGAAGGCAUAUAAGCAAAGAUAAUAUUUACACAUAGAUCUAAGCACCAUGUUUACAACUAAGUUGCUGAAUUUCUCCAUAGCUAUAGAGAUUAAUGAACCAAGGUCAAAACACCAUGUCUAUCCCAAGAUCAGUAAUUCUUUAUAGCACAAGAAAAAGAAAGCGCAUUGCAAAGUUUAUAAACCAACCAAUGCAGCAUGAAAACAAGAUGAAUAGCUAGCAAGGUUUAUUAAACUGAAUGAUGACGGUCUGCAAGCAAGUUUGAACACCAUCUUUACACAAGAUUGCAAAUGGAAAAUUCCCAUAUGAAGAACUAACAUGGAUAUGAAAUCAUUCAUCAUAAAGCGUAAAGAACAACCAAGCCAACCAUAUGCAAAGCAUGAAUGGAAUGCAAUGAAGGUGCAAGAGAACAUUUUUGGAUGAACCCAUUAUGAUGAUGGCAAAAUGCGCCGUGCCCCCCAGCCCCCGCGGUGAGAUCCCGCCGCUCGCUGCCGCCAGACCCUAUUAGGCCUCCACCGGCAGGUCCACCCACGGUCCCGCGCGACGUGGCAGCCUCUUGGCUCUCGGCGCUCGCGGCACGCCAGUGCUGGCGCAGCCCCACCAGGCGACUACCCUCCCCCCAUAAGGCCUCGGCCCCUCCCCAGCGCCGCCCCCCAACACCAGGACUGCCUGCUGCCCCCCACCGUGAGGUAAUCGAAAUCGACUGCUCAAUCUCUCAAUCUGUUGAUAUGAUGCACACGGUUGCAAAAAUAGAUGUGUCAAAAUAGAUGUUUUGCCAAUUGCUAUAGAUGCAUACGGUUGACAUGAAGUCAAAAAUGACAUUUGGUUCCUUGUAGGCAGUCAAAAAUGAAGAAGUCAAAAAAUAUUGAUCUGAAAUCAAUGUGGGAAAGGGCUAUGAAGACACGCAGGUAGAUUCCCUUGUGAACUUUUUAUGUCGUUCGUCUAAAUAAUUUUUUGCAAUGGGCAUACCCUACUCUGAAAUCCUGGGUCCGCCACUGAUGAUGAUGGUCUAAAAAUAAACCAAGCCUAGAUUAAUUAGCCACAACUGAAAUUAAGCAAAGGUUAAUGUCAUUGACCCUAGCUCUAUCCUAGCUUUUACCAAAGUUCCGGCACAUAUAGUGGUUGGGCCCACUCUCUCUGCUUCCCUCUCUGCUGCAUGCACGCACACGAGCAACGGGAGGCCCGACGAAGCCCAGAAGGGUUCGGCCGAACCAGUAUGAGCGCCGCUCCCUCCCAGCCUUCGCGCAGAUGCUCCUCCAACGUUCCUUGACCCCUCCCUCAGCGUCCCGUUGGGUUUAACAUUGCAGGAGAGGAGUCCCUUUUUUAAAAUCUCAACCACCUCCUCUCCCCAUUCACUCCACUCUCAUCUCCAUCAAACUCACCAAGAUCCGCACCGGAAAUCCCUGCUUACCACCAUGGCUGGCAAAGCCCUCAUCCCUUUCACCAACUUGGGCUUGACCACUGAUCUCGAUGGGGAAAUCACUCUGGCAAAUAUGCGUGUAACACUGCCCCCUUUGCCGAGGGUUAAAGCCAAAACACUCAGCAAAGUGGAUAGUACCCCCCUUUUUACCCGUUUUGUCAUGUAUAACGGACCCCUCUCAAUUCACAAUAGACAUCAUCAUAGGCAUUUAUAAUAAACAAUCACAGGCAUAAUUCACAAUCACCAUUACAAGCAUUAUUCAUAAAUAUCACAGACAUAAUCCAAAGUAAGCAUGAAACAAGCCAUAAAUCCAAGUUCAAGUCACAACUAAGUUUCAUCCAAGUUCAAGUCACAAAUGCAAUGUCUAAAUCCAUGGAGGCCAAGGAGACCACUGCGACAAAUCUUGGUCUUCAUUAUUCGAAGCCGCCGAUUGAUUCUGCACAUAGGAUAGGACAUUCUGAGCUAACAUCUAAAGUUGUCAAAAUUAAAGUAUUCAAUCUUAAGCACAAUGUGUCAAAUGACUCACAGGAGUAGUUGUGGGUGGCUGAGGCGGAGGGAACAGCAUCGAUGGCGGUGGCAAAGAUUGACCCAUGCUCGAAGCAAAAUUCUGCAUGUACUGGAACAUCUGGUCCAUCCUCAUCCGAUUUUCUUCCUCCAUCCUCUGCCGCUCGGCCUCUAACCUCCGCUGAACCAUCUGCUCCAUCCUCGCCGCCAUCUCCUCUUGUUGCUUCCUUGCUGCUUCCACCUGGGCCUACAAUAUUUCAUUGCAAUGUUACAAUGCAAAGCUAAAGUAUAGCAACCAACGAACAAUGAAUGGAAGAGAAAGAACCUGGAGAGCCUCCAUCUGGAACUGUCCAAUGGUUGGUCGUAGCCGUAUCGCCGGGCUCGAGUCCGUGCUCCUUGCUUGGAUCUGGGAGAGAGUGGCAGUAGAGGCCGUGUUGAUUACGCCGUCGCCAAUCCAAUAUCGGCCAUGCUUCUUGCCUCCUCCCACCCUCAUCACGAUUUCUCCAUCAAUAUCCUCAGAGCUUGAAUCGAAGUCUGGCCCGUGAACCUCCCUUGCCAUCACUGUAUAUUCCUUUGCCGAGUGCCCGAGAUAAAGCACUCGGCAAAUAGAAAACACUCGGCAACUUUACUGUUUCCCGUAGUGUCGCUAUUUUUGCAGGUUCUCGACCAGGCCAGUUCUUUGGGCCAACCUAUCAUUCACGACUUAAACAUACGGUGGCUGUAGAAAUGUUCUAUUCUUUUCAACAAUACCAGCUGGUUCCUCCGUUUUUAUUCCACCAAUACAAGCACCACCUUGUAACAUUUCCUAUGUUUUUUUUUCCUUUCGUCUGUUUUCUACAUGCGUUGCUCUUUCAUGCAUUUUUUUCCAUUCCUGUAUUCCAAAUAGGUCUACAUGAACACAAAAUGAACUAGGGGACAGAAAAAGCCAGUGAAGCCAAUUUUGAGCUUCACCAGCUACUUGCUACAUAAAGUGUGCUAUAGUGACGUGUUUUAGCAAAACAUGUUAUCAAUGACUUGACAUUGGUGACGUGUUAAAACGCGUUAUCUCAAUGGCAAAUCAUUGGUGACGUGUUUUAAAAAAACAUGUCACCGUGAGAGUCAUUGGUGAAGGGUAAUUAUAAUGCGUCACUAAUGUUGUAGCAUUAGUUAUGAUAAUUUAGUAACGCAAAAAUCUACCAUCAGUAUUGAGCUUUAGAGCCAUCGCUAAUGUGGGUUUCUUACAUAGUGAUGCAAGCUCUACAAGGUGCUGUUGCUGCCAUUUUAAAGCAUCCCAUGACUACAUGUUAAUAACAUAGUUUACCAUAUAUCAUAAAAAUAUUAGUUACAAUAAGCACAUACGCAUGUGGAAGAGUCCGAAUGCACCGGUUGAGGACUAAACACAUUGAAUUACUAGAACCAAAUGUGUGUUUAGAACAAAGACAGGGGUCAAGGUUUGGGUAACCGCAUUAAAAACAUUGGAUUUUACUGUACAUGAACACUUAGUUACCAUUACCAUGCCUUGAGCACCUAGUUACAACAAACAUUAAUUUAGCCACUUUAGAGCUUCCAGAAUCGCUAUAAAUAAUAUACCUACGCCGUACCAUGAAAACAUCAAGAAGAGAGACGGAUACAUGGACCACCAUCAAGCGAGUAGUGACAGCACGCACAAGAAUACCCGGAACCUGUUAGCUUGUCUGUAGUGAUCUGUUUUCUUCCCCAUAAAAUCCAUGAGUAUUGCCACAAAUAAUGAAAGAGGCUGACCAAGCUAGCAAGGAGGUAGAGCAAACGUGAUACACGGCCUGCCAAGAUUGCCCUGGAUACGCCAAUAAGAGCGACAGAUACAUGGAUCACACCAAUAUGGUGAAACGUAUAUUCAUCACACAAGCAAAGCUGGUCAGUUUAUCCAUGGUCAAAUUGUGGUCUUUGUUUUCACUUGAGAGCUAAUUGAGGCACUAUAAUAUGGGCAGGCCUAUCUUCAACAGACAUGACAGCUACAGGGAACUUGACAUAAUUUGCUGGGCCGCCUGUGCACAAUUAUUUGUUUUAUUGUCCUUGCAUAGAAUGCUAAAAUACUCUUUACAAAAUGUUGGAUCUAAUAUUUGAAAUAUAGAGUAGUAAUCAUAUAUUGAUCAACAACUUGAAAUUAUCUGUACAUUCUCGGUGAAGCUGUUGAACUAAUUUUUGCAAAUUAUUAAUUCAUCUCAUUACGUAAAGAAAAAAGUAAGUGGAUAAGAUAUUUCGUGGACCACAUCACUGCAAACAUGUCAUGGAGAGACAGACCAAGGAGGCAGGACGUGAUACACGACUUACCCUAGGUUGCCGUGGAACCGCCAAGAAGAGAUACAGAUACAUGGACCACACCAUCUUGGGAGUAGUGACAGCAUAUAUGCAGAAGAAUACCCCGUGCCUAUUUGCAUGCAUGUCUCAAGUGAUCUGUUUUCUUCAGAAAAUACAUGAGCAUUGCCAGAAAGAAUGGCAAGAGACAAACAUGUCAUAGAGACUUGCAUGUCUUGCCUUGGAUACGCCAAGAAGAGGGACACAUACAUGGAUAACACAAAUCUAGUGACACGUAUAUUCAUCACAAAGGCAAAUCUGAUAAUUUUAUCCAUGGAGCAGACCAAGGAGAAAUUGAUGACGGACAUGUGAUCUCUGUAUUCAGUUGAAAGCUAAUUGAGCUACACUAAUAUGAGCAGGACUAUAUUCAAGAGACUUGUUGAGAGCUACAGGGAACUUGUAAUAAUUUGCUGGGCGGCCUGCGCACAAUGAUUUGUUAUACAUAGUUGAAAUAUUUCAAGAAUUUAUCAACCUCAUACUCUGAAACCCUUGGUGCAAUGUACUCUGCUUUCCGAGGUAGACUGUUCACGUAAAAUGAGGUCAUGCGUAAGACGGAAUCGGAUUGGAUUCACAGGGAAUCAGAUUUGGAUAGCACCUUUUAGCAGGUUUUUAGUCAAAUGCAAAUUCGGAUCCACAUGUGGUUGAAUGCGAGUUCAAAAUUCUACUUGGAUAUCCAUUUAAUUUAGGUGAUAGCAAUUAGCACAAAAUGUUGGAUGAACAAAAUCAUAGUUAGACAUACAAUUACAUGUAUGGUUAAAGUAUAAUACAAUACACCAAGAUUAUUCCUUGAAAAUAUUUCUUAAAAAUAUUAUAAUAAAUGAAUAAAUAUAAUUGUGGCCACCAACAAAUAGUCGGUGGUCGCUAAGUUGGAGCCAUUUCUGGUUACUAAUGCGGCCUUCUCCUCGACCAGCGACGACAGCUGAGCUUGUUCCUUCUGACACUAAAUCAUCAGAGUCUUCCCUCCACUACUAUAGAAUGCACCUUUAGCACCAAUUGGGAAAUCCCCUUCAGUAUUGGAUGCUGCAACCAGUGCUAUAUAUCAAAAUGGAGACUAAAAGCCUCGGUCUUGGGUACCGGUUGCAUAACGCAUUACUAAAGGAGGCAAAAGAGAAAUGUAACAAAAAAAAUAUUUUGAAUUCCAAGAAUGUUUCACUAUUCAAGAUGACUAGCUGAGAGUCAACAGACAAGAUACUAGGAAUGUGGGUGCUUGAAUGCAUUUGUACAGAGGUCAUACUAUUUACAAACUCUUCUAUGUUUCCAUAUGACUACCUACUUCAAUGUCACGCGAGCCAUUCAGCUGGACACAUGGCACACUAGCUUGCAUGUCGAAUCCAUGAUUAAUUAUUUCCACUUGUGAUCUCUUACCAGUAUUUGUCCAGACUAGAAACGUGCAACACAUUUUUAGGAUAUGGACACGCAUAUAUUUGGACUAGUAUACAGGUCACCUUUGGAUGCGUACAAGGAUGACCGGGAGGGACUAGAAAUGGUCUAGUUUUGAUUGGACUACAAAACUUUUUGUACAGUGAAUAGAGAAUAUAUAUUAUUGUUGGAAUACGAGGUAGGCUACACUAUCGCAAUUCUGAUAUUCUACCGCGUAUAACCAAGAAGAACUGUCGUAUAAGGAUCACGGGAUUACCACUCGACGCACUACUGGUGCGGAAGAUGUAGAUAUGCGUCGAUGCAGUGAAGACGAUCACGUAGUCGUAUGUAGUCGAUCAACGUAGUCGUACAUAGUCGAUCACGUCCAGCAGCUCCUCAGCAGCUCGUCCACGUGCAGCAAGAUCGCCUCCGGUACCGCGGCUCGUCGUUGGCUUGUCGUGGCUCGUCGACGGCUCGUCGGCGGCUCGUCCAAGUGCUGCAGGCGCAACACCUCCAAGGUAUCCACACGUGCAGGGAGGAAGCGUCGCAAGCCGGACUGCUAGAUCCACGAGUUGCAACAGGCGAGGGCGUGGGAGGCGCGGCAGGUGUGUUUCGCCAAAAAGGUGUAAACCCUAGGGCGCCCCCACCCCUCUAUUUAUAGAGGUUCCUGACGGGCCUCUGGAUCCGAGGCCCAUUAGUACUUCUAAACCUAAUCCAACUCGGAUCAGAUCCGAAUUGGGCUUCCAGCCCCUUAAGUGUGUGACCCUAUAAGUUCGGAUACGUAUAGACAUGGCCCGAGUACUCCUACUCGGCCCAAUAGUCGGUAGCGGCCUCUAGCAAGACGUGCCAACUCCUAUACGCACACGAAGAUCAUAUCAGACGAACCAUCACAACAUAAUAUACAUGCUAUUCCCUUUGCCUCACGAUAUUUGGUCUAGCUUCAAGCCGACCGCUCUUUCUCAGUCCUGUGAUUCGGAAUCCCUUUGUAGGUUAACUCUUAACCGUACGUAGCAUGGCCAUGCAUUUUCGGAUCUGAUCACUCGAGGGGCCCAGAGAUAUCACUCUCAAUCAGAGAGGGGCAAAUCCCAUCUUGAUUGACCAUGUCUCAUAGCAUGCUUCUUGACAAACCUAAAAACUACCUUUAUAACUUCCCUGUUACGGCGUAGUGUUUGAUAGCUCCUAAGUAGGUCGAUCCACAUCUAGAAUACAUGCGACAAUUUCAGGUCUAAGGACAAAGCGUAUAUGUUGUUUAAAGAGAGAACUACUUCUCGUGUUGGGUCAGUCCCAGCACAUGUCUCCACAUGUGUCCACAUUAUUAGUUCAACAUCUCCAUGUCCAUGACUUGUGAAACAUAGUCAUCAACUAAUACAUGUGCUAGUCUAAUAUUCAUGUGUGUCCUCACAUGAACUCCGACUAGGGACAACUUUAGAAUAACCAUACAAGUAAAGAGUUUCACAUACAAUUCACAUAAUUGCAAAUCAAUUCAAGUAGCCUUCAAUGGAUAUUCAAUGAACACAACAUACAAAUCAUGGAUACAAAUGGAAUAUCAUCAUCUCUAUGAUUGCCUCUAGGGCAUACCUCCAACAGUCUCCCACUUGCACUAGAGUCAAUCUAGAAGGUACCUAAUACCCAUAGCUCUUACAUGCGCAUCAUGCUUAGCCUGCGGGAGUGGUUUUGUCAACGGAUCAGAAAUGUUCAGAUCCGUGUGUAUUUUGCAUAUCUUGAUCUCACCCCGGUUAACGAAGUCUCGAAUGAGAUGAAAUCGCCGCAUUACAUGUUUGUUCUUCUGGUGGUUCCUUGGCUCCUUUGCUUGCGCAAUUGCCCCAUUGUUAUCACAGUAGAGAUUCAAUGGGCUGGACCCAUUCGGGAACACACCAAGCUCAAUGAGGAAAUUCCUUAUCCAAACACCUUCCUUCGCGGCUUCCGAAGCCGCGAUGUACUCGGCUUCUGUCGUAGAAUCGGCCACCGUCUCCUGCUUGGAACUCUUCCAACUAACAGCACCACCAUUUAGCGUGAACACAAAUCCUGUUUGUGACUUUGAAUCAUCUCUGUCGGUUUGGAAACUAGCAUCGGUGUAACCUGUUACAACGAGCUCCUCCUCACCUCCAUAGACGAGGAAUAUAUCUUUAGUCCUUCUCAAGUACUUAAGAAUGUUUUUCACCGCUGUUCAGUGACUCUCACCUGGAUCAGAUUGGUGUCUGCUUGUCAUACUUAGCACAUAUGAAACAUCUGGGCGAGUACUUAUCAUUGCAUACAUGAUAGAUCCAAUAGCCGAGGCAUAUGACACUCUACUCAUGUGAUCCCGCUCAUCAGCAGUCGAAGGACACUGAGUCUUGCUGAGAUGUAUGCCAUGUGACAUAGGCAAGAACCCUUCCAUGCUGAACCGCUUCAACACUUUGUCAAUGUAAGUAUCUUGGCUUAAACCUAUAAGCCUUCUCGAUCUAUCUCUAUAGAUCUUAAUGCCCAGAAUAUAUGCCGCUUCCCCUAAGUCCUUCAUCGAAAAACUAUUUUUCAGUGAAGUCUUUAUGGACUCAAGCAUAGGAAUGUUAUUUCCAAUCAGUAAUAUGUCAUCCACAUAUAAGAUUAGAAAUACUACAGAGCUCCCACUAACCUUCUUGUAAACACAAGACUCUUCUUCGUUCUUGGUGAAGUCAAACCCUUUGACCACUUCAUCAAAACGAAUGUUCCAACUCCUAGAUGCUUGCUUCAAUCAAUAAAUGGAUCUCUGAAGCUUGCAUACCUUUCCAGCAUUUUUCGGAUCGACAAAACCCUUGGACUGUAUCAUAUACACGUCCUCAGUUAGGUUUCCAUUCAGGAAAGCUGUCUUGACAUCCAUCUGCCAUAUCUCAUAAUCGAAAUAUGCAGCCAAACUUGAUUGUCUCCCAUGGACUCUAUUUCGGAUUGCAUGGCAUUCUGCCAUUUUUCGGAGUCUGGGUCCAUCAUUGCUUCUGCAUAUGUCACAGGCUCAUCAUUGUCCAACAAUAAUAUUUCCUGCAUUUCGCGGAGCCUUGCCGACCUUCGUGGUUGUGGCGGUGCUUCUCUUGCCAUGGGUAUCUCAACUUGUUCUGCUACGUUAGCAUCACUCAUUGAUUCUUGCCCGAUCGGCUCAUCUUGAACUUCUUCAAGAUGCACUGUCUUUCCACUCUUUUCUCCUUUGAGAAACUCUUUCUCUAGGAAAACCCCGUUCCGAGCGACAAACACUUUGCCUUCUGAUCAGUUGUAAAAAUAAUAUCCCAAAGUUUCCUUUGGAUAUCCCACGAAAAUGCACUUAUCCGACUUGGGUGCGAUCUUGUCCGACUGAAGUCGCUUGACAAACACAUCACAUCCCCAAAUCUUUAGAAAAGACAAACUAGGAACCUUUCCAGUCCAUAUCUCAUAUGGUGUCUUAACUACGGAUUUAGAUGGUACCCUAUUAAGUGUGAAAGCUGCUGUUUCUAGAGCGUAUCCCCAAAAUGACAACGGUAGGUCCGACUGGCUCAUCAUUGAUCGAACCAUGUCUAACAAAGAUCGAUUACGUCGCUCGGACACACCGUUUCUCUGAGGUGAUCCAGGCGGCGUAAGUUGUGGAACAAUUCCGCAACUCUUUAGAUGAUUGCUAAACUUGUGGCUCAAAUACUCGCCUCCACGAUCAGAUUGUAAGGCCUUAAUUUUCUUGACACGCUAAUUUUCAACUUCAUUCUGAAAAUCCUUGAACUUUUCAAAGGUUUCAGACUUGUGCCUCAUCAAGUAGACAUAGCCAUAUCUACUAAAAUCAUCAGUGAAAGAUAUGAAGUAUUGGAAUCCUCCUCUAGCCGUCGUGCUCAUUGGUCCGCAUACAUCACUAUGUACGAGUUCCAACAAGUCUACUGCUCUCUCAGGAAAUCCUGUGAAAGACGUCUUGGUCAUCUUGCCUAGCAAGCAAGCCUCACAUGUCUCGUAUGAUUCAAAAUCAAACGAAGUUAGAAGUCCAUCAGAAUGGAGCUUCUUCAUGCGUUUUUCACUUAUAUGACCCAAACGACAAUGCCACAAGUAGGUAGGACUCAAAUCAUUAGGCCGAGGCCUUUUAGCACUUACAUUACAGACAGGUGAACCAUCAAGAUUUAAAACAAAUAAUCCAUUCACAAUGGGUGCAAAAGCCAUAAACAUAUUAUUCUUAGAGAUCACACAACCAUUGUUUUCACUCGCAAAUGAAUAACCAUCCUUCAUCAAGCAUGAAGGAGACAAAAUGUUUCGACUUAAACUAGGAACAAAAUAACAAUUAUUCAACUCCAUAAUAAAUGCUGACGGGAGGUGGAGUUGCAUCGUCCCGACGGUCAACGCAGCAACUCUUGCAUUAUUGCCCACGCGGAAAUCAACUUCUCCUCUUUCCACGCUUCUACUUCUUAUCAUUCCCUGCAUCGAAUUGCAAAUAUGAGCAACCGAUCCGGUAUCAAAUACCCAAGAAUUAAUAAUUGUAUCAGCGAGAAAUAUGUUGUCUAUGACAUUAACAACAAGCGUACCUGAGGUAGAAGUACUCUUACUUCCUCCAUUCUUCAACGAAGCUAGGUACUGCUUGCAGUUUCUCUUCCAGUGACCAAGUUCAUGACAGUAAAAGCACUCUUUGUCUGGAGCAGGUCCAGGUCCAGCUUUAACCUUGGGCGCUCGCUGGGUUUGGCUUGGAAAUUCCAGCCUUGCCCUUCUUCUUCCAAGAAUUGCCCUUCUUCUUAAAGCUAGGCUUGUUCUGUAUAGCCAUCACAUGGCUAGUACAAGCGCUUUUCUUGAUGUCUACCUCUGCUGUCUUGAGCAUACCACACAGUUCAUUCAAACCCUUCUCCGUCCCAUGCAUAUGGUAGUUCGAGAUGAAGUUCCCAUAGCUAGGCGGAAGAGAUGAAAGAAUGAAGUCAGUGGCCAACUCUUUGCCCAUUGGGAAGCCCAGCUUCUCCAAUCGCUGAGUGUAACCAACCAUGUUGAUUACAUGUGGUCCUACUGCUGCGUCUUCUGCUAGCUUGCACUCCAGAAAAGCUUUGGACACAUUGAACCUUUCAGUCCUAGCCUGUGUCUGGAACAUGUCCUUGAGCGCCACGAUCAUAUCGUGUGCCUCAUGAUUUGUUUCGAACUGCAUCUGCAGCUCGGGUUCCAUGCAAGCAAGCAUAAGGCAGCUUACCUCAAGAUUAGCAUCAAAUGCCUUCUUGUAAGCAGCCUUAACGGCAGCAGAUGCAUCAUCAGCAGGUACUGGUGGUAGUGGGGUAUCUAGAACAUCUUCCUUUUUAUCGGCCCUGAGAACAAUUCUCAGGUUACGGAUCCAAUCCGAGUAGUUUGUUCCAUUCAACUUGUCCUUCUCAAGGACCGAGCGCAAAGCAAACGAUGUGGUGGUGUUGCUAGGUGCCAUUUAAUCUACAACAAAAGUAAUGCAAAAUACACUAAGACAAACGUAUCCAUGAUAGAGCAAAUUACAUUAAACUAUUUUAACAGAAUCUACUCCCACUAAAAUCAAUAUCCCUCUAUUGAAACUUAGUGAUUCAGGAUCCACAACUAACAAGUCUACUAGUGAGCUUUAGCAUCACCGCUAGCAAACGAGGUAGAUCGGUAAGCAACUUUUGCUAAUCAUAUCACAUAUGACUCCUGUUGUUGGGUGACAUCUCCAUGUCUCGGCGCCCAACCAUUAUGCCCCAAGGUCCUUAACCGUUAAGAUGACCUCGUUAAGCAAACCAACCCUUAUGCGUGUAAGUGUCCGACACAAACCCGUCUAGUCAAGGAAAACUAGUGGCACCCUAAUUUCAUAGACCCACCACUAAUUGUACAAGACAUGGGACGGUGCAAGUUUUAGUUGGGAGGGCAUACUAACUUAAAUUUUUUGUGAGGGAUCGUUCUACUUCUAACAUCACAGCAUGCAGAAAGUAAAACAUAAACAGAAUAGCAUUCACACAGCUGUGACACAGUAUGGCCCGUUUUUAUAUGGUGAUCUCCAUCUCCAUAGAACCUGUUCACCAUGGUGAUCUCCAUCUCCAUGUUCCAUGUGCGCCAUCCUCCUGGUGAGGAGUCCUCCAAGAACUAGAACAUGCUAUUACACCUAAUAGCUAGUAAAGAAUCUAGUAAUGAAGAUUACAUAGUUGCUUGGAUCAUCACAGAUUGGUACGCAGACCAUUAAAUACAAUAAAGUGACAACACAUAUGGCUCCUGCCGUGUUGCCGUACGCGCGACACGCAGGUCACGAAUGAGUUACACACAUGCAUCACAUACACAAGGGGGCCAUACUGAUCACAAGAUACAUACAUACAUCCUGCAAAACAGAGUUAGGCGUCCUAACGUUCCAAACUUCGAAGGCCCGAAACUCCAUCUUCCAAGCCGAAUUUGGGAAAUCUAAUUUUGCCGAAAACGGCAAAGCGGUUGAAUUUCAUGUGUAACUUUUUCUGUAGAUCAAUUUUCAUAUAAAAUUCGCCCCGAUCCGAGAUCGUACCGAAAAGUUACGGCUGAUUUACCGAAGCAUACGCAUACGGCAAAAAUUCCGACCCCGGCAGUAGAUCCCAUCUACUAUUGCACAUCUAAUGCGCCUGGCGUAUGAUCCUGGAUUUCGAUUCGACCAAUCAUAUUGAUCUUCGCUCACUGCAACUGGAAUUACGUGUAUCACUUAACUCGUCGGCGGCUCGUCGGCGGCUCAUCCAAGUGCUGCAGGCCCAACACCUCCAAGGUAUCCACACGUGCAGGGAGGAAGCGUCGCAAACCGGACUGCUAGAUCCGCGAGUUGCAAUAGGCGAGGGCGUGGGAGGCGCCGCAGGUGUGUUUCGCCAAAAAGAUGUAAACCCUAGGGCGCCCCCACCCCUCUAUUUAUAGAGGUUCCUGACGGGCCUCUGGAUCCGAGGCCCAUUAGUACUUCUAAACCUAAUCCAACUCGGAUCAGAUCCGAAUUGGGCUUCCAGCCCCUUAAGUGUGUGACCCUAUGGGUUCGGAUACGUAUAGACAUGGCCCGAGUACUCCUACUCGGCCCAAUAGUCGGUAGCGGCCUCUAGCAAGACGUGCCAACUCCUAUACACACACGAAGAUCAUAUCAGAUGAACCAUCACAACAUAAUAUACAUGCUAUUCCCUUUGCCUCACGAUAUUUGGUCUAGCUUCAAGCCGACCGCUCUUUCUCAAUCCUGUGAUUCGGAAUCCCUUUGUAGGUUAACUCUUAACCGUACGUAGCAUGGCCAUGCAUUUUCGGAUCCGAUCACUCGAGGGGCCCAGAGAUAUCACUCUCAAUCAGAGAGGGGCAAAUCCCAUCUUGAUUGACCAUGUCUCAUAGCAUGCUUCUUGACAAACCCGAAAACUACCUUUAUAACUACCCUGUUACGGCGUAGCAUUUGAUAGCCCCUAAGUAGGUCGAUCCACAUCUAGAAUACAUGCGACAAUCUCAGGUCUAAGGACAAAGCGUAUAUGUUGUUUAAAGAGAGAACUACUUCUCGUGUUGGGUCAGUCCCAGCACAUGUCUCCACAUGUGUCCACAUUAUUAGUUCAACAUCUCCAUGUCCAUGACUUGUGAAACAUAGUCAUCAACUAAUACAUGUGCUAGUCUAAUAUUCAUGUGUGUCCUCACAUGAACUCCGACUAGGGACAACUUUAGAAUAACCAUACAAGUAAAGAGUUUCACAUACAAUUCACAUAAUUGCAAAUCAAUUCAAGUAGCCUUCAAUGGAUAUUCAAUGAACACAACAUACAAAUCAUGGAUACAAAUGGAAUAUCAUCAUCUCUAUGAUUGCCUCUAGGGCAUACCUCCAACAAUUAUUUCAUGUAAAUUUUUGACAAUUUUUUAAAAUUGUUUGAUAUUUUUUAAAUUUUUUUUAAAAUAACUUUGCCGAGUGUCCUAUUGUAGACACUCGGCAAAGCAGCCUUCACCGAGUGUUACCCCUGGGACACUCGGCGAAUUAAUGCCCGGCCGCUCAAGAAUAUGUGCCCGGCCCCCUCACUCUCCCGGCCCCCCUCACUCUCACUCCCCUCACUCCCUCCUCUCUCCCUCCUCUCUCCCUCUCGCCGCCGCCCGAAACCCCCGCCGCCGCCCGCCGCCCGGCAUGCCGCCCAGCGCCCCCCGCCGCCGCCCGGCGCUCCCGAAUCCGCCGCCGCCCGCCCGGCGCCCGGCCCCCGGAUCCGCCGCCGCCGGCCGCCCGGCGCCCCCGGAUUCGCCGCCGCCCGCCCGGCCCCCGGCCCCCGGAUCAGCCGCCGCCCGCCGCCCGGCGCACGGCGCCCCCGGAUCCGCCGCCGCCUGCCCGGCGCCCGGCCCCUGGCCCCCUGAUCCGCCGCCGCCCGCCCGGAUCCGCCGCCGCCCGCCCGGCGCCCGGCCCCCGGCCCCCGGAUCCACCGCCGCCCCCCCGGCCCCCGGAUCCGCCGCCCGCCCGUCCCCUCCACCGGAUCCGCCGGCGCCGGGGCCUGAAGAGAAGAGAAGAGGAGAGGAUGGUGGCGGCGGCGGCCGCGGCGGCGGAGCAGGUGGCAGAGCAUGCAUGAUUUUUUUUUAUUUUUUCAAUAAUUGUUCGCCAAGUGUUUUCUGGGCACUCGGCAAAGUCUUUGCCGAGUGCCCGACACAAAACACUCGGCGAACCAGUGUUUGCCGUCAAGAUUUUUGCCGUGUGUCGUUUGCCGAGUGUUACACUCGGCAAACGCUUUGUCGAGUGUUUUUGGGGUUUCGCGGAGUGACCCUGGCACUCGGCAUCACGCAUGUUUCCCUUAGUGAACUUGAAAUUAUCUGUACAUUCUCGGUGAAGCUGUUGAACUAAUUUUUGCAAAUUAUUAAUUCAUCUCAUUACGCAAAGAAAAAAGUAAGUGGAUAAGAUAUUUCGUGGACCACAUCACUGCAAACAUGUCAUGGAGAGACAGACCAAGGAGGCAGGACGUGAUACACGACUUACCCUAGGUUGCCGUGGAACCGCCAAGAAGAGAUACAGAUACAUGGACCACACCAUCUUGGGAGUAGUGACAGCAUAUAUGCAGAAGAAUACCCCGUGCCUAUUUGCAUGCAUGUCUCAAGUGAUCUGUUUUCUUCAGAAAAUACAUGAGCAUUGCCAGAAAGAAUGGCAAGAGACAAACAUGUCAUAGAGACUUGCAUGUCUUGCCUUGGAUACGCCAAGAAGAGGGACACAUACAUGGAUAACACAAAUCUAGUGACACGUAUAUUCAUCACAAAGGCAAAUCUGAUAAUUUUAUCCAUGGAGCAGACCAAGGAGAAAUUGAUGACGGACAUGUGAUCUCUGUAUUCAGUUGAAAGCUAAUUGAGCUACACUAAUAUGAGCAGGACUAUAUUCAAGAGACUUGUUGAGAGCUACAGGGAACUUGUAAUAAUUUGCUGGGCGGCCUGCGCACAAUGAUUUGUUAUACAUAGUUGAAAUAUUUCAAGAAUUUAUCAACCUCAUACUCUGAAACCCUUGGUGCAAUGUACUCUGCUUUCCGAGGUAGACUGUUCACGUAAAAUGAGGUCAUGCGUAAGACGGAAUCGGAUUGGAUUCACAGGGAAUCAGAUUUGGAUAGCACCUUUUAGCAGGUUUUUAGUCAAAUGCAAAUUCGGAUCCACAUGUGGUUGAAUGCGAGUUCAAAAUUCUACUUGGAUAUCCAUUUAAUUUAGGUGAUAGCAAUUAGCACAAAAUGUUGGAUGAACAAAAUCAUAGUUAGACAUACAAUUACAUGUAUGGUUAAAGUAUAAUACAAUACACCAAGAUUAUUCCUUGAAAAUAUUUCUUAAAAAUAUUAUAAUAAAUGAAUAAAUAUAAUUGUGGCCACCAACAAAUAGUCGGUGGUCGCUAAGUUGGAGCCAUUUCUGGUUACUAAUGCGGCCUUCUCCUCGACCAGCGACGACAGCUGAGCUUGUUCCUUCUGACACUAAAUCAUCAGAGUCUUCCCUCCACUACUAUAGAAUGCACCUUUAGCACCAAUUGGGAAAUCCCCUUCAGUAUUGGAUGCUGCAACCAGUGCUAUAUAUCAAAAUGGAGACUAAAAGCCUCGGUCUUGGGUACCGGUUGCAUAACGCAUUACUAAAGGAGGCAAAAGAGAAAUGUAACAAAAAAAAUAUUUUGAAUUCCAAGAAUGUUUCACUAUUCAAGAUGACUAGCUGAGAGUCAACAGACAAGAUACUAGGAAUGUGGGUGCUUGAAUGCAUUUGUACAGAGGUCAUACUAUUUACAAACUCUUCUAUGUUUCCAUAUGACUACCUACUUCAAUGUCACGCGAGCCAUUCAGCUGGACACAUGGCACACUAGCUUGCAUGUCGAAUCCAUGAUUAAUUAUUUGCACUUGUGAUCUCUUACCAGUAUUUGUCCAGACUAGAAACGUGCAACACAUUUUUAGGAUAUGGACACGCAUAUAUUUGGACUAGUAUACAGGUCACCUUUGGAUGCGUACAAGGAUGACCGGGAGGGACUAAUGGAUACAAGGAAGGGACCAUCAGGAUUAAUAUUGACAUAUGCCACAUGACAAUCUUCAUUGUCAUGCAAUCCCUAUCAACAAUCAUGGAAUCCCUAGUGUACUAAUCCCUGGAGGGUUGUGUGGAAAUUUAUUUUACCUUGCGGUGAAAAUCUCAUGAGCAGUCAUUAGUUAAGCUGACUAGCUGAGAUAUAAUAGACAAGCUAGUAAGAUUGGGAGCAUCAAUGCAUCCAUACAGGGUCACAAUAUCCUUUCCAUUCACUUUUAUAUAUAACCCUACGAAUACAAGUCCAACGAAAUGCGGGCCUUUCGAUCAAGAUAAAUUAAAUGGCCCACUUGUAUUUCUAAUCCAGGAUUAACUAUGCCCUCUGUUCAUCUCUUGCAAGCACGUGCAACACAUUUUCACGAUAUGGACAUGCAUGGAGGUUAUUAUACUGUUUGGACAAACUCUGAUGUGCCAUGACCUAAAUGCUUAGGGCCUGUUUGGUUUGAGUUGCUUAUUAUAAGCAACUUAAAGUUGCUUAAAGUUGCUUAUUUGAAGUUGCUUAUUUUUAGUCUAAACUGUUUGGAUACCCUUGCUUAUGAGCAUUGAAUGAGUUGGACAUUGUCAAAUUUGCCCCAUGUGUUGCUACCCCUCCAAUUUGCCUCCCCACCCUUCUUCUUCCUGCACACGUCCGAUCCCGGGGGCCGACGGCGGGCAGGGAGCAGCAGCAGCUGGCCAGGGCGGCGGUGGGGCGGGAGCGGCGGCGCACACCAGCACGCGCUCGCACGCCAGGUGCUAGGGCGCGGCGAGGCAGUCGUCGUAGCCCACCGGGAGCGGGUGCUCGGGCGCGAGGCGGUACUCGACGGAGAUGCCGAGCGUCGGGCGCGCGGCGGCGAGCGCGUUGAGGAAGCGAUGGUAGUGCGGCGACGUCGCGGACUCCGCCACGAAGCCGCCGCCGUGGACGUACACCACCACGGGCAGCUUCGUCUUGCCGUCGGCGGCCGCGGCCGCGGCCUGGGGUGGCAGGUAGAGGCGGACGGAGCAGGAGCCGAGGUCGACGUCCCUGGAGUCGACGCCCGUGGCGGCGUCCAGGCUAGGCCCGACCGGCGGCGGCACGAGCGGGCGCUCGAUGCGGCCGCUCUUGUAAAUCCGACGGGUCUGUGCGGAGGCGGGCGGCGGGCGGGAGCGGCGGGUGGGAGCGGCGGCAGGUGGUGCGGAGGCCGGCGGCGGCGGGUGGCGCGGAGGAAGGGGAGCUGGUGAGUGGUGACAGGGGAGGGGGGGAGAGAGAGGGGGGGGUAGGGUGCAUUGAAUGAGGGCAGGAGGUGUAAAGUGCACCUUUUAGUCCCCAUGAGCAACCAUAAGCAGCCCAAGAGUUGCUUAUUUGCUUAUAAUAAGCAACCUCAUAAGCAAGAGUGAUUGGUUUCAUAAGCAACUUAUUUGCUUAUUUUAAGUUGCUUAUGCAUAAGCAUGUGAAACCAAGCAGGUCCUUAACCUAUGGUUGUGGCACCACACAGUACAUAGUAUUUAAUAAUGCUAUUCGUUUGGUAUGUGCACAAGGGCACGCAUGAAAUGUCUGGCCCACGGUAAACAAGUACGGACGCUGCAAAUAAUCUACUCUGCUCGUCCAGUCCCUAGCCUAUAAAUAGAUGCCAUGCUAGCUCUUGUUGUGCUCACAAUUAAUCCUGACUACACACGAGCUUCUCUCCCUGGCCAAGACACAAUCAUAGUAUGAUGAAGAACAUGGCACUAGCCGGCAAUGGUAUGAAGAACUUAAUCCUCGCUGUUCUCUUACUGUGUCUAGUUAUAGGGCAGAUACAAGUGGAAGCUAAGAGCUGCUGCCCAUCCAUUACUGCAAGAAAUAUCUACAAUGCCUGCCGUAUCACGGGUACAUCCCGUCCAACGUGUGCAAAACUGUCAGGCUGCAAAAUUAUCAGCGGGGACAAAUGCAAGCCCCCUAACGACCACCUCACCCUUGACCCGGACACUGGUAAAUAAUAAAUUUAUCUCACUUGAUUUCUUCGUGUUUUGAGUCGUUAAUGUAUUUUCCAUCUGAUGAAACGUAUUGGUUUUGCAUUGAAGAGGAAGUUAAUGUGCUUAACUUCUGCAAGUUGGGGUGUGCGUCGUCUGUGUGCAACAACAUCAACGCUGGUAAGCACCUUUUGCUCAGACGGAGAAAACAAUAAUCAUUAAUUAGCGGCAGCUAGAAUCCUAUAAUCUAAUAUAUUUAUAUAUAUAUAUAAUUUUAUCAGCUCUGGGAAAUGAAGAGGCGAACGAUGCCGUUGAGAGUUGCGACCAAGCCUGCUCUAGCUUCUGCAACGUGCACGUUGGCGCUGCCACCGUGGUUGCUUAAGCAAAUGCAUCCAACUGGAUCGUCCUUGUGCUAAAUAAUUGGAUAUCGUAUCCACUUAAAGCUGCCUUGUGUAGUACGUUUUUGUUUGUGUCUCUCUUUAUAUUCCAAUAAGGUCGGUGAUCUUGAUGCCACACACUCAGACGUGUGUUCAUCUCCAGAUACUACUCCAUGCUACCUGCCCUUUGUGUUUUGUUCAAUAACUGGGUAUCAUAUCCCAGCCAGUGUGCCAUCUGUUUUGUGUUUAUUUCCUUCUAGUUUCAAAGGGGUUAUCAUGAUGUUACCUUCUUUCGAUAUGGUGCUUUGCAUGACUACUGUUGUAUGGUACCAUCUUGUUGGCCAAUAAAUACAUCUUAUCCUAUGACCCUUUGCUAUGACCCUUUGCAAAUAAGUACAAGAUUGUUAAAUACUCGGUAUAAAUUGACUACUGCUGUGAGUUCCCUUUCAGCUUAUCGUAGGCAUACAUUAUUGCUAGCACGGUGAAGACAACCAACACGAAUGGUCAAGUAAACGUACCGGUACUUUUGUAUACCAACACCCUUGCUUAAAUGUACCGGUGUUACUCCCCACUAGCACAUAUAUUCUUAUAUGCUAGCCGGCUUGAAAAUUAACCGAUUAAAAUAAUUAUUUCAAGACAGAAAUAACUUAUCGGCUUCUCGAAGCAUGUGUAAUGUGAAUUCAAGGACUUGAUGGAAGUUGAAUCGCUUAAUCUAGAUUGCUUUCAGGAUUUUGGGUAACUAAAUUUAACAUUUGCACAUACAAAUGUUAAUGUACAAAUAUUAAAUAUAGUUACCCAAGCAGAAUAUGAAGAUACUCUAUAGUAUAUAUAUACUAUAUAAAUCUAGUUAACAUUUAGUCUAAAUGUUAAAUCUAGUUACCUAAAAUCCUGAAAGCAAAAUGUAUAAAUAUAUAUCUUUUAAGGAAUCCCAAAGCAAGAGUUCAGUGGCAUUCUAUAGUCCCAUGCUGCUAGUUUGAGUUGGUCGAAGCCAACUUAAAUAGGAGAGCUCUCUCACUUCUCUAAAUACGUAACUGAAGGAGAGAAGGGGGCUUGGUUACACAACGCACGCACGCACGCAUAUUUGCGUUCUUUUCGCGUAACCAACCGCGUGACUUGAAACUUGCGACGUAGCGUGCUGCCAAGUCAAGUUGAUAUAACCUUUUUGCCGUAGGCGUGUAAUCUUUUGACAACGGUCAUUGGAGGUGAUAAGCACGCAGUCAAUACCUUAAUCCUGAGUUAAUAGGGCGGUUACUACUGCCAAUUAGUGGGGCAAUUUUGUAGGGGAAACGGUUAGCAGAGGGCUACCAUCUUCUCUAUAAGAAGUUCUGGAGACGUCCAGGAACACACAUGUACAUGUGAGAGACCCACGAAUUCCUUCCCAUCUCCCUUUUCCAUCUGGUGAAGUGUGCUAUGGUACUGAGCUGCUGGAUCUCGCCGGCUCUUCUCCUUGGCGUGCACCGAGGAGGAGGGUGAGCGGUAUCUCCGAGCUAUUGCCGUCAGGAAGCCUGCACGAGGGACAACAAUAAAGUUUUUGGGUAGCGCAACUACGCAACCGCUCGAUUCGAUCGACUAUGUUCUGCGCUGCCUCAUCUUCGAUCUGCACUGCAACACGUAACCCUGCAGCAAGUCUACACAAGGACGGAGCACUAAUCUGUAAGUCCUAGAUUGGUUUCUUACAGAGUUGUAGGUUACACAAGAUCUAGAAUUGUUACAUACUUAUUAUUAUGGGUUACAUGAUGUUUUGUACGGUUACGUCUAUUUUGCAUAUGCUAUUUUUACAUACCGUUUACAUGCAUAUGUAAUGGUUACGCCUAGCUAUUUGAAUCUAGAAUUGGGUUACAUAGCAGUAGCAAUGACUUACGUAAUAUGCCUCAUGUUUAUAUCUGGUAGAAUUUAACACGUAUCUCCAACAUAUUUUGAGGCAGUAUAAAUUUCAAUUCCUUUUGCUGCUCUGUUAAAUCCCGUCUUUCGUGUGGCCCAACACUCUAGUAUGCAUGUAGCACCAAGCUUGUUUGAGCCGCUUUGUGCUCUGAUUUUGCUGUCUGUAUCAGGUUGGACUGUUUCUUUGUCUUGCGAUGUAUAGCUUCAUAUCUUCUAGAGGUUAGACAGCAAAACCCGCGUUCUCUUAAGGCAACAACUCGAAGAAUCUGCAGCGCUCCUGAUAUAUCACUGCUGCAGAAACAAUCUUUAGUACUGAUUUCCAACCCCCUUUAGUAUCGGUUUGGCAAUCAGUACCACUACGUCGGUACUAAAGGGAGUUCUCUAGAAUCGGGUCAAAUAACUGGUACUAAAAGUGCUCCUCUACUACCAGUUGGUAACACCAAUAGGUAGUAACUUUUUUUGCACCCAAAAAAUUAAAGAAAAACAGCCGGGAGGCUCGCGCACACACGCAUCAUGAGUAAUAUGCGCGUGCAUGGUUUGUGGGAUUCCAACCCACGACCAAGCUAUAAGCACGUAGUUACAAAAAAAUUAAACACUUAGACAUUUUAGAGCAUCCCAAAUAACUACAAAUUCUUUAGUUUACCAUAUACCAUAAAAUAUUAGUUAAAAUAAGAGCAUACGCACGUCGGAAGAGUCCCAAUGCACCGGUUGAGGAUCAGACCAGGCACUUUGAAUGCACAUGCCAUAAGAUAAUUCUGCAGGACGAUGAUUGCAAUAAUGGACCAUCGAGAAGAUAGGGGCGAUGGGGUUGCCUCAUCAAUUAUGACUUGGCGCAACAAGACCAGCAAAGUCUUUAUCGACAGGGGUGGAUCAAGGGGUGGGGCGGGUAGAGCUCCAAUCUUCCUACCGCCGCUCGAACAAUGGAGCCCCCCUUAGCCCCUCCAUAAAUUUUUAGGUAGAAGAAAAAAGAAGAGAAGGGAAGGAAGGGGAAGAAUAGGGAGCCCCUCCUAAGUAGGUCGCCAUCGUGCUUCCCAACGCAUGAUCGCCGCACCGCAUCCAUUCCUCUACAAGCCUCCAGCGUCUCUCCUGCCGCUACCUCUGAACCAUGUGCAGCUGCAGACCCAACUAGUGUCUUGUCACCCAUCUCAAUCCCAACAGAGCGGCGGCUCCUGCCAGCACAAAUCUCCCUCCGCCUGUUCUUCACGAUCGAUGGCCACCACAAGCAUAAACCUCGCCUUCGCAUCCACGCAAAAGGGUCGCCGGUGUGCCUUCUCGCAUCGCUUCUCAGCCUCCUUCACUUGCGGCUGGCCAAGAACCGUGCCACCACCUCGGGUGCGCGCCACCGCUCCAGGGCCGCUACCCCAUGCGUGCGGCCGCCGCCGGCCACCACGCGUGUGCAACCGUGUCGCACCGCUUCCCUGCUCUGUGCCACCACUGCUACUGCACCACCAGCUCCACCACCUUGGGCUGGUCGCCAGGGUGACUGAUUGGUGGAUUAUUACUACAAAUAAGUUCCUUAUUAUCUGCAACUACUAUUAACUCAGGGAUACAUGCGUCUUUUGCUUCUCCUGUUAAUAUGUCCUAAAAUAUCUAGAAUGCCUUAUAUUUCUGGACGGAGGAAGUAUUUGAAUAAAAUGAACCAAUUUUAAAAAAUGUGUUGUACACUACUACAGAAAGAACUAUCAGUGUCAAACCCAAAAAUGUCGUCACUGCCAGUUUUGGGCAUCGUUGGUGAAAGGUUGGCGGUGAUGGGUAUCCCCUUCAACAACGGCACUAGAGCUAACAGUGAUUGACAUUAGAAAACGAAAAAGGGGACCCACCUAGCCACCCCUGCAACCCGGCUGGCCGUGCCUCCCGUCAUCCCCACCACCUCGCCUCCCCCGUGACCCCCCGCCGGCGCCCUUGCGCCUAGCCCCCUCGCCUGCCUGGCCGGCCACCCUCGUCACGAGAGAGAGGGGUGCAUGUUGUAUAAUUGCGUGAAUUUUUAAUGUUUAAUUUCAUGUAAGUUUCAUAUAAUAAAUUGUACAAGUUUUAUUGUAUAUAUGAAUUCCAUAUAUAUAUAUUUAUAAUUUAAUGUAUGGUUUCAUGUGUAUAUUUCAAUAAUGUGUAUAUUUAGUAGAUAGCCGAUUUUCUUUUUCUACAAGACAAGGGUUGAUGUAUAAUUACGUGUAUAUGUUUAUUGUACGGGCAAUUAGGACAAGUUUUGUAUAAAUUUCUUUUAUUUCAUGGUUGUUGUAUGGUUUCAUGUAUAUACAUUUAUUGUACUACUUGAGACAAUUUUUAAUUUAAUGUUUCUAUGGUUACAUGUGUGUAUAACUAAUUGUAUUAUUAGUUAAGAUGGGAGCCAAAGAGGAUGAAAGGUAUAUAAUGGAGCAGAUUAUUGCUGGCGGUAGUGGCUCAAACGUUGCAAGAACCUACAUCAAGGGUGAGGGUAGCUAGGUGGACAUGUACCUCAACAUGUCCAGUGAUGGCAAUGACGAUGAGGAGCACGAGCAUGACGUUUAUGAUAGUGCGGAACAAGACAUUGCAGAAUUGGAAGGUUCUAAUGAGGUGUGCUUCAUGUUGAUGAUCUGGUUGGCUUUUUUUCUUUGGUCACACCUUAGUUACCAUAGAACUUCGUCUCGGGAGAAGAUUGGAGGUGCUAUGGUGAUUGGAAUUUUAUUGCCUCCAAAUAUGAUUUCCAUCGAAUCAUAUCCCUUGUAUUUAUCUUCUUUUUAUUUGUGAGAGCAUCUUCUUUAUGCUUGCAAAACAAUUCAAGUGCACAUACUACACCUAGGGUGAUGAUUAGGAGUAGAAACAAUUGCCAACAAACGAACACCACAUCCUAAGAUUCUUAACUUGUGGUAUAAUUAGUCUAGUAAAAAGAAAGAUAAAAACCUAAUGGGUGUACGUGAGUGCAAUGCGUAUAUGCAUAUGAGUGGAAGGCAUAUAAGCAAAGAUAAUAUUUACACAUAGAUCUAAGCACCAUGUUUACAACUAAGUUGCUGAAUUUCUCCAUAGCUAUAGAGAUUAAUGAACCAAGGUCAAAACACCAUGUCUAUCCCAAGAUCAGUAAUUCUUUAUAGCACAAGAAAAAGAAAGCGCAUUGCAAAGUUUAUAAACCAACCAAUGCAGCAUGAAAACAAGAUGAAUAGCUAGCAAGGUUUAUUAAACUGAAUGAUGACGGUCUGCAAGCAAGUUUGAACACCAUCUUUACACAAGAUUGCAAAUGGAAAAUUCCCAUAUGAAGAACUAACAUGGAUAUGAAAUCAUUCAUCAUAAAGCGUAAAGAACAACCAAGCCAACCAUAUGCAAAGCAUGAAUGGAAUGCAAUGAAGGUGCAAGAGAACAUUUUUGGAUGAACCCAUUAUGAUGAUGGCAAAAUGCGCCGUGCCCCCCAGCCCCCGCGGUGAGAUCCCGCCGCUCGCUGCCGCCAGACCCUAUUAGGCCUCCACCGGCAGGUCCACCCACGGUCCCGCGCGACGUGGCAGCCUCUUGGCUCUCGGCGCUCGCGGCACGCCAGUGCUGGCGCAGCCCCACCAGGCGACUACCCUCCCCCCAUAAGGCCUCGGCCCCUCCCCAGCGCCGCCCCCCAACACCAGGACUGCCUGCUGCCCCCCACCGUGAGGUAAUCGAAAUCGACUGCUCAAUCUCUCAAUCUGUUGAUAUGAUGCACACGGUUGCAAAAAUAGAUGUGUCAAAAUAGAUGUUUUGCCAAUUGCUAUAGAUGCAUACGGUUGACAUGAAGUCAAAAAUGACAUUUGGUUCCUUGUAGGCAGUCAAAAAUGAAGAAGUCAAAAAAUAUUGAUCUGAAAUCAAUGUGGGAAAGGGCUAUGAAGACACGCAGGUAGAUUCCCUUGUGAACUUUUUAUGUCGUUCGUCUAAAUAAUUUUUUGCAAUGGGCAUACCCUACUCUGAAAUCCUGGGUCCGCCACUGAUGAUGAUGGUCUAAAAAUAAACCAAGCCUAGAUUAAUUAGCCACAACUGAAAUUAAGCAAAGGUUAAUGUCAUUGACCCUAGCUCUAUCCUAGCUUUUACCAAAGUUCCGGCACAUAUAGUGGUUGGGCCCACUCUCUCUGCUUCCCUCUCUGCUGCAUGCACGCACACGAGCAACGGGAGGCCCGACGAAGCCCAGAAGGGUUCGGCCGAACCAGUAUGAGCGCCGCUCCCUCCCAGCCUUCGCGCAGAUGCUCCUCCAACGUUCCUUGACCCCUCCCUCAGCGUCCCGUUGGGUUUAACAUUGCAGGAGAGGAGUCCCUUUUUUAAAAUCUCAACCACCUCCUCUCCCCAUUCACUCCACUCUCAUCUCCAUCAAACUCACCAAGAUCCGCACCGGAAAUCCCUGCUUACCACCAUGGCUGGCAAAGCCCUCAUCCCUUUCACCAACUUGGGCUUGACCACUGAUCUCGAUGGGGAAAUCACUCUGGCAAAUAUGCGUGUAACACUGCCCCCUUUGCCGAGGGUUAAAGCCAAAACACUCAGCAAAGUGGAUAGUACCCCCCUUUUUACCCGUUUUGUCAUGUAUAACGGACCCCUCUCAAUUCACAAUAGACAUCAUCAUAGGCAUUUAUAAUAAACAAUCACAGGCAUAAUUCACAAUCACCAUUACAAGCAUUAUUCAUAAAUAUCACAGACAUAAUCCAAAGUAAGCAUGAAACAAGCCAUAAAUCCAAGUUCAAGUCACAACUAAGUUUCAUCCAAGUUCAAGUCACAAAUGCAAUGUCUAAAUCCAUGGAGGCCAAGGAGACCACUGCGACAAAUCUUGGUCUUCAUUAUUCGAAGCCGCCGAUUGAUUCUGCACAUAGGAUAGGACAUUCUGAGCUAACAUCUAAAGUUGUCAAAAUUAAAGUAUUCAAUCUUAAGCACAAUGUGUCAAAUGACUCACAGGAGUAGUUGUGGGUGGCUGAGGCGGAGGGAACAGCAUCGAUGGCGGUGGCAAAGAUUGACCCAUGCUCGAAGCAAAAUUCUGCAUGUACUGGAACAUCUGGUCCAUCCUCAUCCGAUUUUCUUCCUCCAUCCUCUGCCGCUCGGCCUCUAACCUCCGCUGAACCAUCUGCUCCAUCCUCGCCGCCAUCUCCUCUUGUUGCUUCCUUGCUGCUUCCACCUGGGCCUACAAUAUUUCAUUGCAAUGUUACAAUGCAAAGCUAAAGUAUAGCAACCAACGAACAAUGAAUGGAAGAGAAAGAACCUGGAGAGCCUCCAUCUGGAACUGUCCAAUGGUUGGUCGUAGCCGUAUCGCCGGGCUCGAGUCCGUGCUCCUUGCUUGGAUCUGGGAGAGAGUGGCAGUAGAGGCCGUGUUGAUUACGCCGUCGCCAAUCCAAUAUCGGCCAUGCUUCUUGCCUCCUCCCACCCUCAUCACGAUUUCUCCAUCAAUAUCCUCAGAGCUUGAAUCGAAGUCUGGCCCGUGAACCUCCCUUGCCAUCACUGUAUAUUCCUUUGCCGAGUGCCCGAGAUAAAGCACUCGGCAAAUAGAAAACACUCGGCAACUUUACUGUUUCCCGUAGUGUCGCUAUUUUUGCAGGUUCUCGACCAGGCCAGUUCUUUGGGCCAACCUAUCAUUCACGACUUAAACAUACGGUGGCUGUAGAAAUGUUCUAUUCUUUUCAACAAUACCAGCUGGUUCCUCCGUUUUUAUUCCACCAAUACAAGCACCACCUUGUAACAUUUCCUAUGUUUUUUUUUCCUUUCGUCUGUUUUCUACAUGCGUUGCUCUUUCAUGCAUUUUUUUCCAUUCCUGUAUUCCAAAUAGGUCUACAUGAACACAAAAUGAACUAGGGGACAGAAAAAGCCAGUGAAGCCAAUUUUGAGCUUCACCAGCUACUUGCUACAUAAAGUGUGCUAUAGUGACGUGUUUUAGCAAAACAUGUUAUCAAUGACUUGACAUUGGUGACGUGUUAAAACGCGUUAUCUCAAUGGCAAAUCAUUGGUGACGUGUUUUAAAAAAACAUGUCACCGUGAGAGUCAUUGGUGAAGGGUAAUUAUAAUGCGUCACUAAUGUUGUAGCAUUAGUUAUGAUAAUUUAGUAACGCAAAAAUCUACCAUCAGUAUUGAGCUUUAGAGCCAUCGCUAAUGUGGGUUUCUUACAUAGUGAUGCAAGCUCUACAAGGUGCUGUUGCUGCCAUUUUAAAGCAUCCCAUGACUACAUGUUAAUAACAUAGUUUACCAUAUAUCAUAAAAAUAUUAGUUACAAUAAGCACAUACGCAUGUGGAAGAGUCCGAAUGCACCGGUUGAGGACUAAACACAUUGAAUUACUAGAACCAAAUGUGUGUUUAGAACAAAGACAGGGGUCAAGGUUUGGGUAACCGCAUUAAAAACAUUGGAUUUUACUGUACAUGAACACUUAGUUACCAUUACCAUGCCUUGAGCACCUAGUUACAACAAACAUUAAUUUAGCCACUUUAGAGCUUCCAGAAUCGCUAUAAAUAAUAUACCUACGCCGUACCAUGAAAACAUCAAGAAGAGAGACGGAUACAUGGACCACCAUCAAGCGAGUAGUGACAGCACGCACAAGAAUACCCGGAACCUGUUAGCUUGUCUGUAGUGAUCUGUUUUCUUCCCCAUAAAAUCCAUGAGUAUUGCCACAAAUAAUGAAAGAGGCUGACCAAGCUAGCAAGGAGGUAGAGCAAACGUGAUACACGGCCUGCCAAGAUUGCCCUGGAUACGCCAAUAAGAGCGACAGAUACAUGGAUCACACCAAUAUGGUGAAACGUAUAUUCAUCACACAAGCAAAGCUGGUCAGUUUAUCCAUGGUCAAAUUGUGGUCUUUGUUUUCACUUGAGAGCUAAUUGAGGCACUAUAAUAUGGGCAGGCCUAUCUUCAACAGACAUGACAGCUACAGGGAACUUGACAUAAUUUGCUGGGCCGCCUGUGCACAAUUAUUUGUUUUAUUGUCCUUGCAUAGAAUGCUAAAAUACUCUUUACAAAAUGUUGGAUCUAAUAUUUGAAAUAUAGAGUAGUAAUCAUAUAUUGAUCAACAACUUGAAAUUAUCUGUACAUUCUCGGUGAAGCUGUUGAACUAAUUUUUGCAAAUUAUUAAUUCAUCUCAUUACGUAAAGAAAAAAGUAAGUGGAUAAGAUAUUUCGUGGACCACAUCACUGCAAACAUGUCAUGGAGAGACAGACCAAGGAGGCAGGACGUGAUACACGACUUACCCUAGGUUGCCGUGGAACCGCCAAGAAGAGAUACAGAUACAUGGACCACACCAUCUUGGGAGUAGUGACAGCAUAUAUGCAGAAGAAUACCCCGUGCCUAUUUGCAUGCAUGUCUCAAGUGAUCUGUUUUCUUCAGAAAAUACAUGAGCAUUGCCAGAAAGAAUGGCAAGAGACAAACAUGUCAUAGAGACUUGCAUGUCUUGCCUUGGAUACGCCAAGAAGAGGGACACAUACAUGGAUAACACAAAUCUAGUGACACGUAUAUUCAUCACAAAGGCAAAUCUGAUAAUUUUAUCCAUGGAGCAGACCAAGGAGAAAUUGAUGACGGACAUGUGAUCUCUGUAUUCAGUUGAAAGCUAAUUGAGCUACACUAAUAUGAGCAGGACUAUAUUCAAGAGACUUGUUGAGAGCUACAGGGAACUUGUAAUAAUUUGCUGGGCGGCCUGCGCACAAUGAUUUGUUAUACAUAGUUGAAAUAUUUCAAGAAUUUAUCAACCUCAUACUCUGAAACCCUUGGUGCAAUGUACUCUGCUUUCCGAGGUAGACUGUUCACGUAAAAUGAGGUCAUGCGUAAGACGGAAUCGGAUUGGAUUCACAGGGAAUCAGAUUUGGAUAGCACCUUUUAGCAGGUUUUUAGUCAAAUGCAAAUUCGGAUCCACAUGUGGUUGAAUGCGAGUUCAAAAUUCUACUUGGAUAUCCAUUUAAUUUAGGUGAUAGCAAUUAGCACAAAAUGUUGGAUGAACAAAAUCAUAGUUAGACAUACAAUUACAUGUAUGGUUAAAGUAUAAUACAAUACACCAAGAUUAUUCCUUGAAAAUAUUUCUUAAAAAUAUUAUAAUAAAUGAAUAAAUAUAAUUGUGGCCACCAACAAAUAGUCGGUGGUCGCUAAGUUGGAGCCAUUUCUGGUUACUAAUGCGGCCUUCUCCUCGACCAGCGACGACAGCUGAGCUUGUUCCUUCUGACACUAAAUCAUCAGAGUCUUCCCUCCACUACUAUAGAAUGCACCUUUAGCACCAAUUGGGAAAUCCCCUUCAGUAUUGGAUGCUGCAACCAGUGCUAUAUAUCAAAAUGGAGACUAAAAGCCUCGGUCUUGGGUACCGGUUGCAUAACGCAUUACUAAAGGAGGCAAAAGAGAAAUGUAACAAAAAAAAUAUUUUGAAUUCCAAGAAUGUUUCACUAUUCAAGAUGACUAGCUGAGAGUCAACAGACAAGAUACUAGGAAUGUGGGUGCUUGAAUGCAUUUGUACAGAGGUCAUACUAUUUACAAACUCUUCUAUGUUUCCAUAUGACUACCUACUUCAAUGUCACGCGAGCCAUUCAGCUGGACACAUGGCACACUAGCUUGCAUGUCGAAUCCAUGAUUAAUUAUUUCCACUUGUGAUCUCUUACCAGUAUUUGUCCAGACUAGAAACGUGCAACACAUUUUUAGGAUAUGGACACGCAUAUAUUUGGACUAGUAUACAGGUCACCUUUGGAUGCGUACAAGGAUGACCGGGAGGGACUAGAAAUGGUCUAGUUUUGAUUGGACUACAAAACUUUUUGUACAGUGAAUAGAGAAUAUAUAUUAUUGUUGGAAUACGAGGUAGGCUACACUAUCGCAAUUCUGAUAUUCUACCGCGUAUAACCAAGAAGAACUGUCGUAUAAGGAUCACGGGAUUACCACUCGACGCACUACUGGUGCGGAAGAUGUAGAUAUGCGUCGAUGCAGUGAAGACGAUCACGUAGUCGUAUGUAGUCGAUCAACGUAGUCGUACAUAGUCGAUCACGUCCAGCAGCUCCUCAGCAGCUCGUCCACGUGCAGCAAGAUCGCCUCCGGUACCGCGGCUCGUCGUUGGCUUGUCGUGGCUCGUCGACGGCUCGUCGGCGGCUCGUCCAAGUGCUGCAGGCGCAACACCUCCAAGGUAUCCACACGUGCAGGGAGGAAGCGUCGCAAGCCGGACUGCUAGAUCCACGAGUUGCAACAGGCGAGGGCGUGGGAGGCGCGGCAGGUGUGUUUCGCCAAAAAGGUGUAAACCCUAGGGCGCCCCCACCCCUCUAUUUAUAGAGGUUCCUGACGGGCCUCUGGAUCCGAGGCCCAUUAGUACUUCUAAACCUAAUCCAACUCGGAUCAGAUCCGAAUUGGGCUUCCAGCCCCUUAAGUGUGUGACCCUAUAAGUUCGGAUACGUAUAGACAUGGCCCGAGUACUCCUACUCGGCCCAAUAGUCGGUAGCGGCCUCUAGCAAGACGUGCCAACUCCUAUACGCACACGAAGAUCAUAUCAGACGAACCAUCACAACAUAAUAUACAUGCUAUUCCCUUUGCCUCACGAUAUUUGGUCUAGCUUCAAGCCGACCGCUCUUUCUCAGUCCUGUGAUUCGGAAUCCCUUUGUAGGUUAACUCUUAACCGUACGUAGCAUGGCCAUGCAUUUUCGGAUCUGAUCACUCGAGGGGCCCAGAGAUAUCACUCUCAAUCAGAGAGGGGCAAAUCCCAUCUUGAUUGACCAUGUCUCAUAGCAUGCUUCUUGACAAACCUAAAAACUACCUUUAUAACUUCCCUGUUACGGCGUAGUGUUUGAUAGCUCCUAAGUAGGUCGAUCCACAUCUAGAAUACAUGCGACAAUUUCAGGUCUAAGGACAAAGCGUAUAUGUUGUUUAAAGAGAGAACUACUUCUCGUGUUGGGUCAGUCCCAGCACAUGUCUCCACAUGUGUCCACAUUAUUAGUUCAACAUCUCCAUGUCCAUGACUUGUGAAACAUAGUCAUCAACUAAUACAUGUGCUAGUCUAAUAUUCAUGUGUGUCCUCACAUGAACUCCGACUAGGGACAACUUUAGAAUAACCAUACAAGUAAAGAGUUUCACAUACAAUUCACAUAAUUGCAAAUCAAUUCAAGUAGCCUUCAAUGGAUAUUCAAUGAACACAACAUACAAAUCAUGGAUACAAAUGGAAUAUCAUCAUCUCUAUGAUUGCCUCUAGGGCAUACCUCCAACAGUCUCCCACUUGCACUAGAGUCAAUCUAGAAGGUACCUAAUACCCAUAGCUCUUACAUGCGCAUCAUGCUUAGCCUGCGGGAGUGGUUUUGUCAACGGAUCAGAAAUGUUCAGAUCCGUGUGUAUUUUGCAUAUCUUGAUCUCACCCCGGUUAACGAAGUCUCGAAUGAGAUGAAAUCGCCGCAUUACAUGUUUGUUCUUCUGGUGGUUCCUUGGCUCCUUUGCUUGCGCAAUUGCCCCAUUGUUAUCACAGUAGAGAUUCAAUGGGCUGGACCCAUUCGGGAACACACCAAGCUCAAUGAGGAAAUUCCUUAUCCAAACACCUUCCUUCGCGGCUUCCGAAGCCGCGAUGUACUCGGCUUCUGUCGUAGAAUCGGCCACCGUCUCCUGCUUGGAACUCUUCCAACUAACAGCACCACCAUUUAGCGUGAACACAAAUCCUGUUUGUGACUUUGAAUCAUCUCUGUCGGUUUGGAAACUAGCAUCGGUGUAACCUGUUACAACGAGCUCCUCCUCACCUCCAUAGACGAGGAAUAUAUCUUUAGUCCUUCUCAAGUACUUAAGAAUGUUUUUCACCGCUGUUCAGUGACUCUCACCUGGAUCAGAUUGGUGUCUGCUUGUCAUACUUAGCACAUAUGAAACAUCUGGGCGAGUACUUAUCAUUGCAUACAUGAUAGAUCCAAUAGCCGAGGCAUAUGACACUCUACUCAUGUGAUCCCGCUCAUCAGCAGUCGAAGGACACUGAGUCUUGCUGAGAUGUAUGCCAUGUGACAUAGGCAAGAACCCUUCCAUGCUGAACCGCUUCAACACUUUGUCAAUGUAAGUAUCUUGGCUUAAACCUAUAAGCCUUCUCGAUCUAUCUCUAUAGAUCUUAAUGCCCAGAAUAUAUGCCGCUUCCCCUAAGUCCUUCAUCGAAAAACUAUUUUUCAGUGAAGUCUUUAUGGACUCAAGCAUAGGAAUGUUAUUUCCAAUCAGUAAUAUGUCAUCCACAUAUAAGAUUAGAAAUACUACAGAGCUCCCACUAACCUUCUUGUAAACACAAGACUCUUCUUCGUUCUUGGUGAAGUCAAACCCUUUGACCACUUCAUCAAAACGAAUGUUCCAACUCCUAGAUGCUUGCUUCAAUCAAUAAAUGGAUCUCUGAAGCUUGCAUACCUUUCCAGCAUUUUUCGGAUCGACAAAACCCUUGGACUGUAUCAUAUACACGUCCUCAGUUAGGUUUCCAUUCAGGAAAGCUGUCUUGACAUCCAUCUGCCAUAUCUCAUAAUCGAAAUAUGCAGCCAAACUUGAUUGUCUCCCAUGGACUCUAUUUCGGAUUGCAUGGCAUUCUGCCAUUUUUCGGAGUCUGGGUCCAUCAUUGCUUCUGCAUAUGUCACAGGCUCAUCAUUGUCCAACAAUAAUAUUUCCUGCAUUUCGCGGAGCCUUGCCGACCUUCGUGGUUGUGGCGGUGCUUCUCUUGCCAUGGGUAUCUCAACUUGUUCUGCUACGUUAGCAUCACUCAUUGAUUCUUGCCCGAUCGGCUCAUCUUGAACUUCUUCAAGAUGCACUGUCUUUCCACUCUUUUCUCCUUUGAGAAACUCUUUCUCUAGGAAAACCCCGUUCCGAGCGACAAACACUUUGCCUUCUGAUCAGUUGUAAAAAUAAUAUCCCAAAGUUUCCUUUGGAUAUCCCACGAAAAUGCACUUAUCCGACUUGGGUGCGAUCUUGUCCGACUGAAGUCGCUUGACAAACACAUCACAUCCCCAAAUCUUUAGAAAAGACAAACUAGGAACCUUUCCAGUCCAUAUCUCAUAUGGUGUCUUAACUACGGAUUUAGAUGGUACCCUAUUAAGUGUGAAAGCUGCUGUUUCUAGAGCGUAUCCCCAAAAUGACAACGGUAGGUCCGACUGGCUCAUCAUUGAUCGAACCAUGUCUAACAAAGAUCGAUUACGUCGCUCGGACACACCGUUUCUCUGAGGUGAUCCAGGCGGCGUAAGUUGUGGAACAAUUCCGCAACUCUUUAGAUGAUUGCUAAACUUGUGGCUCAAAUACUCGCCUCCACGAUCAGAUUGUAAGGCCUUAAUUUUCUUGACACGCUAAUUUUCAACUUCAUUCUGAAAAUCCUUGAACUUUUCAAAGGUUUCAGACUUGUGCCUCAUCAAGUAGACAUAGCCAUAUCUACUAAAAUCAUCAGUGAAAGAUAUGAAGUAUUGGAAUCCUCCUCUAGCCGUCGUGCUCAUUGGUCCGCAUACAUCACUAUGUACGAGUUCCAACAAGUCUACUGCUCUCUCAGGAAAUCCUGUGAAAGACGUCUUGGUCAUCUUGCCUAGCAAGCAAGCCUCACAUGUCUCGUAUGAUUCAAAAUCAAACGAAGUUAGAAGUCCAUCAGAAUGGAGCUUCUUCAUGCGUUUUUCACUUAUAUGACCCAAACGACAAUGCCACAAGUAGGUAGGACUCAAAUCAUUAGGCCGAGGCCUUUUAGCACUUACAUUACAGACAGGUGAACCAUCAAGAUUUAAAACAAAUAAUCCAUUCACAAUGGGUGCAAAAGCCAUAAACAUAUUAUUCUUAGAGAUCACACAACCAUUGUUUUCACUCGCAAAUGAAUAACCAUCCUUCAUCAAGCAUGAAGGAGACAAAAUGUUUCGACUUAAACUAGGAACAAAAUAACAAUUAUUCAACUCCAUAAUAAAUGCUGACGGGAGGUGGAGUUGCAUCGUCCCGACGGUCAACGCAGCAACUCUUGCAUUAUUGCCCACGCGGAAAUCAACUUCUCCUCUUUCCACGCUUCUACUUCUUAUCAUUCCCUGCAUCGAAUUGCAAAUAUGAGCAACCGAUCCGGUAUCAAAUACCCAAGAAUUAAUAAUUGUAUCAGCGAGAAAUAUGUUGUCUAUGACAUUAACAACAAGCGUACCUGAGGUAGAAGUACUCUUACUUCCUCCAUUCUUCAACGAAGCUAGGUACUGCUUGCAGUUUCUCUUCCAGUGACCAAGUUCAUGACAGUAAAAGCACUCUUUGUCUGGAGCAGGUCCAGGUCCAGCUUUAACCUUGGGCGCUCGCUGGGUUUGGCUUGGAAAUUCCAGCCUUGCCCUUCUUCUUCCAAGAAUUGCCCUUCUUCUUAAAGCUAGGCUUGUUCUGUAUAGCCAUCACAUGGCUAGUACAAGCGCUUUUCUUGAUGUCUACCUCUGCUGUCUUGAGCAUACCACACAGUUCAUUCAAACCCUUCUCCGUCCCAUGCAUAUGGUAGUUCGAGAUGAAGUUCCCAUAGCUAGGCGGAAGAGAUGAAAGAAUGAAGUCAGUGGCCAACUCUUUGCCCAUUGGGAAGCCCAGCUUCUCCAAUCGCUGAGUGUAACCAACCAUGUUGAUUACAUGUGGUCCUACUGCUGCGUCUUCUGCUAGCUUGCACUCCAGAAAAGCUUUGGACACAUUGAACCUUUCAGUCCUAGCCUGUGUCUGGAACAUGUCCUUGAGCGCCACGAUCAUAUCGUGUGCCUCAUGAUUUGUUUCGAACUGCAUCUGCAGCUCGGGUUCCAUGCAAGCAAGCAUAAGGCAGCUUACCUCAAGAUUAGCAUCAAAUGCCUUCUUGUAAGCAGCCUUAACGGCAGCAGAUGCAUCAUCAGCAGGUACUGGUGGUAGUGGGGUAUCUAGAACAUCUUCCUUUUUAUCGGCCCUGAGAACAAUUCUCAGGUUACGGAUCCAAUCCGAGUAGUUUGUUCCAUUCAACUUGUCCUUCUCAAGGACCGAGCGCAAAGCAAACGAUGUGGUGGUGUUGCUAGGUGCCAUUUAAUCUACAACAAAAGUAAUGCAAAAUACACUAAGACAAACGUAUCCAUGAUAGAGCAAAUUACAUUAAACUAUUUUAACAGAAUCUACUCCCACUAAAAUCAAUAUCCCUCUAUUGAAACUUAGUGAUUCAGGAUCCACAACUAACAAGUCUACUAGUGAGCUUUAGCAUCACCGCUAGCAAACGAGGUAGAUCGGUAAGCAACUUUUGCUAAUCAUAUCACAUAUGACUCCUGUUGUUGGGUGACAUCUCCAUGUCUCGGCGCCCAACCAUUAUGCCCCAAGGUCCUUAACCGUUAAGAUGACCUCGUUAAGCAAACCAACCCUUAUGCGUGUAAGUGUCCGACACAAACCCGUCUAGUCAAGGAAAACUAGUGGCACCCUAAUUUCAUAGACCCACCACUAAUUGUACAAGACAUGGGACGGUGCAAGUUUUAGUUGGGAGGGCAUACUAACUUAAAUUUUUUGUGAGGGAUCGUUCUACUUCUAACAUCACAGCAUGCAGAAAGUAAAACAUAAACAGAAUAGCAUUCACACAGCUGUGACACAGUAUGGCCCGUUUUUAUAUGGUGAUCUCCAUCUCCAUAGAACCUGUUCACCAUGGUGAUCUCCAUCUCCAUGUUCCAUGUGCGCCAUCCUCCUGGUGAGGAGUCCUCCAAGAACUAGAACAUGCUAUUACACCUAAUAGCUAGUAAAGAAUCUAGUAAUGAAGAUUACAUAGUUGCUUGGAUCAUCACAGAUUGGUACGCAGACCAUUAAAUACAAUAAAGUGACAACACAUAUGGCUCCUGCCGUGUUGCCGUACGCGCGACACGCAGGUCACGAAUGAGUUACACACAUGCAUCACAUACACAAGGGGGCCAUACUGAUCACAAGAUACAUACAUACAUCCUGCAAAACAGAGUUAGGCGUCCUAACGUUCCAAACUUCGAAGGCCCGAAACUCCAUCUUCCAAGCCGAAUUUGGGAAAUCUAAUUUUGCCGAAAACGGCAAAGCGGUUGAAUUUCAUGUGUAACUUUUUCUGUAGAUCAAUUUUCAUAUAAAAUUCGCCCCGAUCCGAGAUCGUACCGAAAAGUUACGGCUGAUUUACCGAAGCAUACGCAUACGGCAAAAAUUCCGACCCCGGCAGUAGAUCCCAUCUACUAUUGCACAUCUAAUGCGCCUGGCGUAUGAUCCUGGAUUUCGAUUCGACCAAUCAUAUUGAUCUUCGCUCACUGCAACUGGAAUUACGUGUAUCACUUAACUCGUCGGCGGCUCGUCGGCGGCUCAUCCAAGUGCUGCAGGCCCAACACCUCCAAGGUAUCCACACGUGCAGGGAGGAAGCGUCGCAAACCGGACUGCUAGAUCCGCGAGUUGCAAUAGGCGAGGGCGUGGGAGGCGCCGCAGGUGUGUUUCGCCAAAAAGAUGUAAACCCUAGGGCGCCCCCACCCCUCUAUUUAUAGAGGUUCCUGACGGGCCUCUGGAUCCGAGGCCCAUUAGUACUUCUAAACCUAAUCCAACUCGGAUCAGAUCCGAAUUGGGCUUCCAGCCCCUUAAGUGUGUGACCCUAUGGGUUCGGAUACGUAUAGACAUGGCCCGAGUACUCCUACUCGGCCCAAUAGUCGGUAGCGGCCUCUAGCAAGACGUGCCAACUCCUAUACACACACGAAGAUCAUAUCAGAUGAACCAUCACAACAUAAUAUACAUGCUAUUCCCUUUGCCUCACGAUAUUUGGUCUAGCUUCAAGCCGACCGCUCUUUCUCAAUCCUGUGAUUCGGAAUCCCUUUGUAGGUUAACUCUUAACCGUACGUAGCAUGGCCAUGCAUUUUCGGAUCCGAUCACUCGAGGGGCCCAGAGAUAUCACUCUCAAUCAGAGAGGGGCAAAUCCCAUCUUGAUUGACCAUGUCUCAUAGCAUGCUUCUUGACAAACCCGAAAACUACCUUUAUAACUACCCUGUUACGGCGUAGCAUUUGAUAGCCCCUAAGUAGGUCGAUCCACAUCUAGAAUACAUGCGACAAUCUCAGGUCUAAGGACAAAGCGUAUAUGUUGUUUAAAGAGAGAACUACUUCUCGUGUUGGGUCAGUCCCAGCACAUGUCUCCACAUGUGUCCACAUUAUUAGUUCAACAUCUCCAUGUCCAUGACUUGUGAAACAUAGUCAUCAACUAAUACAUGUGCUAGUCUAAUAUUCAUGUGUGUCCUCACAUGAACUCCGACUAGGGACAACUUUAGAAUAACCAUACAAGUAAAGAGUUUCACAUACAAUUCACAUAAUUGCAAAUCAAUUCAAGUAGCCUUCAAUGGAUAUUCAAUGAACACAACAUACAAAUCAUGGAUACAAAUGGAAUAUCAUCAUCUCUAUGAUUGCCUCUAGGGCAUACCUCCAACAAUUAUUUCAUGUAAAUUUUUGACAAUUUUUUAAAAUUGUUUGAUAUUUUUUAAAUUUUUUUUAAAAUAACUUUGCCGAGUGUCCUAUUGUAGACACUCGGCAAAGCAGCCUUCACCGAGUGUUACCCCUGGGACACUCGGCGAAUUAAUGCCCGGCCGCUCAAGAAUAUGUGCCCGGCCCCCUCACUCUCCCGGCCCCCCUCACUCUCACUCCCCUCACUCCCUCCUCUCUCCCUCCUCUCUCCCUCUCGCCGCCGCCCGAAACCCCCGCCGCCGCCCGCCGCCCGGCAUGCCGCCCAGCGCCCCCCGCCGCCGCCCGGCGCUCCCGAAUCCGCCGCCGCCCGCCCGGCGCCCGGCCCCCGGAUCCGCCGCCGCCGGCCGCCCGGCGCCCCCGGAUUCGCCGCCGCCCGCCCGGCCCCCGGCCCCCGGAUCAGCCGCCGCCCGCCGCCCGGCGCACGGCGCCCCCGGAUCCGCCGCCGCCUGCCCGGCGCCCGGCCCCUGGCCCCCUGAUCCGCCGCCGCCCGCCCGGAUCCGCCGCCGCCCGCCCGGCGCCCGGCCCCCGGCCCCCGGAUCCACCGCCGCCCCCCCGGCCCCCGGAUCCGCCGCCCGCCCGUCCCCUCCACCGGAUCCGCCGGCGCCGGGGCCUGAAGAGAAGAGAAGAGGAGAGGAUGGUGGCGGCGGCGGCCGCGGCGGCGGAGCAGGUGGCAGAGCAUGCAUGAUUUUUUUUUAUUUUUUCAAUAAUUGUUCGCCAAGUGUUUUCUGGGCACUCGGCAAAGUCUUUGCCGAGUGCCCGACACAAAACACUCGGCGAACCAGUGUUUGCCGUCAAGAUUUUUGCCGUGUGUCGUUUGCCGAGUGUUACACUCGGCAAACGCUUUGUCGAGUGUUUUUGGGGUUUCGCGGAGUGACCCUGGCACUCGGCAUCACGCAUGUUUCCCUUAGUGAACUUGAAAUUAUCUGUACAUUCUCGGUGAAGCUGUUGAACUAAUUUUUGCAAAUUAUUAAUUCAUCUCAUUACGCAAAGAAAAAAGUAAGUGGAUAAGAUAUUUCGUGGACCACAUCACUGCAAACAUGUCAUGGAGAGACAGACCAAGGAGGCAGGACGUGAUACACGACUUACCCUAGGUUGCCGUGGAACCGCCAAGAAGAGAUACAGAUACAUGGACCACACCAUCUUGGGAGUAGUGACAGCAUAUAUGCAGAAGAAUACCCCGUGCCUAUUUGCAUGCAUGUCUCAAGUGAUCUGUUUUCUUCAGAAAAUACAUGAGCAUUGCCAGAAAGAAUGGCAAGAGACAAACAUGUCAUAGAGACUUGCAUGUCUUGCCUUGGAUACGCCAAGAAGAGGGACACAUACAUGGAUAACACAAAUCUAGUGACACGUAUAUUCAUCACAAAGGCAAAUCUGAUAAUUUUAUCCAUGGAGCAGACCAAGGAGAAAUUGAUGACGGACAUGUGAUCUCUGUAUUCAGUUGAAAGCUAAUUGAGCUACACUAAUAUGAGCAGGACUAUAUUCAAGAGACUUGUUGAGAGCUACAGGGAACUUGUAAUAAUUUGCUGGGCGGCCUGCGCACAAUGAUUUGUUAUACAUAGUUGAAAUAUUUCAAGAAUUUAUCAACCUCAUACUCUGAAACCCUUGGUGCAAUGUACUCUGCUUUCCGAGGUAGACUGUUCACGUAAAAUGAGGUCAUGCGUAAGACGGAAUCGGAUUGGAUUCACAGGGAAUCAGAUUUGGAUAGCACCUUUUAGCAGGUUUUUAGUCAAAUGCAAAUUCGGAUCCACAUGUGGUUGAAUGCGAGUUCAAAAUUCUACUUGGAUAUCCAUUUAAUUUAGGUGAUAGCAAUUAGCACAAAAUGUUGGAUGAACAAAAUCAUAGUUAGACAUACAAUUACAUGUAUGGUUAAAGUAUAAUACAAUACACCAAGAUUAUUCCUUGAAAAUAUUUCUUAAAAAUAUUAUAAUAAAUGAAUAAAUAUAAUUGUGGCCACCAACAAAUAGUCGGUGGUCGCUAAGUUGGAGCCAUUUCUGGUUACUAAUGCGGCCUUCUCCUCGACCAGCGACGACAGCUGAGCUUGUUCCUUCUGACACUAAAUCAUCAGAGUCUUCCCUCCACUACUAUAGAAUGCACCUUUAGCACCAAUUGGGAAAUCCCCUUCAGUAUUGGAUGCUGCAACCAGUGCUAUAUAUCAAAAUGGAGACUAAAAGCCUCGGUCUUGGGUACCGGUUGCAUAACGCAUUACUAAAGGAGGCAAAAGAGAAAUGUAACAAAAAAAAUAUUUUGAAUUCCAAGAAUGUUUCACUAUUCAAGAUGACUAGCUGAGAGUCAACAGACAAGAUACUAGGAAUGUGGGUGCUUGAAUGCAUUUGUACAGAGGUCAUACUAUUUACAAACUCUUCUAUGUUUCCAUAUGACUACCUACUUCAAUGUCACGCGAGCCAUUCAGCUGGACACAUGGCACACUAGCUUGCAUGUCGAAUCCAUGAUUAAUUAUUUGCACUUGUGAUCUCUUACCAGUAUUUGUCCAGACUAGAAACGUGCAACACAUUUUUAGGAUAUGGACACGCAUAUAUUUGGACUAGUAUACAGGUCACCUUUGGAUGCGUACAAGGAUGACCGGGAGGGACUAAUGGAUACAAGGAAGGGACCAUCAGGAUUAAUAUUGACAUAUGCCACAUGACAAUCUUCAUUGUCAUGCAAUCCCUAUCAACAAUCAUGGAAUCCCUAGUGUACUAAUCCCUGGAGGGUUGUGUGGAAAUUUAUUUUACCUUGCGGUGAAAAUCUCAUGAGCAGUCAUUAGUUAAGCUGACUAGCUGAGAUAUAAUAGACAAGCUAGUAAGAUUGGGAGCAUCAAUGCAUCCAUACAGGGUCACAAUAUCCUUUCCAUUCACUUUUAUAUAUAACCCUACGAAUACAAGUCCAACGAAAUGCGGGCCUUUCGAUCAAGAUAAAUUAAAUGGCCCACUUGUAUUUCUAAUCCAGGAUUAACUAUGCCCUCUGUUCAUCUCUUGCAAGCACGUGCAACACAUUUUCACGAUAUGGACAUGCAUGGAGGUUAUUAUACUGUUUGGACAAACUCUGAUGUGCCAUGACCUAAAUGCUUAGGGCCUGUUUGGUUUGAGUUGCUUAUUAUAAGCAACUUAAAGUUGCUUAAAGUUGCUUAUUUGAAGUUGCUUAUUUUUAGUCUAAACUGUUUGGAUACCCUUGCUUAUGAGCAUUGAAUGAGUUGGACAUUGUCAAAUUUGCCCCAUGUGUUGCUACCCCUCCAAUUUGCCUCCCCACCCUUCUUCUUCCUGCACACGUCCGAUCCCGGGGGCCGACGGCGGGCAGGGAGCAGCAGCAGCUGGCCAGGGCGGCGGUGGGGCGGGAGCGGCGGCGCACACCAGCACGCGCUCGCACGCCAGGUGCUAGGGCGCGGCGAGGCAGUCGUCGUAGCCCACCGGGAGCGGGUGCUCGGGCGCGAGGCGGUACUCGACGGAGAUGCCGAGCGUCGGGCGCGCGGCGGCGAGCGCGUUGAGGAAGCGAUGGUAGUGCGGCGACGUCGCGGACUCCGCCACGAAGCCGCCGCCGUGGACGUACACCACCACGGGCAGCUUCGUCUUGCCGUCGGCGGCCGCGGCCGCGGCCUGGGGUGGCAGGUAGAGGCGGACGGAGCAGGAGCCGAGGUCGACGUCCCUGGAGUCGACGCCCGUGGCGGCGUCCAGGCUGGGCCCGACCGGCGGCGGCACGAGCGGGCGCUCGAUGCGGCCGCUCUUGUAAAUCCGACGGGUCUGUGCGGAGGCGGGCGGCGGGCGGGAGCGGCGGGUGGGAGCGGCGGCAGGUGGUGCGGAGGCCGGCGGCGGCGGGUGGCGCGGAGGAAGGGGAGCUGGUGAGUGGUGACAGGGGAGGGGGGGAGAGAGAGGGGGGGUAGGGUGCAUUGAAUGAGGGCAGGAGGUGUAAAGUGCACCUUUUAGUCCCCAUGAGCAACCAUAAGCAGCCCAAGAGUUGCUUAUUUGCUUAUAAUAAGCAACCUCAUAAGCAAGAGUGAUUGGUUUCAUAAGCAACUUAUUUGCUUAUUUUAAGUUGCUUAUGCAUAAGCAUGUGAAACCAAGCAGGUCCUUAACCUAUGGUUGUGGCACCACACAGUACAUAGUAUUUAAUAAUGCUAUUCGUUUGGUAUGUGCACAAGGGCACGCAUGAAAUGUCUGGCCCACGGUAAACAAGUACGGACGCUGCAAAUAAUCUACUCUGCUCGUCCAGUCCCUAGCCUAUAAAUAGAUGCCAUGCUAGCUCUUGUUGUGCUCACAAUUAAUCCUGACUACACACGAGCUUCUCUCCCUGGCCAAGACACAAUCAUAGUAUGAUGAAGAACAUGGCACUAGCCGGCAAUGGUAUGAAGAACUUAAUCCUCGCUGUUCUCUUACUGUGUCUAGUUAUAGGGCAGAUACAAGUGGAAGCUAAGAGCUGCUGCCCAUCCAUUACUGCAAGAAAUAUCUACAAUGCCUGCCGUAUCACGGGUACAUCCCGUCCAACGUGUGCAAAACUGUCAGGCUGCAAAAUUAUCAGCGGGGACAAAUGCAAGCCCCCUAACGACCACCUCACCCUUGACCCGGACACUGGUAAAUAAUAAAUUUAUCUCACUUGAUUUCUUCGUGUUUUGAGUCGUUAAUGUAUUUUCCAUCUGAUGAAACGUAUUGGUUUUGCAUUGAAGAGGAAGUUAAUGUGCUUAACUUCUGCAAGUUGGGGUGUGCGUCGUCUGUGUGCAACAACAUCAACGCUGGUAAGCACCUUUUGCUCAGACGGAGAAAACAAUAAUCAUUAAUUAGCGGCAGCUAGAAUCCUAUAAUCUAAUAUAUUUAUAUAUAUAUAUAAUUUUAUCAGCUCUGGGAAAUGAAGAGGCGAACGAUGCCGUUGAGAGUUGCGACCAAGCCUGCUCUAGCUUCUGCAACGUGCACGUUGGCGCUGCCACCGUGGUUGCUUAAGCAAAUGCAUCCAACUGGAUCGUCCUUGUGCUAAAUAAUUGGAUAUCGUAUCCACUUAAAGCUGCCUUGUGUAGUACGUUUUUGUUUGUGUCUCUCUUUAUAUUCCAAUAAGGUCGGUGAUCUUGAUGCCACACACUCAGACGUGUGUUCAUCUCCAGAUACUACUCCAUGCUACCUGCCCUUUGUGUUUUGUUCAAUAACUGGGUAUCAUAUCCCAGCCAGUGUGCCAUCUGUUUUGUGUUUAUUUCCUUCUAGUUUCAAAGGGGU